UUUUGCUGGAAGUGUUAAUUACUUUGUUUCAUAAGUAGUGCAAUGCUUGUUUUUGAAUGAUUUACGCAUGAAUUCCGCGUCUCAUGAAUUCUGUUUGUUAGAUUCCCAGUUUGUAGAUUUUUCAUUAAGAUUGAGAAAAGGAACAAUAUGUAAACGAAAAGGCAUGUGAAUUUGUAGAAGUCUGAGCUGCGGUUUAAUGUAGUUGGAAGUCUAUUGAUUAGGGGUUUCUACUAAGUGCGGUGAAAUAGAGUAGGAAAAAUGAGUGGUUCAACUUCUAUGUUGUUAUUUGUCCAAACUAUUUUCAUUAUAGAAUUGACUGAAUCUUACAAUCAAGUUUUUUGUAUUAUUGUUAUUCCUAAGGAUCCAAAAUUUCAGCCAGAAUUGUCAAGCACCUAUCAGCCUCUAAAAUGCAAUCCUGAUUGCAACUGUGAUGAUGAAAGGGAACAGUGCAUUUAUGACAGACGGUAUGCUGAAAUGAGCACUAGCAGUGGUGUUCUUGCUGAGGACUUUAUAUCCUUUGGCAAUCAGAGUGAACUUGAACCGCAGCGUGCUGUUUUUGGUUGUGAAAAUGUAGAAACUGGUGACCUUUACAGUCAACAUGCCGAUGGCAUAAUGGGAUUGGGCAGUGGUGAUCUCAGUAUUGUCGAUCAACUUGUUGAAAAAGGCGUGAUUAGUGACUCAUUCUCAUUGUGUUAUGGCGGAAUGAAUAUUGGUGGGGGUGCAAUGGUUCUUGGUAGUUUGUCCCCACCUUCCGGCAUGGUCUUUACCUAUUCAGAUCCUGUGCGCAGGUGUGUUGUUAAAAAUUCUCUCUCUGUCAGAUGUGAUACAUCUUGAACUUUCCUAACAAGCACAUUUGGUACCUUUCAUACAUUUACUCUAGUUUCGGGAUGGCAACAGUCAAUACUAUAACAUUGAUUUGAGAGAGAUACAUGUUGCGGGGAAGCGGUUGCCUCUUGAGCCUGGUGUAUUUGAUAGAAAACAUGGUACUAUCCUGGAUAGUGGCACAACAUAUGCUUACCUACCAGAAGCAGUAUUUAAAGCAUUUAAGGACGCUGUAAGCUUCAGUUUCCUUGCUUACAUCCUUUAUCAUUUUCUAUUUGUUCCAUUUUGCAAUUAAUAAUUGAAGGAACCUAUUCUUUGCACCAGUUUGUUCCUGAGAAAUAAUUGUUGCCUUCAUGUAAUUAAGAUUACAAUCUUAAAUAUAGCAUGGUUUGAUUAAUUCCUGAAAAUGUUAAGACAGCAUUCAUUUAAAUUUUAGUUUAAUGAAUUAUGAAGUAAUGCAUUCUGAGAAAGAUAAUGAAUAGGGUGAGUGCUUGAAUGUUAUGACAUGGAUGAUGCAUCUGAGAAAAGCAAGGACAGUAAUUUGUCUGUUUUGUUCAUUCAAGUGGAUUGUGUGUAUGGUAUGGUAAUGUAUAAAUUCAUUCUAGUGCUUCUCUGCUUUUCCCAUGAAAAAAGAUCUUUCAUUCCUCAGUUCUAAUUUGAAAUUUAUUCUAGUGCUGGUCCAUGUCUUCACCUCUUCUUAGUGCAGCUUACCAAUUUGUUCUUUUAUUUGUAUCUAAUGGGUUCUCCUUUUUAAUUUGUAUAGAUUAUGAAGGAACUUCACUCGUUAAAGCAGAUCCGUGGUCCUGAUCCAAAUUAUAAUGACAUUUGCUUUUCUGGUGCUGGAAGGUAUUAUCUAAAUAAGAAAAGAAUGUGUGAAUUGAAUUCCACAGAUAGAUGGGUUUCUUAUUGUUAUUGCGUGAUUAAAAGUCAAAUUGAUUUAAUGUCCUCAGUGAAGUCUCCCAACUUUCAAAUGCAUUUCCAACGGUUGACAUGAUAUUUGAACAUGGGCAAAAGUGGUCACUAUCACCUGAAAAUUACCUAUUCCGUGUGAGUAUUGAUCUUUCUAUCAUUUUUUUGAAGCAAAAAAGGCGGGACACGUGAAGAUAAGAGAAAUCCCGAUCUUUACAUGAAUUUUCAAUUUUAUUUGAACUUUAUCAAUUUGUACACUUUAUCAGUGACUUUCUGGCAUUGAGGCUGUUAUUUCUGAAAAUGCAUGUUUUAGAUGUUACUGCAAUGCAGUUUGAAACAUUUUAUUUUCUUGGAGUGUGUAUUAUCAUAAAUGCACAUCUAUGUUUGAAAUAUUCUUUAAUGACUUUAAUAUAUUCAAGGUCUCAUUUUGUAUCAGCGAUAAGUACAACAACAAUGAGAAGCAGACCUAAAGUGGUAUUUAAUUGAAUUGGCAUGUUGACAUAGUUGGCGAGUUGAGAAAGAUUCCAACUAUUGGCAUGAGCCCGGCCUGAAGAUAUCUAACCUGAUUUUCCAUUCUUUUCAUAUACAACAUGGACCUUUUCUAGUGGGGUGCGUUUAGAGUGUUACUGUGGGAUCUAGUUAAUAGAUAAACUUCUACUAAGCCAUAUCAACUGCCAACCAGCUGUAGCUCAAUCCUAUCAGGUGUUGCAUGAAAGUAGAAUGCUCAUAUUGAUAAAGUUAAAACAAUUGGACGAAAUCAGUAAUUCAUACAAAUAUCAAGACCUUUUGGACUAUUAGGCCUGAGUAUAUUCCUGUAAAUAUAUUUGUGCUUUAUCAAUGAGGAAGCUCAUUUUUUAUGGGAUUGAGAGUUUUUUGGUUUCAACGACAGUAUUUGAUGUGACGCACUGAUGAAGCCUGUUCUUCUUUUUUUUUUUUUUUUUUUUUUUCUCAUGAAGCAUACAAAAGUCCCCGGUGCAUACUGUCUUGGGAUAUUCCCAAAUGGGAAGGAUCCAACUACUCUUCUAGGAGGUAUGCAAUAUAUGAGCUUUUAUUUGCGUUGUAUUCUAAAGAUAUUUAAGUCAGUUUAUGCUCCCUUGGCAAUAGAUAUGUUUUCUAAUUAUUUCUAUCAUUUACUACCAAAUUUGUUUCUAAUUUAUUUUACUAAUAAUAAUUUUAUUUUGGAUGCAAUAACAGGAAUAAUUGUCCGCAAUACUCUUGUGAUGUAUGAUCGUGAAAAUUCAAAGGUGGGUUUCUGGAAGACCAAUUGUUCUGAGCUAUGGGAAAGACUCCACAUAACUAGUGCUGCAGCACCAUUACCUUCAGAUUCAAAUGGCACAAACAUAACUGUAGAAAUACCGCCUACAUUGGCUCCUAGUGACCAACUGCAUUAUGUUCUUCCAGGUUUGGUUCGCUUGUGGUUUGUGCAAUUCUUAUGUUUUAUAUGUCAUUUAAACUCACUACGUUAGCAUACCCUUUUUGUGUCGACACCAUACCACAUAGCGUAAGAUGCUAGUUACAGUGAUAUGACAUUCAUGAUGGAUUUCUUGAAUAAAAAGUUAUAGUGCAGACGUUUCGGCAACUGGGUUGCAGAGAAAAAAUGACAUUUAUUUUCUUGUGAUGACUUGGUUGGUUAUCAAACCUUCAUCAAUCACAGAUGCUUUCCCAAUUUCUUUUAUUUUCUUUGUUAUGAUUUGGCUUUGACAAAGUCAGUCAUUCUGUUUUCUUUUUGUCACCAGAUCUGACUGGUGGACUUCAUUCAAACUAUAUCUCUAGUAAAGAGAUUAAAAAGUAGGGACUACAGAUUAAAAAUAACUAUAAGGGGAUAAUGGAAAGAAAUACUAGUGAAAGUAGGCUAAUUGUGAGAUGUAAAGGAACAUUCGAAAUAAUUUGAUCCCUAAGUCCAAAUCAUGCACUUAUAUAUCUUGUCUUUUUGUUGAGACAAGAGACAAGAGCCAGCUACUUGAUACUGAAGUUAUUCUCAAUUUGUAGCAUUGUCAACACGUCAUGUUGCUCUUUUAGUCUGUUAUCACAUCUUGUUUGAGAUGCUUUCGGACAAUGGUUUCUCAUUAACUUUUAUUGACAGAUGAACUUCAAAUUGGACAAAUAACAUUUGAAAUGUCACUGAAAGCCAACUACUCACAUUUGAAGAUUCAUGCUACAGAACUUAUUGGAUUCAUUGCUCAACAGUUAGGUGUUAAUUCUUCCCAGGUUAGAAAAAUUUUAUAUUGGAAGGUUCCUUUGCAUCAUUUGCAUAAAACUAGUGCAAAUUACUCAUUUGCUCAUUGAAAUCUAAAAUUUCUUCUUGACCAGGAUAAAAGAAGUUAAAAAUCUGUCUUGUAAUUAAUGCUGCUUAUGAUAAAUGAUUUUUUUUUUUUUUUUAUACUUCUGCCUGAGUUCCUUCCUUCAGGGGCGACAAUAAUCAUACUUGAUAAUUUCAGGUCCAUUUACUGAAACUCGCUUCUAAAGGAAAUGAUUCACUCAUUGGAUGGACCAUAGUCCCUUCAGGAUCUGCUGACCACAUUUCUAAUGCUACUGCUCUUGUAAGUUUGCUUUUGUAGAAGCAUGACUGUGAAUUUAUGGAAGAUUGAAACUGUUUACUUAUUUUUUGGUUCUACCUGCAGAGUAUAAUUUCCCGGGUUGCUGAACAUCACAUUCAGCUUCCUGAUACCUUUGGAAGUUACCGGUUGGUUCACUGGAAAAUUGAGCCUCCAGCAAAUCGGUAGGCUCUUUUUUUGUCACUUUAUGGGAAACUAUUAAUCCCAAGUUCAGUAUGACUUUCAAAUUUAAAUAGUUAUUUUUGUGUCUUUAAUUUAUUAAUCAGCUGGGCAUGUUAUAAACAUAGUGACUUCUGUUUAACUUUCAUCACAUAUCCUUCUUCUUAUUAUAGUUUUACGUUACCUUUCUUUUAUUGUUUAAUGUUUACUUUUAUGCAUUAAUUGUUAUUCUGGUAUAGGCUGAAGUUAUUAUGUUUCUGCAAGUAAAUAUUACUCUCUUUUAUGUAAUCAUGCAGGACAUGGUGGCAGCAACAUUAUUUAUUCGCAGGCUUAGUCGUUAUUAUCGUUCUCAUUCUUGGAUUAUCAGCUUCUGGAUUAUUGUUUAUUUGGAGGUGUAGAGAACAAACAUUCAGUGCAUAUAGACCCGUCAAUACAGCAGUUCCUGAGCAAGAACUACAGCCAUUGUGAACCCCCAGUGGUUGUCCGUGCUUCGUGAUUUACGCUGUAUGUACUGUAUUCGGUUAGCUUUUUUUAUAUAUAUAUAGCCUCGAAAUGCUGUAAAUUUGCAAGCGGAGCUACUGAAUCUACAAUCAAAGGCCUUACCAAAUUAUUCAUCAAACAGGGAUGUAAAGAAGGAAUUGCAGAAAUGUAUUCCUUUGUUUUCUUUCUACUUUACAUGUUGCUUUUGAUAAACACUUGCUUAAUUUUUCCUACCAGCUAGUUGUUACAUACAAUGUGAACUUCUAACCGCUUGAUUUGGGAAAAAUCCUAGGUAGAUUAUGCAACUCACACCAGCUAUGCACUAAUUUUGUUAGGGUGACACAGGUAAGAAUAAGAGACGAUGUGUGAAUAUGGAGAGAUUCUUAUAUAGACUACGUGAGCUAUAGACAAAUCCAAUGGAAUAAUGUUACCUUAGAAAUUUGUUGAAAGCUCAAACAAAAGGGAAUUAUUAUUAUUACUUUUAUAUAUAAAAUACUAAUUAAAUAAAAUGAUUUUGACCUUGGAAAUGAGGAUUUUAUCAUCCAUAUAUUUCAUUAAUAGCAAUGUUUGGUGUUUCAAAUGUAAAAUUAUGAAGCAUCAACAUAGUAUUAAAAUCAAACAUUAAAAAUACUAAAAUUAAAUUAUCUAAUGAUCUUAAAAUUUAUUUUGAAAUAAUAAGGUCAAUUAACUAUUUGAUAUAUGAGUAUUAUUCAAAUCACAACUAGUUAGUAAAAUUACUACUAAACUUGGUCCUAUUAGACUAUCCAAAUAUACAGUAUAGAAAAUACUAUUUUUACCGUUAAAUACUCCAUAUAUUUGAUUGUUUGGUCUUUCACAUUUAAUAUAACUAGUCUUUUGUAUGUUGACUAUGCUCAUUAUAUACUCAUUUUUUUUUAUCUAUAUAAUAUUAAAGCAUAAUUUUUGUUUAGAUUAAAAUAAAUACAAGUGGUUAAUUUAUAUUACACUUUGCCGUACAAGCUACUUGUAAUAAUACUUAUUAUAUAUUUAAUUCUAUUUUUAUAUAAUGAAGUGGUCUUAGCAGAUUUUUAAAAUUCUAAUAGGUGCUUAUUAUAUACUCAUUUUUUUUUAUCUAUAUAAUAUUAAAGUAUAAGUUUUGUUUAGAUUAAAAUAAAUACAAGUGGUUAAUUUGUAUUACACUUUGCCGUACAAGCUACUUGUAAUACUACUUAUUAUAUAUUUAAUUCUAUUUUUAUAUAAUGAAAUAAUCUUAGCAGAUUUUUAAAAUCCUAAUAGGUGCUCAAAAAGAAAAUUAAGUCAUCACACAUUCUCUAACCCCUGCCCUCAAUCCAAAUCUAAUAUCUACAUACAACUAUAAUGAAAAAUAAUAAUAAAUUAAUUUUUACUGCUAAAUAAAAAAAAAAAAUGAGAGGAUGAUUAGAAUUAAUAAUGGAAAUAAUUUUGACUACAAUGACAGUAUUAUUUACCUAAUGUAUCUGAGAAAAGAAUAUAUGUGCAUAUACAAAAAUUCUUGAAACCCCAAAAAAGUGAUCCAAAUAUAACUAUAUAGUUCUAGUUUUUUUUUUUUUUUUUCCAGUUUUCUAACACUAUUUGCUUUUGAAUCAAACAGAUUUGGAAUAUAAGAGAAAAAAAAUAUCAGAAAAAUUAAAAAUGCUUAAUCAUCAAUAGACCAUCUACUUAUUAUAAGGGAUAUAAAUCUCUUACUAAAUUAAAAUGAUAGUAGUUAUAAAUUAUUCAAUAAUGAAAAAAAUAAUAAAAAAUUAUUAUUAAAAAUAAAACUCUUUCAAAACUCAUCUAACAAAAAAAUAUUUCAAUGUACAUACAUAUAUAAAUAAAUUAAUAAAAUAUUAUAUAUUUUUUAAAUUAAAAAUUUCAACCAUUUGCAUCUAAGGUUUAAUUAUGUAAGUUUAUUUAAAAACUUACUCUUUAAAAAAUAUAUCCAAUCAAAAUUUACAAACAUAAAGAAAAAAUGUUAAUAAAAAUAAUAUAUUUUUUUCUUUUUUCAUCCCUCCUAAAAAAAAUAUUAUAUAUAUUUUAUUUAAAAAUUUAUUUAAAAAAAUAUAUUCAAUCAAAUCAUACAAACAAGUAAAGAAAAAAAAGAAUAUUAAUAAAAAAUAUUUUUUUUUUUUCCUUUUUUUAUCUAUAUCCUAGAAGAAUUUCUAUUUAGUUUUCCAUUUAACAAUAAAAAUGAGAGUUUCUAAAAGAAAGAAAUUAAUAAUAUAAGAAUGUGAUAGCAAUUUGUUAAUUACUCAAAAUAACAAUAAUAAAGAAAUGAAACAUGCAUUGGUUUCUUCCUAGGAAGUUUCUACGACAAAUCCAAAGCUGACAUUCCAUUCCAUUCUAAGGAAUCGGUCAUUAUUUGAUUAUUUCCAUGGUGCUAAGCGUACACUAGAAGAAUAUACUAAUUCUGGUCAAACAGGAUUCCGGAGCCAUUAACCAAAAAUAAAACGUUAACAACAAUACUAUUCUUUAAAAGUGAAUGAAUAUUGUUUAUAUAAUAAAUAUAAAAUUUUUAACAUAUAUAUAUCUAAAACUCAAUAAUUUCACUUAAUUAUAUAUUUAUUAUAACUAAAAAUGAAAAAUUAACAAAGUUAUACAAAUAUUUCUUUUCAUUGUACCGCUUGAAAAUCAAUUAUGUUCUUCAGUAAUAAUUUUAUAAUUCUUUUUUUCAUAUCCAUAGAAUUAAUUUGUUACUAAUACCUAAAAAAAAAAUUCUUUUUGCAUUGAUAAUUUAUAAUGUAAAAUCAUAUAUAAUAUGGUGAGAAUUUUUUUUUUUAAAUGAGUUUUUGGUAAAGAAAAUUGGUAAAAGUAAAACCAACCUCUUUAUCGGCUACCUAAUGAAUAAAUUAACCAUAUUAAAGUCAAUCUUAAUCGAUAAAUAAUGCUCUAAAUAAAUUACAUAUAGUAUUAUUUUUAUAGAUCAAAAGUUCUGAAAGCCAAAAAGUAUAUGAAAUUACAUUUUCUUCUCUUCAUAUUUGUUUGGCUUAAGAGUUUUAUUUUUUGAAAGGAUAAGAAAUUAUUUGUAGGUUUUUAUUUAAUAAAUAUACUAAUUAAUCUUUCAGAUUUAAGGUCGUUAAAUUAUUUAUUCAUUCAAUUUAAAAAGUAUAAUUUUAGAGAUUAAUGCUCUAUAAAAUUUUAUAUUCAGUCAUUACUAUUUAAUAUAAUUAUAUUAUUUCGUCUCUCAUGUUUACUACUAAAUUACUAUUUAGUCUGUUAAUUAAUAUUGAAAUUUUUUUGGAUGGACGAUUAAAUAAUUUAACAAAACUAAACUUAAAAACUAAUUUGUUUAUUUACCAAAAGAGACCAAGUUAUAAAAGAAAUUGAGACUUAAUAGUAAUUUUACCUGUAUUUCAAAUGGAGCAAUACAAAAAAUUUAAAAUUUCAGUUGGAAAAUAUCGAAGUGUUAUAGCAAAUAUAUAAUUUUUUUGAGAUGAUUAUAUAAAUAUAUAAAUGUUUUAAAAAUACAGAAUAUCAAAAUAAAAAAAAAAAGAAAGACUGAAGAAUGAAAUGGUCAACAACGAAGAAACAGAACCCACUUGCCAUAUUAUAGUUUGUUAAAAAGAAAAUCGAACAUAUAAUAAAAUAUAUACAAAAUUACGAGAAUGUCCCACUUUCCAACCAAAUGCACCUUAUAAUUAAUUAAAUAGAGCCCCAACAAACAAAUAUAGACGAAGAAAUAAAAUAAAACAAAUAUAAAAAAAUGAAAAGGCAAUGACUAUGACAAACGGGCAGAAGAUUGAAAAAAAAAAAAAGAAAAAAAAAGGGAAAAAACACAGCUUUAGCUCAAGAGAAGAAGAAUAAGCUAAAUCUUUUUGUGAUCUUAUCAUAUGAGAAUUGAAAUACUAAAACCUCAAAGAACUAAACUUUCUCUUUGAUAAUUUGGUUUCAUCAGUUAUAUUCGCUACAGGUAAUGCUUUUUUCAUUUUUUCUUGUUCUUGUGAUUUGAUCCAUCUAGGGUUUCUCAUUUUCUGAGCUUAAUUUCUUAGUUGCCUACAAAAUCAAGUAUUUGGGGCUGAAUUCAGUAACUUUUGUUUGUUUUUCUUUCAUUUCUUUUAAGGUUCAUGCUUGCCUGUUUUGAAGUUUAAACUAUAAAGCCACCAUUUGCAUUUUCUUUUUUUUGCAGAACUGAAUAUUUGAAGGUCGUAGGAUUCUUCUUUUGUGUUUUAGAUUUAUACAAGUCUUUUUUUUUUCCUCUUUAAUUUAUAUAGUUUGUUGAAGUGAUUGAAUAAGUUUAAGGUUUUAGUAUUUGAUAAUUGGUUGUUGUUCUGUGGGUUAUUGUUUACAUUUCUGAUGUUGGAAGAAGUUUGAAUCUCUUUCUUGAUCUUAGUUCUUAAACGUUUCUUAGGAUAGUUAUCUGGGAUUUGACUUAAUUGACUUCAUAUCUCUUUGGUUUUGCUUCUUGGUGCCAUUGACCUAAUGGCUGCUAGUUUGCAAAUUGGUUGGGGAGGUGAAAGUUGAAUAAUUAUUGACUGAAUUAGUUAGUGAUUAUGGAGGGUGGUUUGCUUAUUGUUUCGUAUAUGAGUAUUAUAAAUAUAUAUGUCCAAAUUUGUGGAAUUGUGGAAAAAGUUGCUGUCCGCUUCAGUCAGGACUCAGAUUAUGCUAUUGGAAGCAGGAAUUACUAGGUGUGGAAUUCACUUUGCUUUUAGGGAGGACUUUUAGCUAUUGUGGCUCUCCAAACACUUAUUCAAUGAAGAAGGAUUUUAAAUUACAAUGUGAUAUAGGGGGAGAUUAUUUUCACUGUUAUGUAAUUUGUGUUACUAAAAACUUGUGAUUUUUGGUAUAGUCUACUUCUACUGGGUUUAUUUCCCUUGUGAUUGGCAUGGGCUAGGUCCAUUAUCCUGAUAACCUUUAGCUUAUGCAAAUAUUCUUACAUUGAAUGUUUAUCUUGUUGAGCAAAAUAUUAAAUACCAUCUUUCGAGUCCUUCGGCUUGACUAAAACCAACUCAUUUUAUGUUACCUAUGAAGCAUAUGAUGGCUAGUGGCUCGAAAAGCUAUUCUAUUAAUUCGAGUUUGUGUUUUGAAAUCUCAGAAGAUAUCCUAUAUGCCGUCUUUUAUUUAUAUUUAGUUUUUGAAAGGGAAGGGUGGGGGUAGCGGGUUUGAAGAAGGAACAAACACAAGUAGUUGAAGGGGACUUCGUUUGUAACAAAAGUCAAGUUUAGGGGUUACUGGUGAUAAAAAAUAAAAACCAGGAAAUUUCCUUUUCCCUGAUAUACACUGGAAAUUGAAUUGUUUCUACAGAUUUGUGAGGUCCAUAAGAGAUGUGAUUUAAAUACACAUGAGUUCGCCGUCCUUUUGAGCCUCUUUAUCUGCUAAGUAUUUAUGAGCAGAUUGAAAUGGCAUGGUCAAUGAGAUCAGUUGGAUGUCGAUGACUAUGCCUAAGAUGAUUUUAACUAAUGAAAAUGAUGGAGAAACAUAACUAUCAAUUUCGAACUAAGUCUUUUCCUUUUUCUGAUGACACAAAUCAUUAGCAGAAAUGGAAAAAGAAAACAAGAUGGUUACUUGUUAUAUUCCUGGCAACCAUUGCACAGUUAUAGUCCUGUCUAGAGCUAUUAUCGCUUAGAGCUCAAACCUAUGAGUCAGGAAAUGUUUGUUUUUAUUGGCAGACUCAGAUGACGGACACUGCCUUUUAUCUUCUUUCUUAAAUACUAUUUAAAGGACAUUAGGAAAGACUUGGCAUAAUAAUUGUACUGAGAAUUAUCUAAGAAGGUUUACUUACUAAUGUUUCAUAUUGGAAAAAUUAUAUCAAUGCAUAGAAUUUAAUUUUCUGUCCAACUUGAUGUUGUAUUUUUCUGAUAGAGAUAAUAUGGAAAUUUAUUUUUGUACAGGAGUUUCUGGCUGAAAGCAACAAUUCCAAGAAUUUCUUAAGUUUAUCAUGGUUCUCGAAAUGUUUUUUCUUUGUUUUCCACAGUAUUGACGAUUAUUAAUGUGAGAGAUUACUUUGGCAUUUCAAGUAAGAAGUUUGUUGUGAAAAAGGUACCGUUCCUGCUCUUCCUAAUUCUGUGAUCUCUUCCUUUUUUUUUCCUGUGAACAAAUAAAGUUGCUUUGUCUGUAAGUGAUUUUUCUCCCUAAUAAGUUUUGAUAGUAGUGGUGAGAGAGAGCAGGAUUGUCUAAAAUUCAAUAGAGAUAGAGUUUGACUAGUGAAAAAAGGAUUAUGUAUUUAUAGAAUUUUGUGCUGUAUUUUAGUGUGGUUAUGGUAUUUAAUUGAAAUUAAGGUUCUGUAGUCUUUGUUAACAUUGAAUCCCUGUUGAUAUGAAAACUGUCUGUUAUGUAAUCUUAGCUUGUCGCUGUUAUUCUAUGGUCUUUUGCUUUUCCUUCUUUUGUGUGAUGGUUAUUUCUGUGUUGUGCUUUGCGACACUUGUAUGCUGUGCUAGUUGGAAAUAGAAAAUUACACAGCUUUUUCUUUUUGGGCUUGUGAAUUAUUGUUUAUCACUAUUGACAAUUUGAUGCAAACACUAGUGGAAUAAUAACAACACGAACCACUGAUGUCUUAAAUAGUAUCUAACUUGGCUGGGCAUGUUACUACAUCUUAGUGUUGGCUUUUAUGCACUGAUAUUUUCAAUCCACUGGCUCCUUGCAAGUUACCAUCAUCUAAAUAUCUGCCCUUCACCUUACCUUCUUCCAGCCAAACAUGCGGAACACUUAUUUAUUUAUUUUUCCAUAAUGCACUGCAUGUCUAAAAGAGACAGUACCAUCAACACAACCAGUACUGUUGAAAGUGUAAAGUUUGUGGAUGUGUUUUCUUUUAAUAAAAACUAUACUUGGUAAAUGGGAGAGAGGAGUAUAGGCAUCAUAAAUUUUGACGGAACUUUUCUUUUCAGUUAUAUCGUGAAAUAAGAAACAUCUAUAUCUUUUAGUAAUCUAGACUAUUUCCUUUAAAAGAUGGUUGGCAAGAAACACCUGAUACUUUUUAUGGUGUUGAUGCCUCAUUUAUCUAUUCAUAUGAUUGAAUAUAAACUUUUAGUGUUGAGAAUAAUAAAGAGAGACAGGAUUGUCGUGGUUAUCGAAUCAGGUUACCUGUGCAAUGAAAGUACACAAUGAUAGUGGGCAAUGGGAUAGCGUGCUAACUUUAUAUUACCUUGAACUAUAUGAUGCCUGUAAAGUAAAUAUUUAGAUAUCUGCUUCCACGCACUUAUAUAACCAUGAAUCUGUGCCUUAACGCUUCCUUCAGUGUUAUAGGUCUAAAGAAGCUUCAUGGUGUUUGCUAAUUUAUUACUAUUUCUUUCUUUUUGUUGGUGCACUUCGUGAUUUUUCCCAUGAUGCAGGUGUGAUGGAAAUAUCAUUGUUGAAAGCACUCCUUAAUGGCAUCUCCUCUUUUUUACAUUUAUUGUCCACUGAAAACUUAAGCUCAGACCUGGUUCAGAAGUAUUACCAGAAGGCAGAAGAGAUAUUAAAGCUGUUGAAGCCUAUACUUGAUGCCAUUGUUGAUUCUGAAAUGGCUUCUGAUGAAGUGCUUAAUAAGGCAUUUGAUGAAUUGGGAAAAUCUAUUGAUGAAUUGAGGGAGCUCUUUGUAAACUGGCAACCAUUAUCGAGUAAAGUUUAUUUUGUAAGUGCCUAGCCAUAUUUUUAUGAUUUUAUGUAGGCCUAAUAAACAAAAAACCCAAAACUUUUUGGAAAAUUGUACUUGUACCCGAACCUCCUAACUAAUAUUAUUUUACCCUAGAAUUAGUUGAAAUUAUAUGCAUUUGGACAAAAUAUACUGAAAAAUAGACUAUUAUACAUCUCUUUUUUUUUUUUUUUUCGGCUACUCAUCUCCAAACUCAACUCUAUCAUAAAGCUCCAUUAGUCUCUUCUUAAUCGCAAAAAAUUAUGGAUACAAGUUUAACCAAAUGUGUAUAAUUGCAACUAAUUUUCGGUAUUAGGGUAAAAUAGUCUUUGAGGUUUGAUUACAGUUGUGUUUUUUUUGGUGAUUAGGCCUUUUAAAUAGCAUAUUUAAGCUGCUUUAUAUUUUGGGGGAAAUACCUAACCUGAGCUUGCUUAUGACAAUGCAUGUUUGACCAAUAUAUUUUACCUUAAUGAGAAUUGUUAAUAUAAUUUCUUUAUUUAUAAUCAGCAUGUUUUGAUUUGUACUUUGCAUGAGCUGAGAUUGCUGUUUGUGGCACAGCCUGUCUUACACUCCCCUGAAACUCCCUCUGCAGAAGUGUUACUAAAUAAUUUGUAUGCAAUUCAUUAUGUUCUGAUCCACAAGUUUUUUCAGGUCUUCUGCUUUCAAUUAGUCUCUAAGUCUCUAUAGAAAACAUAAAUAUGCUGGUAUUUGAGAGUAGGUUUUGGUUGUAAUUUAUCUGUGACGUGGCAGCUUUAUUAGAUGCCUGAGACUAAUGUAUUAAUGGUGGUCAGUCUAUCUAUAACAAGAGGGGUGGCUUAAAGUUUGAGGUUGUGCUAUAGUGAUCACCAUUUUACGGUGAAACUAAUGAUGUGAAAUGCGGAGAUUGGUGUUGGUAUGGGGUUUGGUUAAGCAGUAAGUGUGUACAAGAGAGAUAUGGAGUGGGAGAGGGGUCGGAUAAAAUUCUGCUGAGAUGGUGGGCAACCUGUUUCACCCUUGUAAGGAUAACAAUUAUGGUGUUGGGAGUUGCAAUGUAACAGAGAAUAAUCAUGAGAUGAAUUCUUGAAAAUCUGUGUUCCUUGUUUUAGGCUAAAAGGAAAAUUGCUUUGUUUGCAUUCAACUGAAGCUUGGACAUCAUCAUCGUUAUGAUUUUUAUAAAAUAGCUGUCGUCUCCAAAUAAUCAAGGCAUUUAAUAUACAGUGACUAUCAUCUUUUGGAGUUGUUCAAGUAAAAUGCAACUUUUUUCAGUUGUCAUUUUAUUAGUGUUGUCUUUAUGCUUGUCAUUCUCAUCAAAUAUAGUGUAGGUUUUUGAGAUACCUGAGUUGUUGUGGUAUUGCGGCUUUGAAGAUUAAAUUGCGAUUGUAAGUUAGCCUCUGUUAUUGACAUAUAUCAUUCAUACUUCUAGUGGGAUCUCUUUCUUUAUUUGUUGAUAAACUUAUCCUAUGUUCAAACCCUUAAAGGAGGCUAAAGUAUCCUUUUUAAAUCAUUUUUUAAUCAUCGUAUCAGUGUAAAUUGGUGACUUGACUGAAUCAGUUAUCAGUGCAAAGUUUCAAUUUAUCUUGCUGUUAACAUCGCUUAACUUAUACUUUUGUUCCAUUUUAAUGUUCCUUUCCUACUAAUUUCAAAAAAUUAUUACCUUAGAAUUGAUUAUCUAGGAGGCAUUUUGCUUGCAUGUAUUGUUCCUUGAUGAAUAAAAAUAUAACACUCUCUUCUUAGGUUGAUUCAUAAUGAAUGCAGCAACUCGCUGAAAAAGUGAAAAAAACAAAAGGAGCAAGAGAAUAAUGCUGAACAUAUGCAACCUUUCUUAUGGAUGAGGGUUUUUGACCAUCAAAUUUUUUCUUUUUGUCUAGAUUCUGCAAGCAGAAUCAUUAAUAUCAAAGGUUCGGACUUUUGGCCUGGAUAUUUUUCAGCUGCUGAAGUCUUCUCCUCGACAUCUUCCUGAUGAAUUAAGUUCAUCAUCUCUUGAGGUAAUCAUCCCUGAAAACUUGUUUGAAGCUUCUGUUGUUAAGUUACAGAUCAUUGAAACAUUGAAGAAUCAUGCAUUUGGAAUAUGAGAGAAUUAAUUUAUAAAUUUAUUCAGGUUCUUAUAAAUUUAUGUUUAAUAAGUAUUGACAUUCUUGAUUGCAGUACUGCUUACAGAAAAUUAAGCAAAUGGGAUAUGAGCAAACAUCCUCUGUUGUCAGAGAAGCUAUUAGGGACCAAGCGGAGAGCGUUGGACCCAGCUCAGAGAUCCUAGUGAAAAUUGCAGAGAGCCUAAGCUUGAGGUCCAAUCAGGAGAUUCUGAUUGAAGCAGUGGCCCUUGAGAAGUUGAAGGAGAAUGCUGAACAAGCUGAAAAUCCCAGGGAAGCUGAGUUAUUUGAUCAAAUGAUUUCUCUUGUGACUCACAUGCAUGAUCGACUUGUCCUGAUGAAACAGUCCCAGACCAGUAGCCCAGUCCCAAUACCCGCUGAUUUUUGCUGUCCUCUCUCUCUUGAGUUGAUGACUGAUCCGGUGAUUGUGGCAUCAGGGCAAACCUAUGAGCGUGCAUUCAUUAAGAACUGGAUAGAACUUGGGCUCACUGUUUGCCCCAAGACAAGGCAGACUCUGACUCACACCAAUCUGAUACCUAAUUACACCGUGAAGGCACUCAUUGCAAAUUGGUGCGAGUCAAAUAAUGUGAAGCUGCCUGAUCCUGCGAAAUCUGUGAGCUUCAAUCAGCCUUCACCACUUCUUGUACACGCUGAGUCUGGCACACCCAGGGAUUUACAUGUUGUUUUUCCUCAUUCCAGGGGAAACCAACCGAUGUCUCCUGAGUCAACUCGUUCAACUGGUUCUCCUGGCAGGAAUUGGAUAUCUUCUGGUGCAAUUCAUCGAGAGGGAGCUUCUCCACUUCAUCCCCGUUCUACUUCUGAGGGUUCAUUGUCGGGUAUAAUAGGAAAUGAACGGGGUUUGGACUUGAUGAGAAUAUCAUUAACCAAUUCUGAGGAAAGGUCUGCUAACUUGGAAGGAAAGAGCUUGGAUUCAGUUGUCCACCACUCUCUAUCUCCAUCUAGAAAGGAAGUUUCAAAUUCUUUUAGAGCUGAUGAACCAAUAGCUCAGAGCCACAGUAGAAGUGCCUCAGCCUCCAGCACACUUCCUAAUGCAAACUUUUCUCAAGGAGCACAGGGAGAUAAUAAUGAGUCUUCAGAGGUGUCAAACCAUCUUGCUUCCUAUAGCAGUGAUAAUUCUGGGGAGGUAAAAGCAGAACCACAGGCUUCUACUGCCUCAAACACCUCUCACAGAGAACAUGAAUUCCCACCACGGUCACGAAGUCAAACUAUCUGGCGCCGGCCAUCAGAUAGGCUUGUUCCAAGAAUAGUUUCUUCCCCUGCUAUUGAAACAAGAGUUGAUCUUUCAGGUGUAGAAACCCAAGUUCGGAAGCUGAUUGAGGACUUGAAUAGUGAUUCAGUUGAUAUUCAAAGAGAGGCAACAUCUGAACUCAGGUUACUUGCGAAGCACAACAUGGAUAAUAGGAUUGUUAUCGCACAAUGUGGGGCAAUUAGUUUGUUAGUUAACUUACUUCGAUCAACUGACUCAAGGAUUCAGGAAAAUGCUGUCACAGCACUUCUUAACUUGUCAAUUAACGAUAACAAUAAAACCGCUAUUGCUAAUGCAGAUGCUAUUGAACCUCUGAUUCACGUUUUAGUAACUGGAAGUCCAGAGGCUAAGGAGAACUCAGCUGCCACUCUCUUUAGCCUUUCAGUGAUUGAGGAUAACAAGGUCAGAAUAGGACGAUCUGGAGCUAUUGGUCCUUUGGUUGAUUUAUUGGGGAAUGGAACUCCAAGGGGAAAGAAGGAUGCAGCUACAGCAUUGUUUAAUUUGUCAAUAUUUCAUGAAAACAAGGCUCGGAUUGUACAAGCUGGUGCUGUUAAGCACCUUGUAGAGUUGAUGGACCCAGCAGCUGGAAUGGUUGAUAAGGCAGUAGCUGUUUUGGCUAAUCUUGCAACAAUUCCUGAGGGAAGGGUUGCAAUAGGUCAGGAAGGUGGAAUCCCUGUUCUGGUUGAGGUUGUUGAGUUAGGUUCUGCAAGAGGGAAAGAAAAUGCAGCUGCUGCUCUUUUGCAGCUUUGCACAAACAGCAGUAGGUUCUGCAACAAUGUUCUCCAAGAAGGCGCUGUGCCACCAUUAGUGGCAUUAUCACAGUCUGGCACCCCAAGGGCUAAAGAAAAGGUAUACUGUGAGAUAUGUUUUUCCAUAAUCAAGGUGUUGUUUUUCUUUAUCUUCUCAGAAGGUUAUAUUACGAGCUUUUGUUUGCUUGCAGGCUCAGGCACUUCUUCAGUACUUCAGAAACCAACGACAUGGUAAUGCUAGGGGCUGAUUUGUUUAAAGAUCAUCCUGUCAAUGCAUCUGAGGUUUUGAUUCGGUUCUAUACAUAGUGUGUACAUUUGAUAUUGCAAAUAACGCAAUUUUUUUUUUUCUGCUUGGAUUUUACAUGAUUUGUAGAGGAAAUUGAUUUACAGGGGACGCGAUUGAGUCCUUGUGAAAAAUGUUUUACAUGUUAAUGUGAGUUAAGUCUUUUUAGAGAGAUGGAGAAAGGCUGAGUAUUCGGGCGUUGUUGUGUCUCAUUUCUUUCUAUGCAUGACUUUUGUUGUCUCAGGAUGUUUUAGGAUAUUCAUUUAUUAUUUUUCUUAAUGCUGCCAGUAAAUUGAGGAAUCUUUUCUAAUUAUGCUGGUCUUGCAAGCCAAACACAUUUGGAAUUCGGAAUUGCAAUUGUUGAAGUUGAAACUAAGCAAAGUGCAAACUAGUUCCAUAUCUUACAUUUCUCUUUCUUCCUUUUUUUUUUUUUUUUUUUUUUUUUUCAACUUGUAUUUCAAAAAGUUUUUCUGACUUAUAGCUUUGCAUUGAUAUUAAUUAUCAAAGCGGAUAUUUGAAAUAAAAAAUUCAUACAUUCACUAGUUCCAUACCUUCACUAGUUUAGGUCGAGGGCGUUGGUGGUGGUUGUUGAUAUAAUAUAAAUAUAUGUUUUAUUUAUUUUUUUUUUAAGAAGAAAUCAAAGUAAAAAUUUCAUUAAGAGGAAACUGUAUACAUAUAUAUAUGAUACAGAUUUAGAUGUUUCUAUGUUUUUAUAUUUUUGUAUAGAAAGUCUAAUAAUAAUCUAUUUAUACAAAGAAUAAAAAAAUACAAUUUUGAUUUGAAGUAUUGAUUGAGUUGAUAGAACAUAAUAUUUGUGUAAAAGGUGAUCGCUUGCUUCACUUGGGCGCUAUUUAUAGCCAUUAUUCGACUCUAUAAGUCCAAUUUGAUUUCUUUCGAAAAUCUGCACUUAUUUUUGCAUAAACGCUAGGCAAAAUCAUCAUUAUAAUGACAAGAAUAACUUAUAAUUAGAUCUGACAACAAAACCAAAAUCUUGUUCUUCUAGAACCAAGAUCUUCCCUCUUGGCAAGAGAUUAUGAAUGGCUCCACGUAGCCAAUUUUGAUUGGUUCCCAGUAUAUAGGGUGACAAUAAAUCUCAAUAACUGAAUAAUAAUAUACAGAUUUGAGAAUUAUUUGCAAAAAUAUAAAUAAAAAAAGAAAAGAAAAAGAGGUGACCAUCAGUGAAAGCUCAUCGGCAGUCGCCCAUGGAAGGGAAGAAGAAAAAUAGAGAGCGCAUAGGUUUUUUUUUUUUUUUUUUGGAGAACAAAUAAUUACAUCAACUUGAUUAGAUUGACGAAAUUAUUUUAUUUAACUAUAUUAAAUGAGAGAUAACAUAUUAAAGUUCACAUAUUAAACGUUAUAAUUAUUAUGACUAGAGAUUUUUCAAAGAAUUUAUAGAAAGAAAAUUAAAUUUUCAAAAUCCUUUUGGACGUUCAAAUCAUGUAGAAAGACGAUAAAAGAAAAUUUAAUCCAUCCUAAUGAAUAGUAACGUUCUUACUAAAAAAUGAUUGAGUAUUUAAAUUAACAUGAAAUAUAAAAUUAUAAAAUAGAAUGUAGUCACAUAAUUAUUUUAAAUGAUUAAUUAUAGUAUAUAUAUAAUUAAUUAAGAAAGGCAAAUUCCCAAGGUCCUGUCAGUCACCGACGCGUGACUCUAAACAGACCCCACUUAGAGACCUCCUUUGGUAGUUGACACAUGGGAUGAUAAUUUAACCUACCAGAUUUUGGCGGGUUUAGGUAAUAUAGAAACGGAUUUGAGGUGGGUUUGGAUUGUGAUUUUAAUACAUGCAUUGGGUUUGGAGUGGAUAUGAGUUCAGGUGGGCGAGUAGUGGAUCAUUUAAAUUAAUUUAACUCCAAGCUACUUAAUAUUCUUGUAUAAUCUUUUUUUUUUUUAAAUCUUGUAUAAAAUAUACGUACAAUAUAUAUAUACCGAUAACUAUAAUAAUUUAUAAUUUAAAUAUUUAUUAAUGAAUAAAAUAUUAUUGGAAGUAAUAUAAUCUUAUGAAUAAGUAAACUUUUAAUAAAAUUAUGUCAAUUAAAUUAUAAUAUUUUAAUAAAUUGAAUUUAGUUUUUUUUUUUCAUAAAAUAUAUUAAACAAAAUCAUAUAUUUAGUAUUCAUGUCGUGUUUUAAUAAUUUAAUUGAAUAUUUUAUUGUUUGGUAAUUAUGAAAUUUAUUAAACAUAAAAAAAGUUUUUAAUUGAAUAGAAUGUUAAUAAUGUUAUAAUUAAAAUUUUUUAAAGCUACUUAUCAACAUCAAUAUUAAACUUUUAAUGAUAAUUAUAAUUCUAUCUUAAUUUGAAAUAUAACUCGUGUGAAAUGUGAAAUCUAGAUAGACUUUUAGUAAAUUAUAAUAUAACUCAUAUAAAAUAUCACUAAUAAAUUUAUAGACAUAAUUACAAUUAGAUAUUAGUAAAUAUCUUUUUAUUUUUUUAUUAGUAUCAUUAUAUAUACUAGUAUACUUAAACUUAGAAGUCUACUGUAUAUAUGUCACGACCCAUUUUAUUUCAUCGAAAUUUCUGAACGUUCUGUUUUUGGGCUUGGGCUCAAUUCAAAUUUGGGCUCAAGUUAGAAAUGCUCGGUCUUCACGACCCAUACUAUAAAAAAAAUUCGAAUUUUUGAUUUAAUAAAAAAUUCUAAAGUUUUGAAAAUAAAAAUUCGGGAUAUUACAAUCUCCCCCCCUUAAGACAAUUCGUCCUCGAAUUGAAUCUAGUGGGAAAGAAUAAGAAUGGAUGCAUGGAAAUUUUAAAGUUAUAUGAAAUUGCUUCCAAUACCAAGGAGACAGCUCGCGAGCAAAAAUAUAAAUCGAGGAAACGAAGUGAAUGAGGUAUUCUGCUUGUAUUUCUACCACCAAUCAUAUUUAAACCAAAAUUUCGUUCAAGCUAUACAAUACCACCUAGCUGAUACUUAUAGGAAGCUUUGUUACUUUAGCCUCUAAACUAUCAUCGGACAGUUGCUAGAAAAUCUUUCUUUAAAUAAAAAUCUUACAAUUAACCGAGCUUUACAACAAAAUGCUUAAUACUUAUAUUUUUCCCAAAUUAAAUUUUAUUACACAUUUCUUUAUGAAAACCAAAUACAUAAUUUGCAAAAAGUAAAACAAUUUGAAAUUUAAUUUGAUUUAUUUAUUUAACAUAUAUUAUGACGAAAUCUUUGCUUAAUCAAAGUCGAAAAACUGUUACUUUAAUCCAAGAUUUUAAGAAAAAUUUUCUUGAAAUUUUCAUUGUCUACAGGGUUAUUCGAGCUCACUCUCAGUUCUUUUAUACAAGUUCUAUUCUUGUUAAAAUACUUUUAUCGUACACUAGCGCAAUUAUUUAAAUAGCUCAUUUACUAUGGACAUUCCUGCACUAUUANNNNNNNNNNNNNNNNNNNNNNNNNNNNNNNNNNNNNNNNNNNNNNNNNNNNNNNNNNNNNNNNNNNNNNNNNNNNNNNNNNNNNNNNNNNNNNNNNNNNNNNNNNNNNNNNNNNNNNNNNNNNNNNNNNNNNNNNNNNNNNNNNNNNNNNNNNNNNNNNNNNNNNNNNNNNNNNNNNNNNNNNNNNNNNNNNNNNNNNNNNNNNNNNNNNNNNNNNNNNNNNNNNNNNNNNNNNNNNNNNNNNNNNNNNNNNNNNNNNNNNNNNNNNNNNNNNNNNNNNNNNNNNNNNNNNNNNNNNNNNNNNNNNNNNNNNNNNNNNNNNNNNNNNNNNNNNNNNNNNNNNNNNNNNNNNNNNNNNNNNNNNNNNNNNNNNNNNNNNNNNNNNNNNNNNNNNNNNNNNNNNNNNNNNNNNNNNNNNNNNNNNNNNNNNNNNNNNNNNNNNNNNNNNNNNNNNNNNNNNNNNNNNNNNNNNNNNNNNNNNNNNNNNNNNNNNNNNNNNNNNNNNNNNNNNNNNNNNNNNNNNNNNNNNNNNNNNNNNNNNNNNNNNNNNNNNNNNNNNNNNNNNNNNNNNNNNNNNNNNNNNNNNNNNNNNNNNNNNNNNNNNNNNNNNNNNNNNNNNNNNNNNNGGUGUACUGGGUGAUCAGGCCAUUACACCAAUUUCCAACUGAUCCUCUACUUCAAAAUUUUAUAGAGGGGAUUUAGCAAACUCAAAAUAUUUCGUUUAUAAAUGUCAGUUACCCAGACCUAUUUUAAUUUCCUAUUAUUUAUGUACCUUUAGUUCUCAUCCUAAGUUUGAUACAGAUUUCCUUCCAUCCUCGUGCACGAUGCGUCCAUCGGCACUAAAAUGGAAUUCAAUCCAGACUACAGCUCCUUUGUUGGUUACGGCCGAUCCCAACAGAGGAGUUCUCUAUUUAAAUUCCUAUGUUCCGCAAUUGAUUCCUAAGUCCCAACUUACGCUCUGAUACCAACUUUGUCACGACCCAUUUUAUUUCAUCGAAAUUUCUGAACGUUCUGUUUUUGGGCUUGGGCUCAAUUCAAAUUUGGGCUCAAGUUAGAAAUGCUCGGUCUUCACGACCCAUACUAUAAAAAAAAUUCGGAUUUUUGAUUUAAUAAAAAAUUCUAAAGUUUUGAAAAUAAAAAUUCGGGAUAUUACAAUAUAGAUUAAGGAUUACAGCAACCAUAAUUAAUUACAACCUACUAGGUAUAAUAUCUAAUAAAAAAAUAUUAAACUUAAUACUUUGUAUAAUAUUUUGUUAUUACACUUACUAUAAUAUUGAAAUAUAAUUAUAGCCUUAUAAUUAAUUAAUAAUUAAUAACUAAUAAUAACAAUAAUAAUAAUAACAACUUUAGGAAUAAUAAUAACUUUAAUAAUAAUAAUAACAAAAAUAACUAUUUUACCGUCAAAACGACGUAAUUUUGGUGUAGGAGGUUUAAUUGAAUCCACAACCAACACAACGUCGUUUUAGCCUAGGGUUGGAUUUUAAUCAUACAAACAGAAAGUUCUCUCAAACUCAAGUUAAACGUAUUCUCCUCCCUCCUCCCUUCCCUGCGCCGCUCGUUUUCUUCACUUCUACAGCCACUGUCUUACUUGAAGACCUUCCCGUUGCUUUCGUUCUUGGCCAUCGCCUCCGCAGCAGAUGUGCUCUUCAAGUGUACAAGUGCUCUUCAGCCGCAGGUUCGUUCUUGAUUUUUUUUUUAUUUCAUUCUCAUUUUUUAUUUUCGUUUUGCAUCGUUCCUUUUUUUUUUCUAUUUUAUUUUUGUAAACACGUAUAAAAAGACAGAAAGGAGGAAUUGUUGAAUUAAUUUAUGGGUUCAGCUUUUUGUACAAAAUGUAAAAUCUCUACAUGCAAAAAAUAAAAUGUAUUUCUGCAACAAUUCCAUUUGUUUGAUAUGAUGAUAAUUUGCUUUUACUCUUAAUUCGUUGAUGUCUUGAGAAUGCUAUGAUUGUACCAAUUUAUGAAUGGCCAUUAUACAAGGGAAUUUAGAUUUGCGGAAUUGUAAUAGUUGGUGAUUAAACGGGUAUUUAAACGGAUUCGGCUAGUACGCGGGGUAUUUCUAAACGGAUUUGGGACGGGUUUGGGUAUUAUUGGUUUGUUUCUUAACGGAUUCGGGUGCUUACAUUAUUAACGGAUUCGAAUUCGGAUAGUUUAUUUUUUGCGGGUACCCGCCCCGCUGCCAACCAAGUUGACACUGACGCAACCUUUGAACCGCCUUUAAGAGUCCAUUAAUCUUGCGUCUGCUUCGCUGCGCACGCCUUAAACUGUAUUUUCGUUGCUCGCAUACAGUCAUUAACCACCACGAUUCUGUCAGUCACCAGCUCGACUAUUAACACCGGAGGUGGCAUUCGCUUUUUCAGCAUAACUUAGUCGAUCCCAAUUUUUUGUCUGCGUAAGUGUUAAUUGAUCUUUCUUUGUGUGUUACGGUUUUAGGGUUUUGUUUAAAGCUUCCUCUAUUAAUUCAUUUUGGGUUAUUUUUGUUGUUUCUUGAAUUUUCUAUCACAUAAAGAGUUCAAAUUCUCUCUCUCUCUCUCUCUCUCUCAUGCAAUUUCAAGAUUUUGGCAUGAGAUGCUUUCAAGAUUAUUUUUUUCAUUUGGAGUCUUGUUUCUAGGAAUUCUGUUGAUUUUCCAUAUAUUUUGAUGAAACUGAGCAAGAUAUGCUGUAGGUUUCUAUUGUUCAUUUAUGCUUUAGCUUGCUUGUCUAGGGAACUUUCUUUUUUCGUUUUUGUGUGCAUUUAUAUUUCUAAGGAUUAGCUGGCUCUGAAGUCAAGUGUAGCUGCCCUUUCCUCAUCUAUGGACGGAGAUGGGUAGAUUGAGCUUGUGCUAUCAAGCCGACAAUUAACUGCUCUUUAGUUAUUUUGUUUAUCAUGGCAUCCAUUUUUUGUCAUUGAAGAAAGGAAAAUGUUAACCGUGCAACUUUAUGAGUCAAAUGAUUUUAUGUUCUUUCAGUGAACAAAUCAUGAGAAGAGAACAUUUUGAAGUUUGAAUUUUAUGUUCCUUGCUAUAAAGAUGACUACAUUUAAUUCAGUUUAUUGGAUACUCCCUUUGUCACAAAAUAUAUGUUGUUUAAGGUUAUUGCAGAAAGAUUGAGGAAGCAAUUAGUUCUCCUAUAUUAUAACAAAUUCAAGGGUAAUUUGCCCAAAUUAUCCUUUAUCUCAAAACCAAUAGUUACUUUUGAAAGUAUUUAUUGUAACUAAUCUAAACAAGGCUAACAUCGGAAAAACAUCAUUUAUUAUUUUUUUAAAAAUACUCAAAACGACUUAUAUUUUGGGACAACAUAAUCACUCAAAAAUGACUUAUAUUUUGGAGUAAAGGGAGUAAUUGAAAUAAAGGUGAACUCAUCUAGACUAAUGCUUAGUUUCAAAAUAGUUUGAAUCAGCUAUGUGAAUGGUUUUUUCCCCAUUUUUCUUGGACUGCAUCCUACAAGUUAUACUAUGUCUCCAAUUUCAGGGGCAAAACUAGGUUAUAGGGUGGGGUGGCUGUGGUCCCACUAAGAUUUUUUCUAAUUAUAGUUUUAUAUUUUAAUAACCCCCCCCCCCCCCCAAAAAAAAAAAAAAAAAAAAAAAAAAAAAAUCCUCCCCGAUAAAACAUGUUUUAUUUUAGUUUAAGUUACUACAUUAUCUUGGUUAGCUUUCUUCAUAUUGUCUGACCUCUGUCUUAAAAAUUAAAGAUUAGCUUCCCAUUGUGCAGAAAUUAAUGAUCCCUCCAAGUUUUGUUUUGGUUUUCAGUUGCAUUUUCCUAUCUUCCAAUUGAUUUUCACUUGUAUCCUUUCCACCAUCCCACACACGGCCACCCCCCCCCAAAAGAAAAAAAAAAAAAAAAAAAAAAGAUGUGAAGUUCUAGUUAUUACCUUGUUUAGUUGCUUUGCCAUGGAAAUCUCAAUAACUAAACUUUUUACUAAGAGAUUAUUUUGUUGCAGAUGAAUGUAUAAUAAUCUUGGAGCAAAUUAAUAUGGGGCCUGAUUUGGAGAAAUCAAAAGCUUUGGCUAGUAAAGACAAUGGAGGCGUAUCCCAAGUUCAAGAAGAUAAGUUUGCGAAAUGUAUAAGUAAUUAUGAGGACAAUAAUUUCCAUGAGGAAGCUUUAAAUUAUGACCAAGCUAAACUAAGCGAGGAUAUGGAUAUUAAUAUAAUUGAGUGUACAAAAUCUGGUGACAAUGGACAAAUUGAAGCUCGAUGUGAGGAUGCAACUGAGAGUAUGAGUUCUUUUGGUGACACAUUAUCUGAGACUGAGAAUCUUGCAGUGUUAGGUGAUGCUGAAGUUGAAUCACAGUGCUGUCUCUGUGAUGCAGCAGCAUCGGUAUUUGAUGGAGGAGCAUUUCAAAUGAGGUACUUACUGUUUGAUUCAAUUGGUUCAUUACAUUUUAAUGCUCAUGUGUAGGUAACUUUCUGAUGAAAGAUAAAGAUAUGUGAUAUCAUGGCCCUCUAUUUUGGUGUAUAGUAUUGUGAGUCAUUGUCAACUAACUUUUCUUGGUGAAAUGACUUGUUUGUUGUGUAGCUGGAGGAAGUAUAGUCAUCCAUAAUUAAAAGAAAGUUUUACUACCUUCUUUUGUAGAAAUAUUAACGAUGAUCUUUUUGAUGAUGAAUUUGGGAUGUAUUUGAGCAUAUUUAAGUUGGGGUUUCUCUUCAAAUUUUUCUCUAUUCUCCACAGUAAUAUUAGCGCAUCAUUGUUUUUACUUUGUUUUGGAUUAUAAGCUGCAUCAUUGGUAAGUGAGAUCAAGGGUGGAGAGGGAGCAUCUCGGUUUUGCCUAUAGUAACUUAUCUUUAAAUGUUAACUCAGUUUAUCCUUAAUACAUGAUGCUCAGUUCAGUUGUGAGUAUAAUAUGGGCAAAUUAUCUUAAGAAUCAUUAAAUCCAAUAACUAAAUUAAUGUGAUUACAUGGAUUGCCUCCACCUCUUGUUAAAGAAGCACAAGAAUUGAAAAGAUUAACUAGCCAUUGUAAGUGUUCUGGAACAUUUGUCUUUGACUAAGGUUUUUAGUUUGAAACCUGCAUGGCGGAGGAUUUUAACCAUCACUGACAUUCAGAAAAGGGAACAAAACCAUGGAACAAUGAGACUAAACGAAAACGCUGUCAAAUCCACUCGUUGCCUUUUACUAAAACACUUUGGGUUACGCAAUUAUGGAGGUUGGCUUGCUGCUAAAGUCCCAACUUGUGAUUGGUCACAGGUCUCUUGAUAGUUGACUUCCUUCCCUUGUGGGCUAUUUUGAAUUAACCAUAAAAUUUGCUCGUGACAACGAGCUUAUUGGAGAGAACUUCUGAUCUCCUAAAACCAAACUUUUAAGUUUAAUCUUUGCGCCUUUUGUUCACGCCCAUGUUCUUUAAAUAUCAUGGCAGUGGACAGAACCAACUAUAAACUAGUAAACUAGAAAACUGAAAAUAACAACCUAUAAGGAAGCUAGAAAUAACUGCCAAUUAUGUAGAAAAACUACACUACAGCCACAAACUGAUUUAGCUACUUAAUCCAAGCUUUCAGCUGCUGCUGCUAAGUUUUCAUUACCAUGGGUAUAAUGCCUAUAAACAUAUCCAAACAAGAUAAUUUUAAUACUCCUUGAACCAGUGUCCUCAGUUUGCUGUGUUGAUUCCAGGUUCUUAACACUUCCUCUGUUCUCCGUCAUGAGAAUUUCUUUGGUAGUUGCUCCAAGUUUGUUGGCAUGGAAGGUUAUACACUACUAUUUUCGCAAGAAUUCAGUAGUUUCAAUCCCUCUUUUUUGAAGGGAUUUAAUAGGAGAGCCUUUAGGCGCGGAUCUUUCUCUAUGCUUAAAGACAUCUUGAUUAGUACCUUUUACUUCAGUGUGCAGUACUAUAGAUAGGCAAACUGCUCUUGACUUCUUAAUCAUGUAACUUAAUAUUGACUUUAUUUUUGUUAUUGGGGUAUGCUUCCUCUUGGACCCAUCAAUGCUAUUUACCACAAUCUUUUGUGUUUCAAACAUGUGUGCUGCACCUAGACUAAGUUAUUGGUUAAUCUUUGAGUAGCGCUGUUACACCAUCAGGGAUGAUUUUUGUACAAUGAUCUAGGUCUUAGAUUCCUUGUGGAGUGAUGGAAAAUUGCCCUGCGCAUAAAGGCAGCAUUGACCUUUCCUUGGAAAGUCUUAAUGGGAUUGCACAUGUAGCUCUAUUACAGAUAAGCUGAAAGAUCUAUGUCCACCUUGUUGUCGGGCAAUCCUUUAGGGGGAUUGCCGCUAAAAAUUCUCUCAUGUCUUAACACCACUUCUGUUUCUAAUUUUCAAUAUACUGAAGGAGAAUUGAUUAUGAUAAUAAAAUAUCCAAUGAUUCCAUCUCAGAAAAAGUGUAAAUACCAAUUUGAUCCUUUAAGUGGACUGAUGUGGUUCUCUCUUUCUGGUAGAGAAAGCAUUAAUUGUGCUCCUCUCUAUUGACUUCCUCCUUAUUUUACAUGUUUGAAUUUCCAUGGUUAUACAAAGGAAAAUUAGCUUUUGGAGUCAAUUUCUAAUUUUAUCAUUUCAUUGAAUAUUCAUGCUUUGUUCAACUAUGGAAUAUUCAGUCCCUUGUUUAAUUUAUUUUCUCCAAUUGUUCAGGAGGAAAAAGUUGACAGACCAUUGGAGGAGAUUUAUACGUCCUCUUAUGUGGCGAUGCAAGUGGAUAGAAUUGCAAAUUAAAGAAUUUCAGUCCCAGGCGCUUAAGUAUGACAGAGAACUUGCAGAACAUGAACAGAGAAAGCAGUUUGAUUAUGGUACGUUUUUAAUAGAAGGAAUUGAUGCAAAGUCAACACCAUUUUCAAGUUGUACUAAAAGGAACAAAGUCAUGAAAAGAAAGAAAAGAAAAAGAAUUGAGGAGGCAACUGACAUAUCAUCAUAUAUGCUACAACAUAACCUCUUUUCCUAUUAUGGUAAGCAUUCCGAUUUGCCUAUUACCUGUAGCAUUUGCAUCCCGAUGACAAGCAUUUUCCUAGGAGAGUAAUGUCUUUUCAUAUUCCCUUUUCUUAUUCUUUUCCCCUUUUCUUUCUUGACCAGAAACUAGGAAGUCUUCUGCCAAUGGUGCUUCUAUGAAUGACAAUUGCAGCAAUAAUCCAGGUAAGGAGUUAAAAUUUGUUUUGACUUCGUUUUUUAACUGAAAUUUUUAAAUGAUAAAACUGAGUAAUCUAGAAAUGCCUUAUAUACUGUGUUUAGCAUCUGUUCAUGGAUUUGAUGCUUCCAUAUGCUAGUCUUUGAUACAUUUCCUUUUGAGCCUCAACUUGAUUGAAGUAGUUAGUCUAAUAAAGGACUAGAGACAAUCACACGUUAGCAAAUGUGUGCAUGUAUUCUAACAUGUUUCUAUAUGAUGACAACAACAUAUAGCUCUGUGUGAUAGAGAGCGCACUUCUGAUUACUUGAUUGUGAGACGACGUGCAUCAAAAUUUACCUUGUUUUCUUGAUGUUGAUUGUAGAAUUUAUUGUUUUGUCUUCCCUUUUAAACAACUUCUUCCAGUUUCUCUUUCAAGUUUCUACAUAUUUGUACUUCUGAUGUUUUUUGUUUCCUGCAAUGGUAAAGUAUACCUCAUUAUUAUUCAAAUCGAGACUAAGUAGAAGAUUAUAAGCAAAAUUGAUAUUAUGCUGUCAGAAUUUAGAGUUGGGUUUAUUGGCAUAAAGAUCUUAAAUAUUAUUCCAAAAAAGAUGGUGCCAUGAAAAAUAGAAUUGAUAUAAUGAUUGGUCAAGUGCUUACAUUCAUCUUGAACUUUCUUAUUUCAAUCUUGUGGGACCUCAAGUUUGAUAAAGAUCUAUUAUACACUUGAACUUAUGAAUUUUGGACUUUGCACACCUUCCUGCACAAAUAAUAACAUCUUUUAGAGUUUUUGGCUUUUAUGUGCAAAACAUGAUUUGAUGUAUGAUGAGCACUACUUCUGAACAAUAAUUUUUUCAUUUUUCAACGAUCUAAUAAGUAUUUAACUAAUCUAAUUUUCUAAGUUGACGUGUUCAAUAAAAUGAUGUUGCGAACUAAAGUGUUUAACAAAUGUAAUUUCAUAAGUUGAAGUAUUCGAUGGUUCCAAGAAAAAAUUGAGAGUUCUAUAAGGUUAAAACAAUAAAGUGCAGAGGUAAAUUUAUGUAUUCAGCCUAUAAUGAAUGGAUGUUAUCUAGAUCAGAAACUGCAUGCUGCACACACAUCGGGAAACUUUUUUUUUUUUUUUUAAAUUAUAUAUUCUCUAUUGACUAUUAUUGCUAAAAUUCAGUUUAUCAUGUGCCUAACUUUUCUUAUCUGGGUCUUUUUCAGAUAAGGCAAUCAAUGUUAAUGAUGAGUUUGGCUUUCAAGAUGGAUGGGCAUCUCUUGAGACCAAAGGAAUUGAUAAUAUCUGUGAAAAUAUUCUUUUGAAAAUUGAAGCAUUACAAUUGCUAGUUCGCAAGUUGAAGGUCCGGAUUGAGAAGGUGGUGAGUGAAAAUCCUGGGAAGUUUGCUUCUGUUAAUAGGCUGAUCAUGCCUGUAUCUUGUGAUGCAUUGACCAGUUCUGAUCAAAAUCCUGCUUCCCCUCUUGAAAAUGAUGAUAGAAUGCCUGUUAGAUCUCUAUACACCAUCUCACAGUUUCUCCCUGAAAGUGCUGUUUCAAGUCACGGAGAGGUCACCACUCAUCCUGAUAUGAUUGAAAGCACAGAUCAGCCUGUGGUUGGGGUUUCAUGUGAAGAUGUAAGUUUCAUCUCUCUCUCUCUCUAUCCCCAACCCCCCCCCCCCCCCUUUCAAAAAAAAAAAAAAAAAAAAACCAAUCCAUUCUGCCGUCCUUUCGUGCUAGAUAAACAGUGUUGUUAAGUGUAUACUGGGCAAUGCUUCUUUCAUUCCCUGGCAUAUUUUUGGUGUAUACAGCACUUACAACGGGAGGUGCUGAAGGCUUAAAAUACUCGCCUUUACUUGUCUAUUUCUGUUAAGGAUUAGUUGUAAAUAGAGUUCUAUUAGGAGUUAGAUUCCUAAUUAGUUUAUGAUUUGUAUUCCUAAAUAGCUAGCGUAGGAAUUCCUUAUAUAUAGACCUAUGUAAUCGAUUGAUGAGAUACAAGAAAUACAAUUACAAUAUAUUCUCUCAACAUGGUAUUAGAGCCUUCCAUUAAAAAAAAAAAAAAAAAAAUCCCCAAAACCCCCUUAUNNNNNNNNNNNNNNNNNNNNNNNNNNNNNNNNNNNNNNNNNNNNNNNNNNNNNNNNNNNNNNNNNNNNNNNNNNNNNNNNNNNNNNNNNNNNNNNNNNNNNNNNNNNNNNNNNNNNNNNNNNNNNNNNNNNNNNNNNNNNNNNNNNNNNNNNNNNNNNNNNNNNNNNNNNNNNNNNNNNNNNNNNNNNNNNNNNNNNNNNNNNNNNNNNNNNNNNNNNNNNNNNNNNNNNNNNNNNNNNNNNNNNNNNNNNNNNNNNNNNNNNNNNNNNNNNNNNNNNNNNNNNNNNNNNNNNNNNNNNNNNNNNNNNNNNNNNNNNNNNNNNNNNNNNNNNNNNNNNNNNNNNNNNNNNNNNNNNNNNNNNNNNNNNNNNNNNNNNNNNNNNNNNNNNNNNNNNNNNNNNNNNNNNNNNNNNNNNNNNNNNNNNNNNNNNNNNNNNNNNNNNNNNNNNNNNNNNNNNNNNNNNNNNNNNNNNNNNNNNNNNNNNNNNNNNNNNNNNNNNNNNNNNNNNNNNNNNNNNNNNNNNNNNNNNNNNNNNNNNNNNNNNNNNNNNNNNNNNNNNNNNNNNNNNNNNNNNNNNNNNNNNNNNNNNNNNNNNNNNNNNNNNNNNNNNNNNNNNNNNNNNNNNNNNNNNNNNNNNNNNNNNNNNNNNNNNNNNNNNNNNNNNNNNNNNNNNNUUGUCCUAAUUCUGCUGCUACUAUUUGGUUUGGGAUUCUAUAUUGCUAUAAUGAAGUGGGUACAGUUGCUGAGUAUGGUAUUGUGCUUUGCUGAAAGUAAUAGUUUGUAACAAGUUGAGCAUGAUUAUCAUCUAUGCUCCAACUUGAGGGGGAGUGUUAAGGAUUAGUUGUAAAUAGAGUUCUAUUAGGAGUUAGAUUCCUAAUUAGUUUAUGAUUUGUAUUCCUAAAUAGCUAGGUAACAUAGGAAUUCCUUAUAUAUAGACCUAUGUAAUCGAUUGAUGAGAUACAAGAAAUACAAUUACAAUAUAUUCUCUCAACAAGUUCAUUUGUUAUCAUUUGUCUCAGUCUGAUCAUGGUUCUAAAUGCUUCUUGAUAACAUCUCUUAGCCAGCUACAUGGAUUCUCUUCAAGUCAGUACAAUGUACCUUUUCGUUGUCUCACUAUUUGUACUGCUUUAUACUGGCAGCUUUGGCAAAAAUUUUCAACUCCAUGUAUUGUUGGGCUUGCUUUAUGUAAUGCAAAUAAAGGGUUGAUGGAGAGGUCUUGCUUGGGUAAGAAUAAUUGAAUGUGAGAGCUCUAAGACGUCCCAGGUUUGAUAUAUGAGAGAGUAAUAAUUACUGUCGAGUUGAGCUAUAGUUGGUAUACUAUUAGGAGCAAUCUUGUACAAUGGGUGCAUCAAAAAGCUUAAGCUAUGCUUAGCUGAUGCUUGUUAUUUAGGUGACUGUUUUGGCAACAAUUGGCCUCAAUUAAUAUCAUGUAGUGAUAGUGCCCCAUCCCAAAUAUACAUGUUAGCUAAUACUAGAAAUUGCUAUUUGUAAUAGAAACUCUGUGCUGAUAUAUGGGAAUGAGCCAGUGCUAUAUAUCUCAGUUGUCUAGAAAAACCAGAACAUUUAUUAUUGUGGUAUUGAGAACUUGGUGCUGACUUGCUUCCAGUUUGUGUGAUCAUAUAUCGUUCUUGUCCUUGUCCUUGUCCUGUCAGCUAGUGAGUUGAAAAUUUUCACAUUCGUACUGUGCCAACUCCAUAAAAAUUUUCUAUCAAGAUAUUUUCUUGGUUCAUAAGAUUUCAGUGGUAUGAUUGUUGCCGCUACUCAUAUUGGCAAUUAUAGCUUUGGUCGUGGGAGUCACAGAUUAUAUUCAUUUUCACGGGACAAUUUCUGUGUAGAAUUUGGAAUUGAUUAAUGUUUUGAUGUUUUGUGGACCAGCAUGUUUUUCUUCUUUUUAAAUUGUAUUGCCACCCAUCUAUUACGAGAGUUAUUUAUAACUGAUGUGUCCUUCAUUUCUGCAGACUAAAGAAGGAAUUCUAAUAAAUAAUCAGGCAGCAAAGGAAGAGAUGCAAGACUUGAAUAUGUUCAGAAACGAGGUCACAGAGAAGCAUCAGGUAGAGACAGAAGAGCAGACAUCAUGCGUUCCUGAAGCUACUAACAUAUCCACAGGUACAACUGUGCCUCGUGUAAAUUUUGGUGGAAAAACACUUCCAAAAUCCAGGAGCAAUCUUUCCAAUGACAAGAAGAAGACGGGGAGGAGAAAAUCUGGCAGAGGUGGCCGGAACCGUAAAUCCUGAGCUUAGCUGGAUAAGUGAUUUAGAUGUCUCGAGUACAUAAAAGACUGAAACUUCUUCAAAAGUUGUUGGAAGUAACACUUUUGCAAGAUGAUAAUUGUAAAUGCUGAUGCAUUUUCUGAUGUGUAUCUUCCCGCUGCCCAUCUGCUGCUUACAUAUUUGUACAUGCUCCAUAUUCAUUAGGUCUCUUAUCUAUGCUGUAGAGCAUUGGAUGCUUUGUUUAGAGAUGUGCUAUUAUUUUAAUACAAUUAUAAUUUUGUUUGUGGAAAUAUUUUUUAGAUUAGUGAGAAUUUGCAGAAUGUGUACACUGGAGAAGCACAGUUGUUAGGUCCCUCCUUGAAGCUAACAGCUCGAUCCGAGCCAGGAAUUGAAUUGGAUAGUGAAAACUGCUAGAUUCAUAUGAUAUCAUGGAUUUCUUUCUUACAUUGACCAUAUGCGUUUCGUCUCUCUCCUUUCUCCUUUGUGUAGCAUAAUGACUCGUCUCUUUUACUGUUCAAAUCUGCAAAAUGGGGAUGUUUUUUGAGUCUCAUGGGAGAAGUUAUGUGAUUGUAUAUUUGUCACAGGACUUAAUAUUUUCCCUUAUCUCUUCAAUUUGACACUACAGGAAUGCUUGUUAAUAUUUCAAUGUUUGACUGUUUUAGGUUUUCCUUCAACGCAUUCCACAAGUUUUUGUGAUAAUAACACUGUACAAGCAAUUCUUAGAUAAAGAUUCGCUUAUUAGUCUGAUGGAUUGGAUUGAUAUGUUUGAUACUGCAAAAAGAAAAAGUCAAAUAAAUCAAAUAUACAAAUUAAGAAGUUUUUAUAACAUUCGCCAAACACAAGUAGCAAUGAUGUCCUGUGUCCGUAUCAGAAUGCAGAUGCAAUCCCAGAUUCCUGAAGAGGUUGAGCAAGAAGUCUGUUCAGGAGCGCAAACACUCCUAGGAAAUGCGAAAAUAGUGAAAUAUGUUUGCUGUGAGAGAUCUAUCGAUCCAGUCAAAAGAAGUAAACUUUCCAUCUUAUGUUAAGGACUUCUUUUCAUUUUUCCCAUUUUUAGCAUCUAAAAUUAACCAUUUCCAACCCUUCAAUUGAGGUGGAGAAUCUUUAUACCAACCGAUAAAAGAUCAAGUACAGGAACAAGGUGGAUUAGCGGUCAGUCGCCAAGCCAGUUCAAGAAAGCCAAGUAAAAAAAAAAAUAUUUCCAGGUCUAUCUCAGCUCGUUCAUCAUCAUCCAUGAUCGAUUUCAAGAGCAAACCAUCUUCAGAACACCGUCUUCAUUUCUGGUGUUUCUGUUCAUGCCUCGUAGACUUGGUCUUUAACACUAAUUUCUCUCUGUAGGGUACGGUUGAAGAAAUGCUUCAUCUUUUUGCGGAUUUCGAAUCUGAACUUACUCAUCUACUCUAGAAAUUCAAGCUGCAUUGCAAAAUGUGACUGAUGCCCUUUAAACUGGACCAUUUUCCAAGAUCCUGAACAGAACAAGAAACUCAAGAGAGCCUUGCACCUCGUUUCCACUUACAGGUCUGAAGACGGUUUAGCCACUGGUCAAAUGGCUGCUAUUUCUAACUUUAGGCAGGAGAUUGAUAAACUUGUAGCAAAGUUCAGAAAUUGCAAUGAGGAAACAGUCUGAGAAAGACUUUCAGGAAACAUAUCUCUUGCUUAAGGAGCUGAAAGUAUGUUAGACCAAAUUAGUGGAUUUUAACCUCACAUACUUCUUAAUUUAGAACCUGUAUGAUAAGUAAAUAAGUUUUGUGGAACUAAAUCGAUGGUGUUCGGUCAUGGUAUCCAUAGCGUUGCUUCUUUUUCGGCGCAGACCCGACGCGACUGACAGAUAAGCCGACGUUAAUAGCAGGUCUAAUUCCCCCCCUUUUUUCGUCUAAGUAAGGUGAAUUGGCUUCCUGCUUGACCCGAACCGAAGCAAGUCCUUCUUUCAUUUCUUCGGUGAUUGGCUCUCGUAGCGCUUAGUGUAGUAAGGGCCACUGGCUGUUCUUUCUACGUAAACUUGCUUUUUGGCUUCUUUCAUCAAAGAUAGGUAUGAGCUAAAGGCUUUUUUUUCUCACUAAACCCAUUUCUGAUCUUCUAUUGAAACUUUAUAUUUUCAUUUUCAUUUUCUUUUUAGGAAUUCAAUUCAUGUAUGUUAACUAAAUAAAAUUCUGCCAUUAAUGAAUUCUGUAUUUCAAAUGUCAAAUUCACAUCAUAACAAAAAAAAAAAAGAAAAGAAAAAGGGGACACAGAAAAUAGAAUGGAAAAUAAGAUGAGAUUUCAUUUCCACUCCCUCUUUAUUUUAAUUAUUAACCUUCUAAUUUUUGUUUCAAAAGGAAUCCAAGGCAAGGCAGCAAGCUUAAAGGACUUUAGCUCCAAUGUGAAGCUAACAAGUUGUUCCAAGGUAGGAAUAUCCUUUCAUUUCGAAAAUUGUUAGAUUGAAUAUAAAUCAAGGAUUCCUUUCUUUCAUCUAAGAAAAAACAAAAUCCACUCUCUAUUUCUUUGCAUAUUUCUCCAAUUUUACCCUUCCAUUAUAUAUGUAACCAUUUUGCGAUUCAAUCUACUUGAAUUUUUCAAAUUUACAAAAUGGGGAUGUCCAUGAGUUUCAUGGGAAAAGGUUUUGUGAUCUUCUUGCAAAUUUUUCAUUUUCACAUAGUAAUCUUUUUUGUUUUCCCUUGCAUAUUAAUGGUUUUCUUAAUUCUUGCAUUUGAUUAAAAUUAUUACAUAACAAAUACAAUAAAGAAUUUUUUUUUUUUUUUUUUUUUUUUUUGUAGGGUUGCCUUCAAACCAGAUGGUAGGUUUUGUUAUGGGGACUCUCUACAAGCAAUUUGUGGACCAAGAUAUUAAGAACGUUGAGGAAUUCCACAUGGCUAUUCUUGAUAUCUUCAAGUAAGAUUAUAAAGAAAUUAUUAUUAUUAUUAUUAUUCUUGAUAUCUUCAAAUGAGAGGGUCGGAAUCAAGCCUGGACCUAUAUCAUCACCGUUAAGGUUCCUUACCACCAAAAUCAACAUGAGUUACAAAAAUUAUCUUUUUUUAGGUUGUGAUUAGACCUAAUAAAUAUACAUUAAUUUUUUCAUUCUUGAAAUUUUAUUGCUGUUUAAUUGUUUACAGCGCAUUCAACUCAGCAUUGCCUGGUAAACAUUAUGAUGCACCCUCAAGAAAAGAGAUAGAGGCCAGUGACAUUAACCUUACAAUAUUCUAAUUAAUUAAAUCCCAUUAUCUCAAAUAAAUUUAUAUAAUUAUGUACAAAAAAAUGUUCAAUAUUGCAGGCAUGUUUUAGUUUUUGGAAACAUGCUUCAGAUGCACAAAGAAAAGAACUCUUCAUUGAAUUGAUGAAGAAGAGCGUAAAACUUAGCAAGAUAGAUGACUCCGCCUUGGUCACCGGAGUAGUAACACCACCGGCAGCAAUGGCUGCCAAGAAAGCGGCGGAGAAUUUGCCUCAGUUAAAGAUAUUAAAGGCUGUGCCAGAUGUUGUCUUUGUGCCUGCAGCAACAGUAUUAGCUCUUAUCUCUGCUAAGCUUACAAAAAGGACGUUCUUUGGAAGUUCAGCGUCUCCUUAAUUCUAAAAUAAAUUGUAGUAUGAAUUAUCUUGUAAUAACUAAAUAAAAUAUUAAAAUUUCAAGCUCUUUAUAAUUGCAUUUAAUGUUUUUAAUUUUAUCAAUUAAACGUAUAAUUUUUUUUAUCAUUAAUUUUGCCUCAUUCAUUUUACACAUUGAAAGAUCGAUUUUUGAAGAGAACACAAGAAGAUAUGAGAUAGUACACACCCAUUAUAAAAAUAGACUUUUUUUUUUUUUUUGGUAACGAUUGGAGAGCAAAACUCUAAGUAAACAUUGAAAGUCCAGUAUAAAAAACCUCUUGAAGAAGCCAUUCUGCCAUCCCAGGAGGCGGUUCAUGAGAAGUUGACUCCCUGAUGGAUAAUUUCUUGCGCAUCUAGAAAAGUAAUCCGCGCAAUUGUUCAUUUCUCUGUAAAUAUGUUUGAUCACACAACUUUGAAAUUGUGGGAUCAACUGCUGAAUAGCAAGCACCAGUUUCUGAAUUGCUCUUGAAGAAGAACCAUUGCUUGAAAUGAGUUGGACAGCAGCCAAAUUAUCACAUUCAACUUGGAUAUUUUUCAUCCCUAAACUCUUGGCCAGCUGCAAACCUUCCAGAACUGCCAACAACUGAGCAUUGAAAACCGUACAAGAACCUAUGUUAGAAACAAAGCCUCUGAACCACCUCCCAGCAAUAUCUCGAAUUAAACCUCCACCACAUGCUGAUUGUCCAGUAACAGAAGUGUUAGUAUUGAGAUUGACGCAGUUGCUAGGGGGAGGAGACUAUGUGAGUGAAAUUAAUUCUUUAUUGCACGAAGGAAUCUCGACUUUUUCACGUACAAACUAGUUUCGAAAAUAUUCUUAGCCAAGCAGAACGCCUCCAUUUUCAACCUCUGUAUCGUCACAUGUUCUUCACGAAAGUACCAUCUAUUGCGUGGAUCCCAGAUUUUCCAGCAGCACACUCCGAAAAUAAUAGGUCAAGGGACACUAGAAUGAUGCGUACAGUUGCCGGAAAGAUUAUACAAGAGCCAAUUUUAAUGCAAUAUGUUAACUCAUAUUUCUCACACACGCAUAAACUCCACGUGUGAUUUGGGAUAUGGAAUACCCAACGUUUCUUAAAAUCGAAUUAAAUUAAAUAAAUAAUUAAAUAAAUAAUAUACAUUACCAAAUAUAUCUUAAUUCUACAGCUGAUACAUAAAUACAUUACAGCUUUAAUUUUAUGGCAUUUUAAAUUUUGAUGAGGACCAUUUAUGCUCUUAUUUCUUAUAAAUUUUUGCAAAUCACAUACUUUUCCAUAUCAUCGACAAUUAUCUAUAGGGAUAUUAUUUGAAAUAUUAAUUUGAUUUAUGAUUAGGAUAACUUUAGAAAUAAUGAUUUUUACAUCUUUUAAUUAUAUUUAAUAGAUGUCCGAUCAAUUUAAAUUUAAGUGUUAGUACAUUCAAUAGAAUGAUUUGCAAAUUUUUUAAUCUUGUUGAAGUUUUUAAUAAAUCAAAAUAAAGCUAAAGGUUCCUUUAGACACUUAAAAAAAAAAAAAAAAAAAAAAGUUAAAGCGUCAAUUUAUGCGUUUGGCCUAAUUCUGCAGGUUACUGUUUUUUUACUUUAUUUUAUUAUUAUUAUUAUUAUUUUUUUUUUUUUUUUUUUUUUUUUUUGAAAUGAGAUUUGUGCUUAAAAGGUGCAUAUUUUUUUCAUAUGGUUCAUUAUGAUUAAGUAGAAUAUGCAGGUAUGGUAGUGGCUAAAAGGUAGGUUUUGCGAUUUCAUUUUGCCUCCAUCUCUAUUUCACGUGAAACCAACAAUCUGUGCUAUGUACAGAUUUUCUUUUCUUUUCUUUGCUUUACUCUAUGUCAAGAAAUAUAAUAUAUAGUAUCAACUUUUUUUUUUUUUUUUUUUUAAAAAAUGAAGAUUUUUUAAGAAAUGAAGUAGCAUACAUACAAUUAGAAAUAGGUCAUUCCGCUAUGCAUAUGUCAAUAGUAUAUAUAAGAUAUGUCGGGUAAAAUUAACUGUUUUGUUAGCUGUUAGUUUUUUAAAUAAUGUUGUUUAAAUAAUUUUUCAUAAAACGUUAUAUAAAUUAACUUUUCAUAAAACACUAUCUUAACUUCUAAAAUCUAGUUCAAAGGCUAUAGUACCGAACACUAUAAAAAAUAUUAUUCAAAAUGCUAAAAACUACUUAAAAAGCGGUUGCCCGAACACAGUCAUAGUCUCUUUUAUUAAAUAUUAUUAGUAGCUAUUUUAAUUAGAAAAUACAAGGAAUAAAGAAAAACUCAACUUUAUAUAAACUGAUUAUCAAAACAAAAGAUAGAAUAAAAUGGCAGAUUGAUAUUUACAUAUAUGUUCAACUCAAUUAGUUCCUUAAUUAUGAAUUAAUUGGUAAAUUUUCUUCUUUUCUUUUUUUUUUCAUUUCAUAUUUAUAUGUGUGUUGUAGAUUUAAAUCUUCAAAAAAGAUUUAAAAUUUACAGUUAAACAAUUUUUUGCUAAUUUAAUUCAUUCCCAUGUUCUUUUUUCAUACAAGUUUGAUAUCCUCAACUUUUCCAUGCAUCUCCAAACAAUUCUUACACAAUUUUACUAAACAUGAUAACAAAUACUCUUCAAAUGGAGAGGAAGUCUUUAUCUGCGUAUAAUCAAGAACUAGAAAAGGUAAAACUGAAAUUUAAUAUUAAAAUUCAAAAAGUAGUAACAUAAUUUAGGAGUAGAACAAAAAAUUCAUUUAUUCCAAAAGCAAACGAGAAUUUGUUCAUAUUCAUAAAUGUUUCAAGAAAUAUUAAUCAGUUCAAGGGCACUUGGAUUGACCCUUGGAGUUCUUCUUGUCUCUAUAGCAAGGGCAUUCUGAUUUGUUUCCAUAGGUUCCUGAAGGUACACAUUUGCACUCUUGGCAGCAGAUUCCACAAUACUUCAAGCACCUAUCCUUAUAUCCUGCAUUGCUACACCUUGUCCCACACUUCAAAUCACAAUCACCUAAUAUCACCAAAACAGAAAUAUAAGUACUUAUUUAUUAUUCCAAAAUGGAAAAACCCCAGAAAAAAAAAAUUGAUAUUUGCUUGGCUUAAUUUAAUAAUCUUACUUGGAGCAGCUGUGGUAGGUGGUGGUGCAGCCAUAUAUGGUGGAGCUGAAGCCAUGGCUGUUUGAAGUAAAGAGGAGCAAAGAGCCAGUGAAAGAAUCAGGAAUGAUGCAAGCAAGAGCUUCAUUUUAGUUAUUUUGAUUGAUAUUUUACACUUCAAGAAAUAGUACUAACUAAGGCGAUGAGAAUUAGCUUAGGAAGCUAUGGGCUUGAAAGAAUUCAGAGGAGUAUUUAUAGUGGUGGAUUGAAGGUGGAAGUCAUGUGGAAAUUUGAAGCAAAAGGGUAUUUUAUUAAUAAAAUUAAAAGGCCAAUGAACAAUUUCAUUACAGUCUGUAAUUUAAGGAGGCACUUAUUGGGGAGGGCAUUAUAGAUUUUUGUCUUGAUUAGCUUAUUAUAUUUCUACUCAGGUUUAUGCUAUACAUAGGGAAGUUUGCAAGUACCUUCCUGAGGAAGGAGAUAAUCCUUUUUUAAGGUUAAUUAAUUAGGUUUUGACUAACACUUGUGAAGUUCUGAUGAUUUAUAAAAUUUUAGUACCAACAAUUUGAAAGGGUACAAGCUGUACUGGCUUCUCCGAUGUAGCCCAUUUGCAUAUGUUUAUUGAUCUUUUUUUGCUCUUCCUUUCUGGCUCGCCAGAAUCUCUAUGUAACUUGAAAAAUAAUUUCCAACUUCAAGUUAAAAGGGAACAAAGAAAUGAAAACUGAUAUAGACAGGGAUAGAGAAUCUCAAUUAGUUUGGCGCACAAUUCCAGGCUGUGGCUUCCCCCAACUUGCACUUAUUUAAAUUAUUUCCUUUUUAUAUGUGUGGGAACUAGAGGAGGAAGAGAAUAGACAGGCCCCCGAAGGUUCCAGGAAAUUGGACUCAACCUCCUGAGAUUCCUCUUUAAAUAUUUUGAUGUUCAAAAAAAAAAAAAAAAAAAAAAAAAAAAAAAAAAAAAAAAAAAAAAAAAAUUUUUUUUUUUUUCCCCCGCCGCACAAAGAAAAUAUUUUGUUGCGAAUGAACAAGAUAUUGAGGAAUUGUCCAUAAUUUUACUGUCACCUGAGGAAAAUAAACUUAGAAGCUUAUGAAAAUAAAUUAUAUAGCUACAAGGCAACAAAAUCUAGAAUUCAAUGGCUAAAUGCACAAGAAGUUUCAUUAAUAACAAUGUGAAUUCUUACAGCAGAAUUUUUUAUAUUCAAGCAUGGAACAAUUUAAAUACAUCGGAUUAGUGAUACUGAAGAUGCAAACCUAUAUACGUUUAAACUGCUGAGAGUUGUGGCCGUGAUAAAACAAUAAGGAAGCACGUCUUUGCGAACAGAAAGAACUCAGGCUUUGACAUGUACUAUAAAUUCUUCCCAAUAACUUGCAAAACAAAACAACAUUAAAAUGUCAAUCCACAUAGACACAUGUAUGCCUAUCUAUAUAUGUAAUAUGAUGAAAAAUAAACAAAAAGAUACCAAUGUCAACCUCCCAAACUAGAGGAAGCACGGAUAUGUUGACCAUAAGAAUGUUCUUUGGCAGAGCGACUGGAAGUGAGUAAAUUGACCUGCAGAAGGCCCUCAACAAUUAGAGUUGACAGAAUGACACAAAGGUAGGUAGCAAAGAAAAAUUGGUCAAGAAAGUUACCUUCACGAUGUCACAUUUGGCGCUUGGUCGCCUGGAGGCAGCUAGGACACUCAUGUGAAAUAGCUGUUUUCAAGAACACAAUGAUAAACAAAGCAAUACACGUGAAAAUUUUAUCUAACAAUUAACUUCUACUGUUGUUUGCGGUACUUGCAAUGGAAACUAGUACAAAACUUAAAGAAAGGAUGAACUGGACAUGAAAGCAAAGCAAUGUGAUUUCUGACUCACAGCAGUUAUUAGUUAAUAAAGAAAAGUUAUAUUUUCUUGGUUUGUUGCAUAGGAAAUUACCCUAUAAGGAUCGCUUCUUAAGGACUGCACAAACAGAGAAUUCCCCGAGUCACUAUCCUGCAAUGGAAUAAACACCAGAACUCUUAAACAUGACAAGUCAUAAACAGCAGAAGUGGAUGCAAAUAAAUGCUCCAAAAGGAUAAAACUGAAAUUAAUCAAUAGUCAUGCCUCCAAAUAAACAUCCUUGAGUCGCCUUCCAGUUUGAGCACAGCAGACGCGGACAACAUUUUCAUCACAGCUACCACUUAUGAUGUAAUCCCUCCCAUUCAUGUAAUAGGAGCGAGUAUAAUUAUGAGAACUUCCAGUUGCAGCUAUCUCAAAGUUCAUGUGAACCCUACCAUCUACUGCCAGAAGUUGUUUGACCUGACACAAGUUAAAAGUGGGAUAUUAUCUUGAACUCAGUGAAAGAAGCCAACAAGUUUGUUAUUACUAUGUUAAGGUGGCAUGCUUACAUCCUAAGAGGUAAACAAGGAAUUCUGCUUGAUGAUUAGUAGGGAACAUCUACAGUUAGAUGCGUUAAUGACAUUGGACUAGUGAAAUUAUGCUCAUCUUAUCAAACCCCUUUAUAAGAUUAGGGAGUCUACAUCCACACAAUGAUUUAGAAUUUUUCUUUAUCUAGUACGUUUUAUCCUUGCCCAACUGAAUAUAUACAUACAUAAUGGAUAUGAAAAUACCUCAUUGUCAACAGCUGAAACAAGCAGAUAUUUGUCAUCAGGAGAAAAGCAAACCAUCACAUUCCCUCUUGAACUUGAGGCUGUAUAACAAGGCCUCUCUGGUUUUUGUCUCAAAUCCCAAAGCUUGACAUCAUGGUCAAAUGACGAAGUAGCAAAUAGGAAGGGAGAACAGUGUGCAAAUUUAGCAACAUUAAUGGGUUCUCGAUGCAUAUUAGUAAACAACUGUAUGCGUCUUCUACUACUAAUGUCAUAUAGGGCAACAUCCUUUGAGUACCCACUGGCAAGAAACUGAUCGUCUGUGGAAUUGACAUGAACAGAAGUCAAUGGCUCAAAAUCAUCAAAACUGACCACUCCUGUCAUGCAAUUUAUAUCUGCAACUUUUGGUGGCAUAUGAUUGAUGUCAAACAGCUUCAAGGAACCAUUAUCAGAACCAGCUAGCAACUGUUCAAUGCAUACAAAAAGCCUUCAGCAAAAAUUGAACUUCUAAGAAUCAAAAUGAAGCAAUAAAUUAGAUGUCCUUCCCAUUAUAUAGCAUUUAUGAAUUACUUCCAAAGACAAGUUCUAGCAACAAAUUAUCUAUCCUAUUGAUACAAUUCUAGUAUCUUUUAGGUGUAAGCAUGCAACUGGCUGAUUUCCCUCAUCCAAAGAACAAAUGUAAAAUAUUUCAAGGUUUAAAUUGCUGCGGAAAGUAUACAAGAUACUGCUGUUGGAAAUAUCACCUUGGAAUUCAGGUGUGAUCUUGACCUACAAAGUCAUCGAGUAAAAUAAACCAAAUCCAAAGACAACCGCAAUUUAUUGUUGAACCAUAUUGAACUUACGAUACCAAACACAAGUGCCUUAGAAACAGAUAAAAGAAAAGGGUCGAAAGUGCAAGACAAAAGUAUUACAAGCCUAAAAUGCUUUAUGGAAAUGGCAUACCUUUGAUGGAUACAUUUUGAGCCAACAAAGACCCAGAAUACUGUUCAUUGCUCCACUGGAAGGAACAUAACCAACAGUCUUCCCAUUUUCAUGAUUAGUGACAACUACUUCACCAUCUAGAGUUCCAAAAACCAUAAGACUAGGAUCAGAUGGAUGAUAUUCGAAUUGUCUAGGGCGAAGACGCUUACUUCCUUCUUUAUGCAGAUGGCUCAAGCUAGACAAAGGGUGCAAGAGGGGCCAUGCAACAGAACCCAGCUUGGCAGCACUAAGAGAUCGUGGAAAGAAAAUUUGACUCUUUCCAUGAGGAUAUUGCUUCUUUGUCUUCUGGAAAUUUGGGCAGGCACCACUUGCUCUCAUUUCACGUUUCUGCAGGAUACUGACAAUGCUUUCUUUGUAUUGUCGGUUAUAGGCUAAGUACUCAUAGAAUUUUGAAGAGAUGAUCUUCGCCAUUUUCUUGUCCAGCUUUCCAACGGGCAAAUUAUCUAAAACCUCCAAAUGAGGCAAUGAAGCAAUUAUAUACUCCCUAUAAUGUUUCUCAAAGCAGAUAGGCGAUGGGUGGUGUGAACUGUAAAUGUUGUUUAACUUAGUACAGUUUUUCUUCAAAUCCCACAUGCAUCCACUUGCAAACAACUCAUUUUUGUCUUCAAUCUAUCAUUCGCCAAAAGAAACCUGUUAGACAAACUAAAAAAAUCCAUCACCAAACAUCUAUAUUUCAAACUUUCCCCCUUCUAAGCAUUUAAUAUGCUUACCUCAUUUUGCAACUUGACUUUUCCAUUCAAAUUAGGAAGCAUGCUGGAUGAUAGUUCCAGCAAAUCUAUUCUUUGCAGGCAGCUUGAAAUUUUAUCUUCAGUAGUGACUGAAAAGUUAUCAGUUCCUCCAUUAACCUCAUUACAUGUAAAUGCAUUUUUGGGAGAAAGCAAGUCACAACAUGACAUUGCAUGAGGAGUGUAAAUAGUUGUGUCAGCAGCAUUGACAGGCAGCAGUUCAAUGGAUGAACCUCUAUCCAACUGAUGCAGGACAUUUGCUUUGUUACCAAAUGAUGCAGGACAUGGCCCAGUGUCCUUGCAACACAAGCAAUUUUGGAAUCGUAGUUCUAGCAAAGAAGGAAGUUUCAAUAAGGCAGCAGUGGUUGUCCAGAGAUCAAUCACUCUUGUCUCACACAUUGAGAGACGCAUCAGAUUGGGCAUGGAAGAAAAACAGUCCCUAUGCAAACUAGCGAUUGAAGUGCAAAAAUCCAGAUUUAAGGUGUGCAAUCGCAUAAAACUUCCAACCAUGUUGAGCUUUUGGAUGUGAGUGGACCUCAAGCUUAAAAUUUCACAAGAUAAGCCAUGGUGACUUAGAUCCCUGGAAAGGUCCCACAAACAACGAUGUUAAAAUAUGAUUUAGAUAGAGAAUACUCCACCUUUCUUUUCAUCCUUUUCAAGCAUAGUUAAUUGGUCACUAGACUCACUGCAUGAUAUAAUGUUUCCUUAGCAAAAGAGGAUGCUAUAUGCUUUUCAUAGAAAGACAAAAUUAACUGUCAUGAACCCAGAAAGACACAGGACACAAAUGUUGGGGCUCUGUAAACUGCUGAAGCAGGGUCUUGGGAUCCUAGAUAAGGCCCUCACUUGAGCAUUCAAAUCUUCAUAAUUGUUAACCAAUACAGAAAGUGCCCACUAGCCGUCCUAAUGGUCUUUCCAUCCAGAUUCUAAAAAUAUGACGGCAGUGGUCCUUUUCAAGUUAUUUUAAGUGAUAAUCUCAUCUCUUAAAACUCAUAAAGUGAUUAGAACUUCUAGCAUCACCAUCAUUUUUCUCUCUCUUCAUAUUCUUUUUUCUUUUUUCUCUUUCUUAAGGAAUUCAAGGUUGGGAAAUUGGAAACGGCAGAAAUCUAUCAGGUAAAGGAAAAUAAAAUAUAGAAGAUAAUGCAUUAUGACUAUGGUAAAUGACAAAGACAAUAAGGACAAGCAAUAAAACAGAAUGGUGAUACCAACCAUAAAAAGUCCUCUUCCAAUGACAUUUCCUGAAGAUCAACAACCCGGAGUUUUAGAUGAAUUGCUCGCAACAAGGAAAGAACAUAUUCUUCCUUCAAAUUGCAAUGCGAUUCAUUGACUAUGUCAACUGCAUCAAUGUCAGAAGAGUCUACUGCUAGGAACAUAUCAAUCAGAGGAGGAAUAUCAUCAUUCUUGAGCUGAUUUAGCAAAACCUCAAAGGUACACUUCUUCUGGAAGAACUUCUGUAUUGUGGCCUAAAUAAAAGAAGAAAAGUUAUGCUUGCCACAAAAUAGUUUCUUCAAUGCAAAAACUGUACAAGUUUGUUACUGGAUCAAUCUACCAGCCAGUGAAGCAAAGAUGAUUAAUAAUCAUAGAGAAGAAAGCUAAGUUUCAUUAUGCUAUCAAGUUAGGACCAUAAGUAUUAUUUCAGAGAAAGAAAUGCACCUCCCAAGGCCAAAAAAACAAAAAAAGAAGAAGAAAAAAAAAAAAGACAGCUUGCUGCUUUAGGAGGUGGGAUAAAACUAACUUCAGAAAAAUCCAGUCCAAGCAGCACACAGUGCAACAUAUGGCUCUUUUCUGAAAGAUGGUUUAAGAAUCCCCUCAAUGCAAGCAAAAUGAUUCUAUACUAACAACCAACUUUUAUCCAAAAAAUAUGAUAUUAAUUGAUAAAAACAACAACAAGUGGACAGCCUUAGUCAGUAACAUCAGAUUCCACAAUCUAAAGCAGUCUGAAGGGAUAAAGGCAGAUGAAGGGGGGAGGUGCGUGUGCAAUAUCCUAACAAAGGAAACACUGUUCCCUAUUAAACAUGAGGGGCGGCGCAAACAUUCAUGAAGAAAGUUUAGUUUAAUAGACCUUAGAGAAGCAUGACAGUACGGCAGAAUUGGGUGGCACCUCAUGCCUCCUGCAAGAAUCAAGAUACCUAGCACAAAAAGAGAACGCAAUCUGAGAAUCAAUAAGAAUCUAAAAGUACAAGGAUUCAGAGAGCAAAAGCCACUAUCAACACCAGCAUCAAGAAAUCAAGCUUUUGAAAAUACUUGCAACUAUCAACCAAUGGAACGAGUCCAAACAUGAAAUGUUCUACAAAACAAAAGUAUUUGAAGCCAGAAUACUAAUAAUUCCACAAAUUUACUUUGCCAAAUAUCAAUAAAGGCAACAACAAGACUCAUAUUCUCAUAGAAACUAUAAAAUUUUCUAAAAAAAACUUAAUUGGCCAGUAAAAAGUUCCCAGAAAAUUUUAAUUAUGAUUCUUUUUUCUUUUUUUGGGUAUGUGAAAUUGUACAUUAGUUCAAUCAUUACUAAUCAAUCAAUCCAACUAGCUGACAGUAAUAUUUAGUUUAGUUAAUGUCGCUUUGAAUUUUGAAGAUUCUUCCCGCUACUGAUCAGAGAAAAGGAAUAGAUCAAAGGGAAGGUUAGCUUUGUGAACUAAUUUAUGCAAAGAUACUAGCUUUGAAUCUGAAAUAGAAAAAAAAAUCAUGUUUUGCUUUGUGGGUGUCCACAGAGGAUCUCUCUCUUUUGCUAAUUUCAGUCAUUUAUGUAAAAAAGCUGUAACAAUUGCCAACACUUUCUCUAAGCACUUGCCACCUGCUACUAAUUUUCCUUUGCCUCUUUUGGCUAAUUCCAUUCGUAACUCCCAUCAUUGGUUAACCUCCCAAAAUACCACGUCUAAAUUUCUCUUGAAAGCUGUACCAAACCCACCAAUCCUUUAACUCUUAAAUCCAUGAUUCAGUAGGAAAAAAAAAACAAAACACAGACAAGAAACCAGAAAACCCAGAAGAGAAAAAAAUUAAAGAAAGAAAAAGAUUUAAUUAGAGAUCAAUAUCAUACCGAGCUUCUAAGGUGGAGAUAUCCAUGCAAAUGAUUGGUGACUGUAGCUUUGCUUCUUCUAGUUCUUCACAUUAAUGGCGAAAAAAAUGAAGUCAAUGGAUCUAAGACACGGGAAAUAUUGCUAACAGUGUCAAAAACACAUGUCGAAUGGAUAAGCACACCUGUUCUUAAUUCUAAAUUCUAACAUUACUCAGUGCAGGAAGAGAAAGUGAAAUUUCAACCAAAUAAUAUUCGACAAGAUUACCUUUAGAAGUUAGGACCAUCAUCAAAUGGCCAUUAUGUAUUUGAGUCACGCAAUUAUAAUACAAAUAGUUUUUACAAGUUUAAUUUAUAAUUAUAUUUGUCGUUAUUUAUUUAUUGAAUGAUAAUCUAUUAUUCAAUUUGCUAAAAAAAUGUAUCGUUAGUCAUUGCUAAUUAAUGAUUAACUAUUAUUGGAUUUUGAAAAGCUAUUCUAAUGCUUAAAUUAUUAAAUUCUCCAAUCAAUUCGCAGUUUAAAAAGAUAUUUAAUAUUUUUUAUUUUUAUUAAUGAAAUAUAUCUAUAUACAUUGAAUUAUGUGCGAUGUAAUUAAUCUCUUACAUCCUAUAAAUAUAAUAAAUAUAGAAAGUGUAAGAUAUUUGGUUAGAUUUCUUUUAUUUGGUAAUCUCCUAAAAAAAAAAUCUAUAUAUAUAUAUAUAUAUAUUUUUUUUUUUUAUGGAGGUAAAAUUUAAAAAAAAAUGUGUAAAAUAACUCAACUACCUUUUGUUAUCAUAUGGAAAAAAAUAAUUAAAAUUAAUUUUUUUUAAACUUUGGUAAGGGAACGGAACUGUAAACAUUCUUAAUUAUAUCAAGUGAACACCACCAAGUUAACACAUAAAUAUUAUAAUCUUCAAUCAUUGUAUAAUUUUGUAUAUUAGAAAAUGAAUUAAGUUAAAUUAUUUUAGUGGAUCCUGUGGCUUUUAUUUUUGUCACGAUUUGUCAAAUCAAUGCCCAACUACUAACUAAGAUGUUGACAACAUUGUUAAUAUAAAAAGAUCAUUAAUCAUGUUAGAAAAUGAAAAUAAGCUUGUUAGAAAUAUGUCAAAUAAAAUACUUAUUUCUCAUUUUUUUUGUAUGAAAAAAUAGAGAAGAAAAUAAAUAAAAUUAAUUUCUGAGUAAUAUUUGAAGUUCACCAUCAAAUAAAAUUAGUUGUUUGAUUUGAAUUUGUUCUAAUGAGUUAAUAUUUCCCAACUAAUUAUCAAAUUUCUUUAUCUAUCCCUAGAAGGUGUAGAAUAUGGAAGGAUAAUUAAUUGAAGGUUUUGAUUGGGCCUAAAAAUGAAUGUUAGUAUCUUAGAGAAAAAAAGAAAAAGAAAAAAAAAAGCUCAGUGGUAGAAUAACGGUGGUUGACAACCACAUUUUGCACUGAUCAUCAUCGUCAUCAUCAUCAUUAUGUAAUAAAUGAGAAUAGUGGAUGUUGACAUGACAUUGUGUUUGAGAGUGAAACUCUCUAAAAUUUAAAUAUUUUGUUUUAACUUAGUUAAGAAAAUUUGAAGAUUUUAAAGAGAAAACGUGUCUCCCUUAACUCUUUCUCUCUCUACUUUAUAACUUUUAUGAAUUUUUAAAUAAUACUAACUCAUUUAAAAUUAAUCUCUAAUUUAUAUCUUUUAAAUAUAAUGGCUCUUGAAUAAUAACUCUUUUAAAAUUACUCUCUAAUUUAUUACUUUUAAAUAUAAUGGCUCUUGAAGUUCUCUUAUAAUUUUAAAUUUUCAAUUAGUUCAAUAUUAUUAGGUUAAGAAUGUUAGGAAUAAAAUUAUACAAAAUAAGUUUGAGAUAAAAUUUUAAUAUUGAGUUUGUUGUAUAUUAAUAUUAAUAUUGUUGGUGCAAAAAGGUAAUAAUUAUAUGGAUUUUGGAUCCGCAAAGUAAAAAUUAACCAAAAAUAAAUACUUGCAAUUAAUAUAUUUUUUGCAUGUGCUAAAUUAAUUUUGAGAUAAAAUUUUAGCAUUAAAUUUUUUCUAUAUUAAUAUUGCAAAUGAAAAUAGGUAUUAGCUAUAUGGAGUUUGGACGAGUAAAUGCAGAAAUUGUUCAAAAAUAAAUAUUUGCAACUAGUAUUAUUUUUGCAUGUGCUUUUAUCUAAUAAUGAUGAUAUAACCAUUUUGAUUUGAAUAAACUUUUUUACGUUCUUUAUUUUCGUUCACCUGCUAUCUUAAAAAUCAUGUUUCACCUUAAUUAGCGUAAACAAUUUUAAUUCUACACGAUAAUAUUUAAGUUUAAAUCAUGAAAUAUUAUAAAGCUCUGCGAAACAUAGAAAAUUGCAUAGUUAAAAAUUAAAGUAUAAAGUUAUAUUAGGAAGCCUCCUGUGUUUACUAAUAAUUAGAUAUGAGAAAUGAUGAAAAAGGCUAGGAGCUCUCCUAAUCUAUGUCAUAAUAACUCUCAUCUUUAAGAAUUUUGAUGUAUUUUAAAAAAUAAAUAAAUAAUAACAAUUAGACAAGGAUGAUUAGUUGAUCAUGAACACACGAGUAAUAUAUUAAUUGAAUAAUGACAAUUUACAAUAAUUAUUAUAUAAUAGAAAUAAUUGAAAUAUUAAAAAUUGGUUCCGGUAAUUGAUCAAGUCGACUAAUUCAAUCACGGAUAGCCAGUUCAAUUAGAUUCUCUUUCUUAAAUGAUGCAAAAGCCAAAUGGAUCCAAUUUUAAAAUUAGUUCACCAAAUUUUCGAGUUAAUUUUUUUUUUUUUUUUUUAAGAGAAAAUUAUGCUUGCACCUUUUAGUUGCGUUGAAUUUAAAGUUUGGUUAAAUUGCAAUUAUACCAUAAUAUUUAAAGCUUCUUUAAGGAAAAACUGAAGGUUGGGAAGUUAAAAUGUAUAAGGUUGAAUUUCUCUCCACACCUUAAAUAAUAAAGUUGUACUAUAAUAUUAUACUCUCUUUAUCCAAAUUAUAAUAAACUCAAAAUAACUUACAAAAAAAUAUUUAAUUUAAUAUAAAUAAUAAUAUGAUUAAAAAAAUAUUUAUUAAUUUUUUAAAUAAUCAAUACGUCUUAUAUUUUAAAAUAAAAUAAUCGCAAUUUAUAUUUAGUAGGGCAAAAAAAGUGCUACCGUUGCCAAAGGAUAAGAUUGAAGCUAAUUAGGCAAAACAUUUACACGCUUUGGUCAAAAUCCUUAAGUACGCGGCUAGCCAAUAUGGAAGCACCCAAACUAUUAACCAGUCUUUCACGUGUGGUCGCGCAAGUCCGUGCGUGUGCGCGCAUGCGCAUGCUUGUGUGUGCGUGUGUCCAUGAUUAUAUUUAGCUUGGUUUGGUAGGAUGAAUAUUGCUACUUUAAAAAAAUAAAAAUAAAAAUAAAAAUUGAUUCAUAUAAUAAAAAAAUUGAGUCAUUUAAUUGAAUAAGAACAUAAAAAUCACACUCUCUCUUCCUUCGUGAUUUACAAGAUAUUUAUGAAAGAAACAAAAAUAAGAAUUUGGAGGAGAAAGCAAGUUGUAGAAAAAGACAGAGAUGCAAGAAAGAAAACUUGUGAAGCACGUGUGCCACCCAAAGGAAUAUCUUAUGGAAAUUGAAAAGGAUUGUACAUUGGCUAACGAAUAAUUAGGCAAUUAGCCUACUAUGAUGGCUUAAUUAAAUUAUUAAUUGACUCGGUAAACUGAUCAAUUAACAAGUAAUUAUAAAAUAGUGGAUCUCCAUUUUAUACUUUUUCUUCUCAUAUACAAUUUUAAAUUUCUACUCAUCAUUUUAAAUUUGGUAAACGGCAGUGGAGUCAAUAUAUAAUUAAUUUUGAAAUGAUAUUCAUAUAAUAAUCAAAUAAGUUCAAAUUAAGUAAAAAUCUAAUUAAUUAAUUAGUAACUUCAAACAUAUACUACUAACCAUUUUGUUUUAGAUUAGUUCAUGAGAAAUUUGUAUAUCUAUAUUGAACUUGAAAUAAAAAUAAAGUUCACUCUUUAUUUAGCAUAGUAUUUUACCCUUUUUGUAAAUUUUUAUUUUUUUUUUCCUUAUUUUUUAUAUUUUAAUUCAACCACUUAAGGUAUCUUUAAAGUUUUAAAAUUAAUAUUUUUUUAUAAUAAUUUAUAUUGAUAUCUAUAUUUUUAAAUCCAUAUAUCUAUGUGUAUUUAUAUCCACACAUAUUUUAUAUAUCAAUUCAUAUCUAAAUCUAUAUAUCUAUAUUAAAGCUGAAUAAAAAAAAAGUUAUAAAUUCGAUUAUCCUUUUUCUUAUAUUCUUUUCCUUUAAAAUUUUUUAAAUUAUUUCUUUAUUUUUCUAUAUUUGAUUGAGCUAGUUAACAAUAUUUUUAAAAUCUUUCUAUCUAUUCAAGCCAAGAUAAAGUAAAAGUUCAAAAUUUGAUUUUCGCUUCAUUUAGUAUUUUGCUUUUUUCUUUUCAAGAAAGUUUUUGACUUUUUAUUUUUAUGUAUUUAUUUUACCGUCUAGGAUAGUUUUUUAAAGUUUAAAAAUUGUGCGUGUGUAUGUGAGAGAGAUAUAUAUUAGGAUGCUUUGUUAAUAUUAUCAUGGUUUUAAUAAAUGAUAUGUCAUUUGUGUCACGUGUAUAGUAAGUACUCUCUUAAAAAAAAAAAAGUUAUUUAUAAUAAUUACGAAUGAAAAUCUAAUAUAUUAAUUAUAUAUCAUUAAAAAAAUACUGAAAGUUCAUAGCUAGUUCUAUUUGUUGGUUUUUAAUAUUUAAAAUUUCAAUUAUUAUAUUAUUUUGAGAUAUUUAUUUAUUUAUUUUUUUGAGUAUUGGGGGAGAGGGAUUUGAAUCCAAAUCUAUUGCUGGGUCGUAUAUGCACUUAUCACUAGAUUAGGAUAAUAAUUAUUUAAGUUUGAAAGUUACUAUUUAUUUAUAAUAAUAUUAGAAAAAUAAUCAUAUUAAUUAAGUCAAAAUUAAAAAAUGUCAAAACUGCCCUCCCUUUAAUUUUACAAUUUUACUUGCAUUCUACUCUAUAGAGUAAAGUAUUCAGUUUCUUGAUUUUGAGCUUAAAUGCACUAAUUACGCUGUAUUUAAUUAGCUCUGAAACUGAAAGUUUUGUUUGAAAUUCUUGUCCUUGAUUUUUGCCUCAGCUGAAACAGUAUAUCUGCUUGGAUUGAAAAUACAAAAGCCUUAUACCCAAUCAUAUUGGGCUUAGCCCAUACAUAUCUAUCCAACUCCAACAUUAACCCUUUCGAGAUCAUUAACAUGAUUGGAUUUGGCUCAAUAUCAUUAUUAUCGGUAGAGAUGUCAUUUUCAAAACAAAAGGGAAAAAGAUACUCGAGCUUCUCAAGUUAGUUUUAGGAUUAUACAUUUGUAAGUUCAAAACUAAUCUAAACUUAGUUAAUCAAAUUGAGGUUUUAAUUUAUUUUUUUGUCUUUCCAAAUUAAUCCUACCAUGCUCUAGUCCAGGAGCACAAGGGGGAAUAAUAAAUUCAAGCUUCCUCCUUUCAAUUUUAAAAGAUAUUCCAUAUUAUCAUAAUCUUUUUUUCGUUAAUUAUGAUUUUCAAACUAUUUUUGAUUUGAGAGAGAAGAGAAAGAACCCACUAUCCAAAAGAAAAACUAUAUAUUAGAGAUUAAAUUAGGAAAGUAAGAACUAUAUCGUAUCAGUUUAAAUGGGUAGAGUAAGGCCAUAAAUGAUUUAUAUAAUUAUCAAUGGCUUAAAAGGAAUGAUAAAAAUAGUUGUACUACUAAUAUAAGAAAAUUUUAUGAUUUUAUCAUUAUAUUUUGUCAUAAUAUAUAAAUUGCUUGCAUUUUUCAGAAAUGCAUACUUUUGUUUUUAUCUUCUCUAUUUCUGUCGAUUUUUUAUACUUUUUUUCGUCAAUAAAUACUACUAUGUUUUUCAUAUAUUUUGUUAAAAUUUACAAUUUAUCCAUUUAUGUAUCAAUUAUUGUCUACAUAUUUCGCUAAAAUUAAGUAGCAAAAUUAAGUAAUUAUCCCUAUAUUUAAUAGAAGGUAGAAAAAAUUAACAUAAGAUACAUCAGUGUGUAACGGAUGAGGUAAAAAAUAUGGAUAAAAUUAUAUAUCUCUAAAUAAAAAAUAAAAUUAUUCGAAUCCAAUCGAUUACAGAUGUUUUUAUCAAUUUAAUAAGCAAGAGGAAAACUACCCCUACCCUUAUUACAUAAUGCAAAUAUUAAACAUUGCUUACCAAUAAUAAUACAUAUUCUUUGUAUUGGAUGCAGAUAAAAGCUUUACCUCAACAAAGAAAAUCUUUAACACCAAAAUGGUAGGGCUCUGACCAAAUGCCAGAAUCAAGAUAAACAAUCAUGCCAUCAAAUCAACUUGCUUUUCUUUCUUUUCUUUUUUUCCAUAAUUACCUUGCCCUUCCUUUUCUCUAUCAAACUGUAAUUUUUAGAUGACAAACAACCAGAGAUAACUACUCUUUUUUGUUUCUCUCUUUUAAUCUUUUGUUAGUUUUUAACUGAAACAAUUAAAGAAUAAAGCCAAACAUAUGAAAAAGCAAACGCAAGAACAGGCUGUUAAGAAAAGAAAGAAAGGAAAGAACAAAAGAGAGGCUCCCAAUAGAAUAAUCCAAAAUAUAUAAAAUGACAGUGAAUAGAAAACUACAAAAAUACAGAGUUUUUCCCCCCACACAGCUCUCCCUCCCUGUCCCUCAAAGAAUACUGAAUACAAAGCAAAUGUGGUUAAUCCCCAGGCAGAAAAAACCAAACCACUGGCCAGUAAGAUAUAGCAAUAAUUUAACAAAACAAUGGUAAUCAAAUAAAAAUAUCAAAUGGUGAGUCCGUAAAUAAAGAAGAAGAGCAUGUGGGGGACAAAAGAUUAAAAUAAUUUAACACCAAUAGCAAUAAUGGACAUUAUAAAACAUAUCUCUCUGUUUUGAUCUCUAGAAGAUCAAAGUCAUUGCUGCCCAUCCCAAUGCCAAGCCUCCGAGCAUCUUCUGUACUGACCUUAUCGAUUCUGAUCCGCUCUGCAAUUUGGAUCAAAAUUCAUUUUCAUAAUCCAGAUGUUAAGAAGAAUAAAUAAACUUGCAUAAAUUUCUACUUUAAUAAUUAUUCACGAGAAUGUUGUUGCCUCUCCCCGUUGGGAAGUUAAUGAUCUGAAAUUCUGAUGUUGAAAUUUCAAUGUUCGGUUUAGAGAAACAAUAAAUACACAUUCAUUAGAAAACCAUUAGCUUGAGAAUUAUUCGAUUCAAGAUAGAUCCUCCUUACGGGAAGUGAAACCGCUUUGUGCCAUAGAUUUUUAUUACUAUUGCAUUAAAACCUUUCAUCAACAGUUAUAAUUUUAUUAAUUAAAAGGACUUGCCCACUGUACUAAUAAAAUUAAUCACCUCCACAUUAAUGUUCUGCAGAUCCACGGAUGACACAGUGCAAUUCACUGUCAUUUGUACUACAGUGAUGGGGCGUGAAUCUUACGCGCCACAGUGUCGCGUUCAUCUCACUAGAGACAAGCGCUUACCACCAGAAGCAGUACUUGAGAAGCGCCAAGCUUUGCUUCCACUAAGCAGUUAUAAGGCAGCACCGACAUUUAGCAUUUCAAUAAUGGAUUAACUUGAGGGGCAAUAAUCCGGUCAUUUUAGGAAAUUUAAGCAUUCUUCACUAAUUUAGGCUCGGUGACCACUAACGAUAUCUAGAUUUUUUUCUAGUGCUAAAGAGGGAAAACACAGACCAUGGAUCUUUGCAUUAAACUUCAGAUCUGGAGGUGCAUUGCACUCCAGCGCAUGUCAGAUGGUAAGCCAAUCGGAAAAACAACUAAAACGAGCACUGGAAAGUAGAAAGUACCUCAUCGGCCACAGAAGCGGGACCAGGAGAGCUGGCGUCAAGGCUCGGUCCAGGUGCCUCCGUCGGUGGAGCUGGUGGACUCGACAACUCCGGACCAGGAGCAGGUGAAGCAGCGUGCUUCUUCGACUUUUUCUUGGUUGGAGUCGGUGCAGGAACCUCGGCGGUUGGCGCAGCCACUGGAGCUGAAGGAGCAGUUUCCGGAGGAGAGCUUGUUGGUGGAGUAACUGGUGCUGGUGAUGGAGGAGAUUGGGCCGGAGAUUUUGCUGGAGUUUUUGCUGGAGGAGAGCUCACUGGAACUGCAACAGGUGGUGAACUAAUAGGAGCGGCGGCAAGUGGUGGUGUAGCUACCGGAGCCGCAGCCGGAGCUGGCACCUUCUGUUUGGUCGGAGAAGCUGCUGGUGUCUUCGCUGGUGGUGAAGACACUGGAACUGCAACAGGAGCAGGCGAUUUAGAUUUUGCUGGUGCUUUAGCAGGUGCAGUUACAGGCGCUGCAGGAGCCAACGGAGUAGCAGUCGGUGCUGCACCUGGAGCUUGGCCGCCGACGCCGGCGACAAUGAUGCACAUUAAUGCAACAGAAAAAACGCUUUUGCGAUCCAUCUUGGCAGAGGAGAGAGAGAGAGAGAGAGAGAGAGAGAGAGGAGAGAGCUCGAGACUGCGAGAUANNNNNNNNNNNNNNNNNNNNNNNNNNNNNNNNNNNNNNNNNNNNNGAGAGAGAGAGAGAGAGAGAGAGAGGAGAGAGUUCGAGACUGCGAGUUAAAGGUGAAUUAGUGAGAAUGGCAUAUAUAUAGGCCCCGUUUUCCUUAAAAAAUAACGGACAGGUUUAGAUAGAUCUGGAUCGUUUACAAAAGGGGGACCCACUUAAUAGCCGUUUGAUUAACGAAUAGAACUUUUGGACCCCACAAAAUUGGUAUCAAACAAGAAUGUGGCGCUUGACACAGUCUGGAAGGAGGGACCACAAAUGUCCAAAUCUCGGUGUAUCAACGCAUGUGAUUAUGGAGUCUUUGAUUAAGUAAUAAACGCGUGACACGUCACUAAUAUACUUUGGUUAGGGCUUUAUUACGCAUAUUAACAAUACGAUUCUCUGCUGUGAUUGGUCUGGUGUUUUUUGGUUCAAGGGGAAUUGAUACAGCUGUGAGUACUGAGGUGGGGACGUUGCCAGUUUCACAACCAAAUCAUAGAUGGCCACGUGGGGUAUUGACAAUAAUUGUUGUGGAAGUAUUGGUGACUUUAGUUGUAUUUUCGGCCCACCGCCAAAGCGUGGGGCCCUGGUGGAAAUGCUGUCUCGGGGAGCGUGUCUUCUAGCCCAGUUUACUUUUACGUUUUGGGCACUUUCUUACAAUUUUUGUAAAGUAAGAAGUGAGAACUGAGAACCAGCCUGUCUCAUUUUUACAUUUUGGGGUUUUGCUUGUACGAUAAUACAAGUUGGACUAAAAAAUUUUAGGAAUGAGAUAGAUAAAAAAAAGCUAAAGUGUAAUUUCAUAUAUUAUUUGAUAUAAUAACAAUUAAAAAAAAAAUAUCAAUAGUAAGUGAUUUGAUUGGUUUUUUGUGAUAGAUUUUAAAUUUGAAUCUUUCCGAUUACAAGAGUUUUUAAGUUUGAGUCUUGAGUAUAAAAGUUAUCACCAAUUUAAUAAGCUAAAAGGAAGUUUAUUGCUAUUAUGUAGUCCGUAGUGUUAUUUCAGACAAUCGAUCCUCUUAAUGAAUAAAAAAAUAAAAAUAAAAAUAAAUUUUAAUUACAAAUUAAAAUAAUCAACUAAAUACGAUAAUAAAAAUCAUACAUUCUGAAUAAUGUGUGGACUUAUGACUAAAUUAUUUCAAAACAAUAAUGGUUCUCUUUUGAAAACUUUUUUUUUUUUUUUUAAUUUCAAAACAACUUAACUUUGCAGAAAGAAAUUUGGUUUUUAUAAAUAACUUGAAACAUUUUUAUUUCAUUGUUGUAGAUAUAAAAAAUAAAAAAUGCAGAAAGAAAUAUGUGCCAAAAAAAAAAUACUGUUUUAGUGAAUUAUAUCUUACAAUGUAAUACGAAAAUAAGUAAAGAAUUUGUUCUACGUGAAGAGGACUUAAAUAUUUUUUUUUUCUCAUCAUAUGCAGUUGUAAUAAAAAAGAAAACUUGUUUUGUGAGAAUCUUAGGCAAUUGUUUUUAUAAUAAAAACAAAAAUUAUAUAAUUUUAAUAAUUUUAGGCUAUUAUUUAGUGACUCAAAAUAAAAUAAAAUAUAAUAUAAAAUAUUUUUAAUGUUUAUAUAUAAUUAGAUAUAGUGCAUUUGUUAAUAAUUAUUCUUCCAUUUUAUAAUGUACUGGGAAAUUUUUCUUUAUUAAUUAAUAAUAGAUGAUAAACACAAUAUGAUAAUAUAUAUAUUACCAUAUGCAAUUGUAACUCGAGAUCUCCAAUUAUUGAUUAAAAAAAAAAAAAGAAAAGAAAACUUGAUCGAGAUCUUCAAGUAAUAGUUCCAGUUGUUAAUUAAUUAAAAACAUCAUAUAAUAAUAUUAAUAUCAUUAAAAAAUGAUCAAUUGCAAUAACAUAAACACAGAAUAUAUUAUAUAUAUAUAUAUGGUUGAUAUAUUUUAUUUAAUGAAAUCACCUAUAGUUCAACCAAUUGCUGGCAAUAGUCAACCAAUAACAAGUGUGAGUCUUGGACCAAUAAUAUUAGCACCUAUUAAAAUAAUUCAAUUUAAAAAAUUAUACUUAUCGAAUAUCUAUUAAAUGGUUAAAAAAUACGAAAAUUAAUUUUUUUAUUAAUUUAUUCUAAAAUAUGCAUCUAAUACCGUGAUUAGUGGACAUAUGUAUAUAAUUAAAAAAUGUAUAUAUUUAUAUUGAACAUGUGAGCUUUUACAUAAUUUGCCAACUUAAAAUUUAAGAAGCUACUGUUUUUCUUUUUCUCUUUGGUACAAUUCAAAUGUCAAUUUAUCUAUUGAGCUUUGUGUGUGUCUGUAGAGAGAGAGAGAGAGAGAGAGAGAGAGAGUUGUGAAGUUCCUUCGCGAACGGCAAAGCCCAAUAUAUGUAGACGCAUAGCCUUUAUAUGAAUUGGGCCAAUGCCCAAUCAGAAUAAAUCAUAAUUCAGAGGGUAGAAGCCCAAUGAGCUCAGAAAACUCGGACGCCCAAGUCCCAGAAAUUCCUUGAGCCCAACAACAGUCCAGUGCACUUUGGACACAUGAUAUCAUAAUUAUUUGUAUAAUAUAUUGAUGUGGAACUUCCUAAGACAGAUCCUUGGAAACUUAACAAGAUUAGGAUUUUAAAUUUGUAUUUAUGCAUUGUUCUUCUGUCUUUCACCCAUGAAAUAUUCACAAACAUUAAGGUUUUAACAUCUUCCAAUGCUUCCAUCUUGUUAAUAUUUGUUGUGAUGUACACAUGUCAAGAAAUGAAAUAUGCAUAAACUAUGUAUUUAAAAACUUACUUUGUUUGAUGCAUUCGUAUUAUUAAAUUAAGUUCCAAAGCUUAAAAGAUGGGACUAAUCAUUAUUUUCAUAUAGUUAAAGAGUGUUUGCAUAUGAUGGCCAUAUUUUCUUGAGACCAACCCACUUUUGUACUUGAAAGAACAUAGAUUAUGGGUUUUCUAAUUGGCUUCUUUGUGUUUAAAACAAACUGAAAAGUAAAUUUUUAAGUAGAGUAUGUUCAAAACCAAGGCAUGGAGGGGACCAAGCAAUGCCAUAAGUUUCUUUGUUCUAAAGAGACCUAAGAUAUGGUGAGCCACUGAGCAUCAUCAUUCAUGACUGACAUAUUGUAGUAAUUGUAGAUCCUCUACCUCUACCUCUACCUCUACCUCUGCAAUUCAAUUUCUUUUUUUUAUAUAUGUUCUUUUGUAAGUUUUGAACUUUCUGUUUUACAUGGGUUUUUGUUCAUUUGAGUCACAUUAUCACCUCAAUACUAGCAAUAAUUAGUUGAUAUAUAUAUUUUUUUUGAAAGGAAUUACUUGAUAUAUAUGUGUUCUUCCAGAAAAGAAUUAUGCAUUUUUACUCAAAUUGACUGUUUACACCUCAUCUCCAUAUUUGAAUUUUUAAGAUUUUUCUUUUCCACUUUCAAUAAUUUCUUUUUAUUGGAAAUAAAAUCUAAAUUCCACUUUUUAUACUAAUUAUUCUCUUAAUUUGUCUAGUCAAUUAGUAGCUAUGAUUCAGUUUAGUGAUUAUAUAUUAAGUAGUGUGCUAGUUGCCUGAAUACUUUCUAUUCUAGCUUUAUAUAAUUAUAUUAUAUGAUAGUUAUAUGAGGAAGUUGCAUAUUUUUUGAAAGAAAUUAUGAUAAACAAAACAACAUUAUUUUAGUAGGGGAAAUGAAAUUGUUAUAAAAAUAUAAAAUAAAUAACAAUUUCUUUAUUUAUUCAUUCAUCAACUGAGAUAUUUUAAUACUGGUAAACAUUGCUUCAAACCAGAAUAUUAAAUGUAAAAGAUAAUAUUAAUCCUUCCAAUUCUUUUUUCCCCCCUAUAAGAUAUAUAUCCUUAUAAUCUCUAAUGAUAGAUGUCAUUACAACACCAAAAUUUAAACCAAAGUUGGCAUCUUUUGUUGCUCACUACAUUCCAAAACCUCCAUCAGAGUACAAACUUCAUUUUUUUUUUUAAUUACACUUAUUGAAAUGGAGAAUUCACUUAAGUGCACUUCUUCUUCUUCUUCUUCUUCUUCUUCUGCUUCUAAGAUCCUCCCAAACCCAACAUGCAAAAAUCCUUUUUGCUUCUUUUGCGCCGUGAAUGAACCAAACCCAUCUCUCAGAAGAUCCAAAAUUACCAAAUUUUUCAAAGAAAUGCCUCUAAGAGAUGACCAAGAACAUGUCUUGGUCUUAAGUGGGUUAUGGAACAUCGCCAUGACUCAACCAAACGACCCUGAAUUCCCAUCUCUAGGCAUCCUUGAAUGCAUGGGGAAACUUAUAAACAAAGGCAUCAAAGAUAAAGAAUGGCUUCUUAGAGACCAAAACGUUUAUAUUCCUUACUACGCAGCUCAUAUAAUUGGUUCUUAUACCAUGAACAAGAUUGAAUUUGCAGAGAAAGCAAUUAAUUCAGGUGUAGUUUUGCCUCUAAUGCAACUUCUUAGGGGGAAAAUCACAUGGGUAGAGCAAAGAGUUGCAGUUCGAGCACUAGGUCACUUGGCUAGCCAUGAAAGAGCAUUCGAAGCUAUUGCUAAUGAGUUUGAAGUGGAGAUUGUUGAAUUAGCUAUAGAAUUAGCCAGUAAUUGCUCAAAGACAAUCUAUAAAAAGUUUCUUGGUGUAAAAGAUAGAAAAAGAUUGAAAUAUCAUUGCGACUUGCUCACAAGAGGUAUUGGAGGGGAAGAGAGAGAAAACAGAAAGGCAGAAGAAUGGGCAAAUCAGUUACAAUGUUGGUCUCUUUAUCUCUUAAAUUGCUUUGCAUGUAAAGAAAGGUCAGUUAGUAUUAUAUGCAAGAAACAACAGUUCUUGAAAGAUUUGUGUGGCUUGUGGGGUGGAUUAGGCAACAGAAAAUCACCUGGUGGGGUUGGACUUAUAAGAAGUUUAUGCAAUACAACAAUUGGUAGAGAAAGUAUAGCAAAUAUAGAAGAAGUGAUAGUGGGUCUAUGCAACAAAUCAAGAACUUGUGAUUAUUGGCGAUAUAUGGCUAUUGAUUCUCUACUCUUAUUGCUUAAAGAUACAAAUACAAGAUAUAAAGUUAUAGAAAUUGCAGCUUCGUUUCUUGCUGACUUGGUUGAGCUAAAAAGCUUAAAAGAAAAAGACAAAAUUGGAGAAACAAUUACACAAACAUUAUUGCAAGAUUAUUACAAAAUCAAAUAUGGAGGCUUGAAAUUGAAGAACCAAAUUGCAGAGGACGCAUUGAAGGAAAUAUGGGAGUUAAAGGUGGAGAGAAGAAAGAAAGAAGAGAUAAUUUCCAAUAAAGAAAUGAAAGAAAGGAAAAACUUGGCUCAGAUUUUUAAAAGAAAAGGAAAUAAGAAGUUUUGGUCUGGCUUUGUUGAAAAAGCUGUGGUUAAAUAUACAAAAGCUUUGGAUUUAUGCCCAUUAAAGAUGAGAAAAGAAAGGAUAGUUCUUUAUAGUAAUAGAGCUCAGUGCUAUUUGUUACUUAAAAUUCCAGAAGCUGCCAUUAGAGAUACAACCAGAGCUUUGAGCCUAUGUGAUGGCAAGAGUCUUCAUAGAAAGAGUUUGUGGAGAAGAUCACAGGCCUAUGACAUGAAAGGGAUGGCUAAGGAAAGCUUGAUGGAUUGUUUAAUGUUCAUCAAUGUGAAUGUCAAAAUCCCAUACUACGCAGCUCGCAUGAUCAACAAACAAAUGAAUGCCACGUGGAUUUUUGCAGAAGCCAAGUCAAAGAGGAAAGCUGAAAAAAGAGCAGACAAAUCCAAUGGGGAGGAUAAGGUGAAGAUGAUGAUGAAGAUCAAAGAGAAGAAAGGUGAAUGCAUGUUCUUGUUAUUUAUUCAUUUAUUUAUAUUUUUUAUGUCUAAAAGAACUAUUUUAGCGACUGAAUUUAGGUAAUGGAAGUUACAUCCACUACAAAAAAAGAACAAAAAAGUUACACUUUUGUCUCUGGUAGGACUGCCCACUGUACAAGAAGAAUCGCUGGGCGAAAGGGAGAGAAGCAAACAGCAAGGUACGGCAAAACGGAGAAGAGAAGCUGCAGGACUCACUGCUGCUUUGGCACGUGUGAGAAUUGUUUGAUAGAUGUGGUCAAAGAGUUGUGCAAUUUCAGGAGUCAGGAGAGCAAAAUCAUGAAAUAGGGCCACUGUACUCUGUCUAAUUAUUAUUAUUCUCUCAAAAUAUUAAAUUCCACUACUCAUUAGAGGUGAAGUAUUAGCAUAAACUCAUUAAAUGUAAUUAAUUAAAGAAAUUGUCGGUGAACUAAUAUAUCGUGUCCUUAGUAUUUAUGAUAUUUUGAAGCAUAGAAUUGAAAAUGCUGCUGCAUGAUACCGGAGAGUGUUGAGAAGCUAUUCUUAAAUUUUUAAAUUUAAGAAUUUAGGACCAAUAAUCGGUCGGAUCCUCAAAAGUGCACUGUAUCUUAUCUUUUGACCCCAGGCGACUUUAUUUGGAGUCGUUAGAGAAUUUUAUUUGAAUUCGCAACAGUUUAAGGGUAUAAAUUACUUUUUCAUGAUUUAUUUUCUUAUCUUUUGGUGAGCUCACAAUAUUUUUCCCCUCCCAAUUUGUAACAUUGAUACCUGACCCUGUUACAGAUUAAGACACGUAAUCUAAUUACGACCAUGAUAGCUAGCUUGAAAGCUAACCGAAAUCUUUUAUAAUACCUAAUCUUGAUUUUUCAUGUAUCAUGUCGUACCUAACUCACUAAUUGUAUACUUACAAGAGGACAUAAACAAUAAAUUAUUGUCCUGAUCCAACAAUUCCCAUAAAGUAAUUUGCACUUUAGUGGACAUAACACAUUACAUAGGAUACUAGGCAUAUUUCCUCUUGGCGUUUUAAGGCCAAAUUCAAAUUUUAGAGACAUAUUUCAGAAUUUUGGACCUAAAAUGCAAAAGGCAAAGUAAAUAUCUAACAUAUAAUUAUGGAUGGAAGCAUAUCCAUAAUUUUUUAAUUAUUUGUACCUAUACAUCUAUUUAGUAUUCACCAUCCAUAUAAAUAUACCUUUAAUAUCCAAAUCUAUUUAAAAUUUUAUUAUCUAUACAUAUGCUAAACUCAUUUGAAUAAUUGUAUCUAAGUACGUUUAAAAUUUUAUUAUCUUUACACAUGCCAAACUCAUUUGAAGUAUUUAAAAAUUUAAACAAUUCAAAUCUAAAUUUAUUUAUUUAAAAUACAUUUUUUAACUGAUAAUUAGUAUAUCCACUAUCAUUGAAUUUAUUCAUUUAAAAUACAUUUUUAACUGAUAAUUAAUAUAUCCACGACCAUAAUUCAUUUAAUAUAACAGGUAAGGUAAUGAUAGUGAAUACCCAUAGCUCUAUCUCAUAACAUAUUCAUAUUCAUAUCCAUUAUAAAUAUCACUUUCGUUCUAUAAUAUUUAUCACAUUUGUGAUUUCAAUGAAUAAUAAAUCUUUUUUUUUUUUCAUGUUUGCCUUUUAUAUAUAACUAAUAAUUAUUGCUUUAAUUUCAUGAUUUUAGAGAAUUAAUAAUAAAUUAAGAGUAAUAUAGUCAAUUUACUUAAUAAUUUAUCAUAACUUAAAUAAAUUUAAUAAUUUUUUUAAAGAAGAUAAAAUUCUAAAUAUGUCGGGUGAUACAGAAUAAAAGUAGUAGGCAGUAAUAAUUUCAUCACUCAUCCAUCCUAAACCUAUUUAUAAGCAUCUGGACCAUCGUUAAAUGGAUCAGAACGAAGCAGUCUACUUUCAAAUGUCCUGCUUCCAUCCCACAUACAAUAAUGUCUAUGGACUUCAGGUGAUUCGCGUUCAAUAAAAUUUAAAACAUCUAUCAAAUCAAUGGGCACGCUGACCUUUUUUUUUUUUUUUUUUGAUAUAUACAUAUAUAAUCAGCCAAAUAUAUGCAAAUUAAAUUAACUGAAUUUUAAAUAAAAAUUUUAUUGACAAAGCAAACUUUUAAUUUGAUUUAUUAUAAAACUACACACUUCUUUUGAACAAUUGAACUUGUAAAAUCACAUCAUUAAACAUAAACUCAAGCAUUUUUUUUUUAAAUUACUCAACAGAUUGGUAAUAAAUACAAUUUGGUAAAUUAAAACAUUUCAUAUACACAACUUAAAUUGAAUAUUCAACUGGAUAAAUUUAGAAAUUAAAGUGUUUAAUCAGUCGAAUUAAAAGGCGAGGGUUCCGACAGACCUUUUCAUACAAUUUACAUUCUGCUUAAUGUAAUAUAUGCUUCAAGUAACAGAAAAUCGAAUCUAAAUUAAGGCAUAACUAAAAAAAAAAAAAAAAAGGCAACAUAAGCACUUCCUAUAUGUCAGUCGACCUUCCCUUCAUCACUAUUGGGCAAAGAGCAUAGCAGGUUAGAUUUGACAGAAUCCCAAAGUAUAUACUACAAAUGAUAGACUACCUCAGUAAUGUAAGUUCUUUCGUCGAGCUAAUGUAAUGGAACACAAUUGCAAUGCAUGGAUAUGACAGAUAUCUCCAAUGAAAUGAAUCUAACGAGCACGGAUUUAAUUUGGGUGUCAGGAGAACUGGAUUAAGGAUGUAAAGAAAUUUGCAACUAUAUUAUUCUACAAUUGCUGUACAACACAAUCAUACAACAAAGAGGAAUGCUUACAAGACUUUUAAGUCAGUGUGUAUGCAAAGGCAUCUUGAGCAACUUGAACUCGUCUGUAUGGGUCCACUCGAACACUUUCCAUGAAAGACCAGCUGCUGUCUGCUGCAUCAAUUUCGAAUUUACACAAGUUCAGACAAAAAAAAAAAAAAAAAAAAAAAAAAAAAAAGAGGUUGAAUUUGCAUGGGGAAUUCAAUAUAACUAAAAAAGGACAUCCUUGCUGAGUGAAUUAGUUUCUCAGAGCAAAGAAACAAACUUAGCCCAUUUGAUAUAAAUGAAUUCCACGAAAUUUUGUGAAAUUCAUGUUUUAUGUUUGAUAUGGACAAAAAUGAGAUCCAACAUAAUUAAAAUAAAUCUUUACCUUUUAUAAAUGAGUUCUAGAUUUCAAAUUCGUUUGAACCAAAUAAGGGUGAAUAGCAAUGAAAUUCACGCAUUAAAGUAAUGCAUAAUGCAUCAGAAUUACCAUGUGCAAUGUUACAAAAAGAAAGAGACCUGAACGACAGACCCCUUUUACUGGUACCAUCAAUUUCAACUCCAGUUAUCUGUUUUAUAAGUCCAUUCCAAAAGCUCUCUUCAAAUGCCAGGGGCCUUACCAUCAUAUUUUCACCUUCACAAGGCAAUCAUCAAAUUUGCCUGAUACUUACUCAGUGAACAACUAAUGCAGCAAACUCACCUCUUAAGGAUUUGAAGGAGCUCAAUCAUCGUAAGAGCUGAGAGCAGCUACAACCGAUCCUGUUGUUGCAAAAGUUGAUGCCACAUCUGGAUAAUCUUUCCAAGAUGUUGUGACCUUGAGUGAUGGAUACAACCAACUCUUAGCAGAAUCCACAAAAGAGCUUGGGUCAAAGUUCAGAAUUGCUUCCCAAUCCACCUGUACCCCUUUUGGAAUUUUCUCCUCAAACUCCAUAUUAGCAGCAAGAAGCAAUCCAAGCAAAACGAUAAAUCCAACUGCAGCAGUGCCUCUAGACAGUGGCAUAAAAUUGUACCUGAAAAGUGAUCCCAUUUAUUUGUACAAACCACCAUAUUUCUCUGAAGAAAAAAGAAUACCUUCUAUGUAUUAAGAGUAUUUUUCUGUACCAAUAAUAUGUCAUCCUCAAAAUUGCAUCUCUAACAUUUUCAAGUACAUCAAGAUCAGUAGACCCAUAGUUUUCACUGCAAUAAGCAUUGCACACAGCCUGUGAAUCAAAUUUUGAAACAUUCAGUUAAUAAUAAAUAGAAAACAAAUAAAAAUCAAUGUCAACAGAAGAUCCAUAUGGAUCAAAUUAAAGAGGUACUGAAUUUGACACAAUUAGUAGGAGAAUUUAGGAAUAAUAUUAAGGUGCAAUUUUUCAAAAUUUAUGCGUCAGCAAAGAUUGAAAGGAAAAAUCCAUGUGCUAAAAGUAAAAGAAGUAUAUGUUAUCAGGCUGCUGCUUUACUAGUACAAGGAACUCAUUCAAAUAAUCACAAAAUGCAAUAAGUUUGCCCAUACCAAUUUUUUUCAUUGUAUAUCAUGUCAAAGGAUAAGCAUAUGAAAAGAUCCGGGACCUGGAUUUAUACACAAAUUAAUACUGAGAAAAGGAAGCUUCCAACCAACAAAUAAAAUCCCUUGCCAAACCUUACUCGGGCAAAUCUGGAAGGUUAAUAUUUACACUGGAAGAGAUAAAUAAACUAAAUGACUGAUUUAAAAAGCUUCUAGACAAGUUCAAUUGAAGUCUUGACACAAAAUAGACUAUUUUAUGUCAAACCAGAUACCAAGUUAUCAAAUUUGAAGUGCAAAAAUUAUCUAACAAGCUUAACUGAUUAGUACAAAGAGUUCACAGAGAUGACACCAUAAAAAGAGAGAAUUGAACAGUCACGUGCAAAAGGAAACUUCAACUCCUUUGUGUUCUGUGAUUCUUUAUUCUAUCAAUAUGUUGCACCAAUUAUAAAAGCAGCAAAGGAUAUGAUUGAGAAAAUUAUGGGUUCAUUUAUUGAGAAAAUGGGAACCUUACCUCCCAAGCCAUUGCCAUUUCGGCAUCAUACUCAUCCCAUCUAGAAGGUGUACAUGGUGUUCUUAUUGCAAAGUCAAAUCCAUGCUCACCCCUGGAACAAUCAUUUCGAUGUUCAGCCAUCCGGGAAAGCAUAAAAAUGCAUAAGAAUGUAAACUUAAAAAAAAAAAAAAUCAGAAGAAAUAAAAUGGAGAAUAAUUAGGAAAAACAAAUAGGACUUACAUCUUCACUAGGGUAAUCCUUGUCCCUUCAAGCUGCUUCCUGAAAAGAGUAUAAACAGCCAAGAGUAAUGUUAUCAUUGGGAAAUUUUAUAUGCACUAUAUAUUGCAUAUUGCAUUUCAUAAUUAAAGGAAAGUUACCCCUCAGUUGCUGUACUGUUGCACCAUGUAGCCAACCAGAAGUCCUCACCAACCACUUUGUAAAGAUCAGAACAAGUUUUUGCAUCCAUGAUCUGUAUGUUCCAUAACGAAAUUAACCAUAUGCAUAUAGAUAAACCAGUUUUAUUUCAAUGACAAAGUGGGAGAAUAAUUGAUGAAACUUAUAGAAUAAUAUCAUAUUAAUAAAAAACGGAUCACAUUUAAUAGCCCCAUGAAAAGAUACUUCUAACAGUAGUAAAAAAGAGGAAAAACCAAAAUGCUGACAUAGGCACGCCCAUAUAACCACUUUAGAAACAGGUUGAUUUCUUUCAUUAUCUACAUUACAAAGAAUGACAGACAUGAUCCUAUCUUAGAGCAUCAUUGAAAAGCAACAAAAUGGAGGAAGAUAAAAUUGAAACAGAGAAUUGAACUACUCACAUCCUGUAAUUUCUCAUCCUUGGAUAUAUCAAUGAUUUCAUCCGCCUUGCUGCACACAUACAGUUUAUCCUUCAUGAUUGUCUUUGCAGCAUUUAAUGUUCUGCAGAUUUAACAACUGAUGAGAAUUUUAAAACCUGGAUGGACCUAAUAAAGAAUCGAACUAGGAUUCACCUUUCAAAAUUUGGGUAGUAGCGAACAACUUUUGCUUGUCCAAGAAUCAAUGGUGUGUGAGACCCAAAUCCAGAGUUAAACUCUUCACUGAAUUGAAGAGAUGCCCAAAUCCAUACAAAAAGAAGAAUUACAGCAAAGACUUGAGUCAGUUAAAAAACUCAUUCAUCUUGAAUCUCUAAAUAAUACACAAAGUCAUCCAAACAGUGCCAAAAUCAGACAUUCUGGGGACCGGAUUAAGAUUGAGGCAUAGAAUUGACAGGUGCUAUGAUAUCAAUAAUUUCGCAGGUCAAAUACAGGCCAUGACUGCUCAGCAUGCAAAUACUCAGACAAUAGAUGAACUAAUUGAUUAAACUGGUACAAACAUCUAUGAACAGUCUAGAAUGCCAAUUCCCAGAUAUUACAUAACAAAAUCUGUAUAACUAAAGUAGUAAAAUGUGAAUCUUGCAUAACACGUAUUCCAAUGGUAAGUAACAUGUCCUGUUCAUUUUGAUGGGCUAGAGUAAUAGCAUGAAUUUGGUAUACCUUAACUUGUUAACCCACACAACUGGGUCACAGGGCUCAGAAAUUUGUCUCCAUUUGACAGCGAUAGAGUAAACGUCUUGCCACGUCAUCUUAUAACGACCGGGAGAUCUAUCUUCUGUAAUGCCGUACAAAGUUGAUGUUUCUGAGGAACUGCUUGUACUGCAACCGGCGCCACCUCUAUUCUGACUGGCCAAGUUGAUUCUUCUUCGAGUUCUCUUACCAUAUUUUGACAUGUUUUUAUUAGAAUGUUUCCAUUCGGCCUGCAAAGAACGCCAGGCUUUUGAAACCUUUUGUGCAAUUUCAAUAGCUGCUAGUCCUGCCAUGCGAUGCUGAAACAGAACAAAAGAUGAACCAUAUUAAUAUAUACAAACUGUAACAAGAAAGUAACAUUAAGUUGACUUAUGCACAGUUAUGGGGCAACAAGAUAUGAUUAAAACUCAGGUGCGACCUGAACCCAACCAAGCAGAAUAUCAACGUAUAAGAUUAUCACAAGUUCAUUACAGGUAGAAGAAUAAGGGAAGUAGAUCAAGAGCAAUCUUGUUAUGUCUUUGAACAUGAUACCAAUAACAUAAAAUGACAACUUGAAUUGACAACAAGACUCAGUUUCCUGUACACGAUUCACCUCAUAGUUAUUUUGUUGCUCUUGUACAGGAGAUAUCUUUCUUUUUCUACCCUAAAAAAAUCCUAUCAGGCAUUGGCACACCUCUUGGUGACCUUUGGUUUGAUUUCGUUUCUUCUAAAGAGAGGAGAAAUUGUAAAUCAAAGAAUUAAAACUAAACCAAUUUGGUUAGGGAUACUUCAAUUCUAUCACCACUUGACAAUUAUACCAGAAAUUGCUACAUCAAUUUAUGAUUUAUAGAGAUAAAACCAUCAUAUCACCAACUUUUGAAACUUCCAGACAUCCAUUGGUCCCAGUCGGGAAGAUUGACCCAAUGUAAAAUGCAUGACAGGGUAACAAUGUACAUUUAUGCUACGUUUGGGAAGAGGGAGGAAUUAAAAUAAGAGUGGAAGUAAAAUUACACUAUUCACUUUCCUCCAAAAUGAAGUGAAAAUUGGGCUAAAAAUGGUGUAAAAUAAAUUCAUUUUACAUCCUCCUUAAUAUUUUCACCCAAACCAAACAAAGAAUUUUGAAAAUUCCAAGGCAUUUUACCCUCUAUUUUACAUCCUCCCUAUAUUUUACCUCCAUCCAAACAAUCCAUGAAGCAUUUUGCAUGCUGACGAGAUCUUUCUAGUAUAGAGGGCCCAAUUGACUUGCCAAUGAAGGCUUCAGGAAAACAGAAGCUCACACCAUGAAUCAGCUUAAUCUAAACAACAGAACGGUUUCUAAAACAUGCAUUUAUGCCAUCAAAUGAAAAAACACCCAAAAAAAAUCUGCAUUGCACAUACUAAAUUUUAUAAGAAGCAAAAUUAUCCUAUCUUUCAAAGGAUGAAUUAAUAAAAAAAUAAAUCAUUAGUUUUUUUUUUUGUUGAGAAUCUAGAUGAGAAACUUAAAAGAUCAAAAGUAAAAGUGCAAGAUAGACUAGUUAGCGAUUCAAAACUAUAUGAAAAAAUUAUAAAGACAUAUAAUAAGCUUUCUAUGAGAAAGGAGAACUGAAAGAAAAUGAAAACUAGAACCCAAACAGAAAGAGCACUGCAUUACAUAUAUCUUUCAAAAAUUAAUCACCUGACGCCUAUUGGGUAAGAAGCCAGGGCAAUCAUAUUGAAUCUUCUUGCCAAUAGAAUCAGCUGCCAAUAGAAGAGCAGUCUUUGGUUUUGUAAUGGCAAAAUCUUGCUUUCUCAGCUUACCCCUUUUCAGAGAAUCAUGAAGAGGAGGUUGGCGGUAAACCUUCUCGCACACAUUCUUGGGGUGCAAUCUUUUGCACCAGUACUCCUGAAAAUUCAUUACGGCAUGCACACAAAAUAAAUAUGAAAUAUGUGCUCACAAGAAGUUGCUGAAGCAUUGUACUUUCUGCACAAUCUGGCAUGUUAACUAGUAAAUGGUUCGAUGUAAGCAUGUGAUUAUUUCUGAAUGUGUGAUUAUUUCUGAAAGAAAAUUUUUUGUGAGGUCAUGGUUCAGCUCUCAUAGAAUAUUUUAAAAAAUGUUUAAGAUUUCGAAGAAGGGACUAUUCAUGAGUGAAAAACAAGUAAAAGAGUACAUAUAAAUGUGUGUAUUGUGUGUGUAUAUAUAUGUAUUGUACGUUUCUUAUUCAUUAAUACCUUGAAAAGAGGAUCAAUGUCUCCAUCAAUAUCAAACCAACAGAAAUCACUGUUAAUUUUAGAAGCUGUAUACAAAGCAAGCUCCUUCUGCAAAAGAUAAAAGCUAAAUUUAAAAACUUUUCCAUAGAGGCCAGGGUCAGAUAUGAGCUAAAACAAUCAAUUGCCGACUGAAACUAUUAUAUUACAAAAUGACUUGGAUAGCAAUAUCUUAUGAAAUACAGUUAAAAACAAUAAAGCAAAACUGAUAUAGAAAAAUGCGUACAAACAUGCUAAAGAUGCACAAUAUCAAUCUACAAAUGGAUUUCUGAUGCAGCUCAAGCAUGUGAAUUCAUUGAAUGAGAUAAAUGUUGGAAAUAAAAAGCAGCACGUGAUAAAUUUUCAAGUUAAAAAUAAAAUAUUCUAGAUCAACCACACCUGAUAGAAGGCUAAGCAUUGAAGCACAAAUUUCUCCAUUGAGUCUAGUUCAAUAUCUAGAGUUGCAUCAUAAUCCUUCACCUGUGACCAUCGAACAAAAUUAUUGCAAACAGAAAAUACAAGAUUAAGCAAUCUGCAACUUAUGAAUAAGACCAAUAGUUUUCAUGGAAGAGACCUUACCGCCUCUCCAUAUUCUCCAAUAGCAUGGUAGCAGGAACCCCGUAAAUAUAAAUAUUCUAUGUUUGAAUUUUCAAUACUCAAGCCAAUGGAUAAAUCCUUGAUAGCCUUCCUGCAACAGUAAAAUCUAAAUCAGUCACUCAUGUCCAUGCAGAACUAGUUAGAAAAUGAUGUGCUGCAGAAGAAGACAUUGCAUUUAACUCAAUGAUAAAAUUCGAAGAGUAAAGUGUAAAAUUUUCUAACAGAACUUAUUGCAAAAUUUUAUUUUGAUUUCUAUUUGACACUCUACCAGGUUAUUUGCAAAUUUAUCACAUAUAAACUCCAAAAGGGUGGUACACAUCCGCCUAAACAAUAGCCCUUUUUAUCUAAAAAAGAUCCAGAAAUAAUUAAUGUAGAAAACUACACACUUAGAAAACCACUGUAGCACCCAUACAAAUCAAGUGGCUAAGAACUUUUCCGUCUGGCUUCACUGUCACUUAUUGCUUUUCUCAUCAAUCUCUUGCUGUUUCUUUAUACCUUAGGGUUGAUAUCUUGAUCCUCCAUACAAUAUGUAAAUAUCCAUCUUCCUCAACAAGUUGAUUCAUAGCUAGAAGAAUAAGUGUGCAUGUGUAACCAUAAUACCACGCAACAUUCCAAACCAGAAAUAAAAUAAUUAGAUAUUGCUCAAAGGUAAAUGAAGAAGCAUAGUAAGCUAGAUAGGUCAACUUCAAAUGCCCUAAAUGUAUAAAAAAGGCCUUCUGAAGAAUUUUAUCAAGAUAUAUGGCUUUCCUUCAAACAGUUUGCUGAUAUACACGAAUGUUAUACUAAUAAUGUUUGACUUAAACCCAUAAAGGCAGGGAUGCUUUGUUGUAGCCUUGUAGACAGUACUGAUCAUUACAAUUCAUCCACACAAUGUGUAUGUAUAUAUCUAAAAGUAGGAAUUUAAAUGGAGGGGCAACUGUAUAAAGAAAACAGAAAAUCAAAAUUAAAUGCACCCAUGCAUAUUAUUCGAAGAAAAAGUACUUUUUUUAUAAAAACCUGAGUGAUUUGCACAUAAUGCCAAACUACAUUCUCAAUCAAUUUGCUAACUAAAACAAAUAUUUCAAAUAAACGCCAAGUCCCCUACUACAUAAACACCUUACCAUUUUAUGAUUUCCCGCACUUCAAAUAUUCAUAAGAUGAUGCAAAUUAAAAUGUAUACAAUGGUCACAUAAAUAAAAAUAAAUAAAUACACCACUGAGAGAAAAUCAAGAAAUUGAUAUUGACAUCACAUAAAUGAUGGAAAAAUCUACAAGAGGUGUAAUAGUCACUUAAACAAAUAAAUAUUUUACGGAAAAUCAAUAAUUUGAUAGAACAUACCUGUGGUCUCCCAUGCCAUGAAGCAGUAGCCCACGCAAGUAAUAGGCUUUUGCAAACCUAUCAAAUGUAAUAACAGUAUCAAAUUCAAGUUGCAAAAUCACAAGCAGAAUCAGAUACAACAAAUUCAUCAUCAAACAUUACACAUUUGCAACAGGAAUGAAAUGAUGCAGACUGAAGAGUGACAACAAUUACCUUGCAUCAAUUUGGAUAACUUGUUGACUGCAUUCGAAAGCUUUUGAUGAGUUUGCUAAAUCUUGGUAGAACUGCAAUGAUGCAGAUAUUGAAACAACAGUAAGUAAUAGAGCUUCUUCACAAGGAACUUGUCAUACUGACGGAACAAUGUGUUGUGAAGGUGAAAUUUGCAACUCUAUAUAGUAGUAAAGUACUGAACCUACUCAUCGUUGUCACUGUGUGCUUGCAAAGAAGUCACUAUAAACCAUCAGCAUUUUUUCAACCGUUUGUGUAGAUGCUAUGAGUUAACCAAAAUAAAAUAAAAUAAAUAAAACUUCUGUAGGAAUAGCAUUUUCCUUCAGCUUCUAAUUUCUUGUGAAACCCUCAGACCCACAAACAAUAUGAACUAAGGACCCAAAUGUAUUGGUGCUCUAGAUGUUGAAUAAAUACAGCUCAAAAAGAUAUGUUUAGCAUACAGCACAUACAUAUCUGGACAUUAUCGAGUGCUUUACAGAACCAAAAAGUGGAUACUGCAAAAUCAUGUAUGCAAACAUUGGGUGAAAGGCUGGACAUAGCAUAUGAACUGGCUCAAGGACUGAAAGUACCAUGCAAGACAGUGGCCAAACAUCAUACAUAAACACGGACACUACGAGGCAAACUUCUGAAGCUAUCAAAGAAGUCUGCAAGUGCAAGUGCCAGAUCUUUUAUUCCCAAAAUUACUUUGCAACUCCAUCCUAACCGCCUUUCUCAUUAACGCCCUCAAUUUAACAUCAUAUAUAUAACAGUGUUAUAUAUUCCAAUAUUUUGGUAGCAUGAGCUUAUCUAUCCACAUCUUUCUUUCAUUGUUAUAAAGAUGCUUCAUUGUAUCUGCUUUCCUUGUCUCCAACUUAAAAUAUCACUAUUACAUGUAUUUUUCAUCAAUAAGAGUCCUAAGUUAUUGUACUGCAAAGGAACAACAAUUUCAGUUAAGUGCGUUAUUUUGCUUACUGUAAAUUUGGGCACAUGGUUUACAUAUUAAAUAAGUAAUACUAUCUCCAUAAAUAAUUUUAUGCCAUUGACGUCAACACAAGUCGUAAGAAUAACAUAAAUAAACAAUGGACAUCCCACUAAAGAGAUCAGCUAAACUAUUCUCCUUGAAGAAAAUGCAAAUACGUAGUUACCUGUGUCAGAUGAGCCCAUCCCUCAAGGAAACUCCGAUCAAGUUGGAUAGAUUUUAAAUGUGCCUCCUCAGCCUUUUUAUAUUCACCAAUUGAAGAAAAUGCCAAACCCUAUAAAGUCAAAGUUCCCUCAUUCCAAGUAGAAGAAUACAAACAAUAUUAACAAUUUAAGAUGCUAAAUCACAAAUAUAUGAUCUAGAAUGAGUAAAGUAUCAGACAUUCAGGACUCACUAAGUAUGUGUAGGCAGAUUUGUUAUCCUUAUCAAGCUUCACACAUGCAGAUAGAUCUUCCACAGCAGCAUCAAAAUCCUUAAACUUAAAAUUAACAAUUCCUACAAUAUUAAAAAUUAUGUUGAUCAAUUGUUUGGUAAAGAGCAGCCAUCGACCACAACUCUACUGUUUCUACAACUACAUUGAUUAGAUCAAACAUUCAGCUUUGCUGGCAUGCUACAAGCAAAUAUUAAGAAAUGAAACUAAAAUCUAAAGACAUUAUGAUUCCAUUGGGCUUAUAGCUCAGUGGUGAUGUGCUUGCCUCAGUGUAGAGUUCAAGGGUUCAAACCCAAAUACAUCAAACAAUUCAGCUUUGCGGGCAUGCUACAAGCAAAUAUUAAGUAAUGAGACUAAAAUCGAAAUAAAUUAUAAUGUCAUUGUGCUUAUAGCUCAGUGGUGAUAUGCUUGCCUCAAUGUAAGAGUUCCAAGAGUUCAAACCCAAAUAGCCACUCCCUUUAAGAAAUCCCAAUAUAUGAAAAAGAAAGAAAAAAACAAUACAACAUCCACUCCCUUUAAGAAAUCCCAAUAUAUGAAAAAGAAAGAAAAAGACAAUACAGCAUCAUUUUUAACAUGAAAAGUAGCAUACUUUUUAUGAAAAGGAAAGAAACUACAGAUGAACAUAUUCAACGGUAACAAAUCUUUCAAAUACAAUCCCCACACAGAAGUAUUUCUUACUUGAUUAGAUAAUUAAACAGAAUAGUUGACAUAUAAAGUAGAAGUGAAUGACAUGUUAUCCUGUCAGAUCAUGGAAGUUGACUAAAUAUUGAAAUACAAUGAAAGAGAUACAUUAAAGAAAGUUACCUCUUUCAUGUAAUAUAUCUGGUGAGUUUGGUUCAAACUCUAAUGCCUUAGUCAAAUCUUGAAUGGCCUGCUAUGAAGAGGCGACAUGAAUUAACAUAAAAGCAAUUUGAAGUUUGUUUAAUCCUAUGAACUAAGAACUUUCAGUCAUUUCAAGAGAAGAAAGAUAUAUAUGUAACAACUGAAUAAUUUAAUUUAAAACAUAGACCCAUGUUGGGGAUAUGCUUUGAGCUUGUUUAAUGCCUUCUUCUUAAAGUAUAAAAUUAAACAAAAAUUCAGUAGUAGUAUGAGAAAAUGAAGUUGCUACAUACAGGAAGAAAAUAAAGCCCUCCAGUGGGUAACUGCAAAUUAUUUUCCCAAAAACUUAAUAAGCAGGUGAGAAUGGUUUAAAAUCCAAGAGAAAAAGAACAUAGCCAAAGCCAAUAAAAAUAUUUUCCUCGUUUGGGUAAUAAAGCCUUCAACGGUCAAUGAAUUGUUCAAACUAUUCCUACCUCUACAGAUUCCCCUAAUGCAGCUCGGGCCUGCCCUCUUCGCUUCCAUGCUUCACCAGCUAAUGGAUUUGAUUCAAUAGCCUAAAACAUUAAUCAUGUAAAGCACUUGUAAGGCAGAAACUUAAAUCUUUUCAUAUAUAUCUAGCACAUUGAAAUUCAAAUACCUUUGAAAAGUCAGCAAUAGCAGCUUCCAGUUCUCUCUGGAAUGCAAAUGCUGUCCCUCUACCAAUUAGUGCCUCGGGAUAAGUAGGAUAUUCUCUCAGUAUCUGCAUAAGAAACAGUUAACACCCUUUUCAUAAAAGUUUGAUGUAUAGCCCUGCCUUGGAACAAGAUGAGACUUUCCACACACACUCUCAAAAACAUGCACAAAAUCAUAAACGGGGGACCAGACAAUACAUUCCCAAAAGAUACAAAACAACCAGAAUGAUGAAUACAAAUUUACCUGGUUAAAAAUAGAUAUGGCAGAAGCAUAUCUCCCUUCAUUGACCUGCAAGAGGGCACUUUGUAGUUUCAAACGGAAUGCAAUACUUAAAACAUUGACAAUCUGACCAAUAAGAAUAGCACUUGUUAGCAACAUUUAAACCUUAAAACUUAAAAGUAGUGCAUACCUGUGCUAUACCCCGUGACAAUCUGAAAUCCACAGUCACGGACUUGGUCUUCGAAAUCUUAGUUACACAAAACUUUUUACUUUUAUUGGCUUCAUCACUUGCUUCAUUAGGCACGUCAGUCUCAUUACUCGAUUUGCUGCGGAUGUGACUUGUUUCACCCAAGCUGCUAGGUAGCUUAGAAAAUUUACUUGGGAAUUCUGAUGUAUUGCUUAAGCUAUUGUAGGAAUUAGAACUAUGGCUUGGUUUAUCAAGAAUAUCAUGAGUUACAUUCAUUGGGCUAUCAACCUUUUUACCCCCUUCAGCUUUCUCACUUAAGUCAUUUUGCAUGCCAAAAUUAUUCCCCGACUUGCAGUAGAACUCAGAUGUAUCUCUUGACUCACUACAUAAAUAAUGUUUAUCUCCUAAUCUAUUCUGAUUUAUAUAAUUUUCUGUUGGUUUUCCGUUUACGAAGGAUCCUGAUUCAGGUAUAGGUAUUGGUGACUUCCCUCCAGCUUCAUCUUUUAUCCCAUUCAGCACUUCAAACUUAUCUCGAAACUUGCUGCAGCUCUGAGAUGCAUCGCCAGACUCACCACUUGAACUUGAGAAAUCACUCGAUUUAUUCUGGAUCUUAGAUGAUUCAGUUACAUUCAUGGAUGACCUAGAUUCUGUCACAUUAUUUUCAUGACCAUUGUUUCUGUCUUGUUUUCCAAACUUAAGAAGCUCUUCAAGUUCCAGCAACUGUUUCAGAUCCGCAGACUGAUGCAAAGCAUGCUCAUAGCCCUGUUCCCAUACCAGAAGAGCAUCCUCUUUCCUUCCCAAAGAUGAAAACGCACGACCUAAAAUCACAAACGUAAGAUCAGGAGAGAAACCCGUGAAUCCCAAACGUGAGAACACUCGUUCUAUGCCUCACUUUGACCUAGAUAACAGCAAUUUAUAUCGCAUUAUUGUACAUUGAAGAGAAUAUGUCAAGAUAAGCUAAACUUGAUCAUCAGUUGCAGGGGAUCAGGCGGUAUAACAACGAACAAUUUUUUGCAACUAUGGAUAAUAUUAUAGAUUUCUUGUUUAUCAAUGUUUAAGGAACAUAGGAAAGUGACUAUACCCAGUAACAGACCUUGAAUCAAGCAUAUUGUUUUCCAGAUAAAAUAAAUCCACAAACAAAUGGAAAAACAAUUCCACAAUUAAAAAAAGCCAAACUUUUCAACAUUUUAACUCCUAAUGAAAAAACGAAGCCUACUUUUAGUUUCUUCAAAAGAAAAGCACAUGCAGCACAGUCUAUGCUCUUGUUUAUAUCAUUGAAGACAUCAAACAACGUUUACCACAAAAUUGCUAGCAAUUUUUCAUUUGAUGUGCUGCAACAAUUAAUACACACUUAUUUCCUGUUGGGAUAAUGAAUCAAGGGUCAUAGGAAAAUUCAUGCAAUAAUUAGAAAACUAUUGUGACCAUAGUAAGCAAUCUCUUGUAGAUCUCAAAUUCAAAUUUAGAUUUCAAAUCGAAUGCUGAAUAAGCCACCUCUGAGCAAUUCCCAAAUUACUUAAAAUCUUGGACAACUUGACAGCAAAAAGCCAUUAACGAUGUGUAGUGCCAUAUGGAGAGAAAACCAUAUAUGCAACUGUACAAGUACCAAGAAAGGACUAUAUGUUAUGAACAAGAUCAUCCAAAAACAUGCAUUGACUUAAAACAAUACAUGUUAUUUGAUAAAGGAAACAGAAAAUGAUUUCCAGCGUGCUUCAGCUAUUAUCUAAGCAACUCCUUUUUUUCAGUACUGGGUACUGAGUCUAAUUGUCUAAAAAAUUGGAAAAAAAAAAAAAAAAGCACACAACUGAACUGGAUUGGAUUGAAUUGAAUUGCCUCGAGCCCGCUCGAAUUUGAAGUCAGAAAAUUACAAUUGCAGCUAAAAUUUGACACGCAAAACAGAAACAGAGUAAAACACCUUUGAGAAUAUAAGCUUGAAGAAGAUUAGGAUCGAGCUGAAGCGCCUUGUCACAGUCCUUAAUGACAUGCUUAUGGAGCUCCAAUUGACUGUAACAAAAUGCUCUAUUGCUGCAACCAAAGAAAAGAGAAAGAAGAAGUUCACAUUAUCGAAAAUCAAUCUUUCUUGAAGAUCAAACAAGAAGACUACAACUGGAAAAUUAAUGAACUGACCAGAUAUCUUGAAUGGUGCAUGACUGAGCGAGAAGCGAGUCGAGAACUCGAAUAGCCUUUGACCAAUCUCCGGAGGCACAUGACUUAGCGAGCUCGGCACGCUCAGAGAUCGCCGAUACCAUAAUAACUCAACUGAGUUACAAACAAGUUUGUUGAGAUUUCAAUUUCAAGAUUAAAAAGGGAAAAAUAGGAAAAGGAGUCGAACGAGGUGAGUGAACGGGAGAAAUGGGGUAGAAAGGAGAAGGUGGACCAGGAAGGUGGUGGUGGAGAAAUCGAGCUUGGAGGAGAGAGUUUGCACGUGCCGUUACACGUGAACAAAAGAAAGCUUGAUUCACUUCCGCUGAGUUUUCACUUUUCACCGCCAUUAACAUUAACAAAAUAUUUUACCACGGGAAUUAAACAAGCUAUGGGCUCGAUUUUAUGACCAAUGAGUGGUUAAAUCUUAAAUUAUAAUAUUAAGAGAAGUUUACUAUUUAUUUAUAUAUGUGAUUUAUUGAAGGUAAUUUAAAAUUUUAUUAAUGAUAAAUUAAUCUUUUAUUAUGUUUAUUAUUGUAAAUUUUGAUAAAGUUUAAUUUUUUUUUUUUUUUACCAACAAGUGUCAAGAUAAAUGGUUUAAUAUUUUUUUUUCCUUGAAUAAGGUCGAGUGUUCAAACAUCAUAUUUCUUUAAAUUAAAUCAAGGAUUCGAUACUUAUAAAUAGACAAAAUAUUCAUUAAAGUGUUUUUAUCGCUUAGUGAGUAAAAUCGAGUAUUCAAAUAUCAUAUUUUUUUUUAAAUUAGAUCGAUGGUUCAAUCAUUAUGAAUGGAUUAAAUAUUCAUUAAAGUGUGAAAACCACUUAGUCGAGCGAUUCGACACAAGUAAAAUUUAGUCGUAAUAUAAUAAAUAAAAUCAUUUUAAUAAGAAAUACUUAUUAAAGUAUUUUACCACUCAGUUGGUGUACGGACACAAGUAAAAUUUAGUCAAAAUCUAGUAAAUAAAGUCAUUUUAAUAAGAAGUAUUUGCAACUCUUAACCUUGUAUUGUUUCAUAAUUACUGAGAUGACGUGUAAUACCAUAUGAUUCAACAUGAAUCUGUAUUUCUAUCAAAAAGGGAUUCUUUCCCCCAAUGCAAGUAAAGUAGAAUGAAAUAUUCCUUGUCAAAAUAUGAAGGAAAGGAAAAAAAAAAAAACCUCGGUAAAUAAAUAGCAAAUAUGAAUUUUUAAUAUGAUUUGGACAUUUGGUUGUCCAAGUGAUAUCGUUAGAAAAUGUAUUUGACUAUGAUAGAUUGUCCACUGCGGAUUGGGCCACAGGGUGGCUAGGAUGGACACUGAACGGAAGCAGACCUGGACUCGGGCUAAAAGUUUCGAGUCUAAGCCCAGUGGUGCACAAAAAUAUCUUAGCUUGAGCGCAAUUUUUUUGCUAGUGUAUUUUAUUUUAUAUGCUCGCAGAAUUGAUGAGCAUUUUUAUAGUCAAAAUAACUUGAAUCCGAAAUUUUCUUUCUAUAUUUUUAUAGAAGGUGAAAGACCAAACAAAUCACGUGUGAUUGACUUAUAAUAUAUUUUAAUUAUUUUCAUAUAUAUAUAUAUAUAAAGAUGAUAUUGUAUGUUAUAUCUUAUGUUACAAAAUACAGAUCACAUGAUUAAACUUUUUAAUACCAUAUGCAUAUAAAUUUUUAAGUUUCGUGUUGCUUUCUUACACAUUUCAUUAGAAAAGUAAUCUACUUUUGUAACAUUAAUCUUGCAGAAAAUAGAGGAAGGGAAAAAUGUGAGCAAAAGGAGCCCAAUUCCAACAACCUGCAAUAUCCACAAAGGAACUUACCCUUUUAUUCAUCUCUCCUUCUGGAAUAGGAAUGAGGGCGAGAUUAUUUAUUAGAUAACCAUCUCUUAUUGCAGGUUACAUGCAAUACAAUCAUAUUUAUAUUAUGAUUUUAAUGUAUAAAAAUAUUUUUUAUAUAUACGUGUUAUUAUUAAAAUUUGGGUUAUUUCAAUUUGGUUUUUAAUUAUUUAAAGGUUCGAUGUAGUUUUUAUAAAAUUGAAUUUGAUUCUAAAAAAAAUUGGUUAUUGUGAUUUUAGAAAAAUAAUUAUAUCCAACCAACCACGUGUUCCCUCCAAAAACAAAUAAACCAUAUUUCUCUUUGUUUUCCAUUUUGGUUUAACACUUGCAGCUGGCGGGAGUUCAAAAGCUAAAUCUUGGUAAUCUCCCAUAAAGAAUUUCUAAUACCUGCCGAAAGAAUGGUAAAAAAAAAAAAAAACUCUUAUGACCUUAAAAAUCUUGAUUUAUGACAAAUAUAUGGGUCACACACCAAGGAUAAUUUUCCAACUUUUUUAUAUAAAAUCCUAAUUAACGAUUUACACAGUUUUAUUAACGAGAAAUUACCAGGCUAAACAAGAAACAAUGAUUGCACAAAUGUCAAAAAAAAGAAACAAUGAUUGCACAUUAUAAAUAUUAAAAUACCAAAUGUGCAUUUUAAAGAUUAGGCAGCAAUAUCAUAACGAAUAUGCCUAAGAAGCACCGGAAUUACAAUAUCCGGUGAGCUCAAUUGGGGUAAAUGACCGUCGGACGACAUAACUUCAACUAUAGAUUCAGAGCCAAGAUUUUGAUGCAAAUACUCCGACACAACCACCGGCACAGCCAAGUCCUUGCCACUUUGGACAAUGUGACAAGGCACCGUGAUCAAGUGCAGAAUCUGCCUCAUGUCACUCUGGAAUAUGGUUCGUGCUACACUUAGAGCUAUAUCUGGUCUCAUAUUGAAGAGAGUGCGGCUAAAUUCUUGGACGGCAACUGAGUCCAUGUCACCGCCAACGGCCAGCGGAGCAAACCCUGAACACCACGCCUUGUAAUUGGAUUCCAUUGCUUCAAAUAGUUGGUUUAGAUCUUCUUGCUCAAAUCCUCCAUAGUAAUCCACAUCAUUCAAAUACCUGAUAAUUAUAAAUGUAGAUUAGUAAAACUAGACUUGAACUGUAUUAACAAAACUUUUAAAGUAGCUUUUAGAGUUUUGGCAAAUUAAAUUUUCUAAUAUUACUUAAUAAUAUAAUGUUGAAACUAAUUUUUAAAAUUUUAACUAAACAACUAAUAACUACCAAAAUAAUUAAUUUCAUUUAACAAACCCUUCCAAAGUCAUGAUUCAAAACAUUUAGAUAUCAUAUUAGGAUAGGUCUACCUAAAGCUAACGGUCAUGAUAUUAGAUUCGUUCGGUAAAAUUAACUUUUUUUUUUAGUAAUUAUUAGUUGCCUUAGUAGUAUUAAUUGUUCAUCAAACGAUAAAAAGGAGUGAUGUUUCAUUAUAUCUAUUCAAAAUUUAAAUAUUAAAUAUUAAUAUAAAAAUUAUGUCGCUGAACACUACAACUAAUGAAAAUAAUCAAAAUAUUAAAAACUACAUGAAAAAAUAUUUUGGAACAGCUUGUGAAUGCUGAAAUUUUCAAUUCAAUCAACAUAGUUUCAUUGAUUUUAAAAUGAUUUUCAUGGCAAAUGGCUAGUUUGGUAACCCACACACAAACACAAAGAUCCAAAAAGACACAUUAUUAAACAAUGUUUCAACUAGCCUUACCUUGUAUAAAAAAAAUAAUUUAUCUAUAUUCAAAUAUGAAAAGACAGGAAUGAAUAAUAAAAUAUAUUAGAACACAAAUCAAAGAUACCGCAAUAAUCAUAAACAACAAAGUAACUAAACAGUUAGCGAUGCGACUUCCAUUAAACAACAAAGAUAAACCGCUAUUUUUUACUAAUUUUUAACCACUUGAAAACAUUUUAUAAUGAUUUCUAUUUCUGCGCAAACUUUUAUGGUUGUCUUAAUCAGCUAAUCUGCUAAUCAACGUGGCCUGUAAAAGAUUAAUAAAAUAGUCAAAAAGAAGAGAGUUUAAUUAAUUAAUUUAAUUACCUUGGAGAACCAGAGAUCAUUACGAGUUUGGAGAAGAGAUCAGGGCGGCUAAUGGAAGCAAUAGCGCCAAUCAUUGCAGAAACAGAAUGACCGACAAAAAUACACGAUUCAACUUGUAAUUCCUCUAAAAUCGCUAGCAAAUCAUAAGCAUAGCCUUCGAGAGUUGAAUACCGAUCAAAAUCAAAGUAAUCUGGAUUUGUAGUACCAGCACCCAUAUUAUCAUACAAAAUGACUUUGAAAUCGUCGAGAAGAUGAGGAACAAGGUGUUUCCAAACAGAUUGAUCGGUGCCAAAUCCAUGAGCGAGAACUAAAACCUGCUCUCCUGCGCCUAUGAUUUUGACAUUAUGAGCUUCUUCUACUAUGCCCAUAUCUUUUUCUCCUGUUUUUGGCCUUUUUUUGUUGGGGAGGUUGGGGUUUGGGAGUUGAGCUUUGGGUUUAAAGGUGUGAAAUGGUGGACUUUUAUUUUUUUUUUGGAUUUUUUUUGUUUUUGUUUUUGGUGCUGUGGACAAGGGAAAAGGUGUAGACGGGGAAUAAUAACGACCGCAUGGGUGUGUGUGUGUUUCUUUUUUCUUUUUCCAAAUUUAAUGAUAAGAUAUUGGGCUUUGUUUAUGUAUGUGCUGGUACAGGCAAUAGGAUUUUUGUUCUUACAUCAACGGUGUAGAACCAUGUGAUCAACUUUUUGACGAAUUAGUGCAAGUGAGUGCAUUCAUAUGGAAUCAUCUAACAACUAAUAGAUAGAGGAGCAUUGGCAAGCCGACUUCGCAAAAUUUUUUUUAAGUAUUGAAUACGAGAAUAUUCAUAUUAAUAUAUAUAUAUUUUUACUGUUAGAGAAGGUAUUAGAACCUAAAUUUUAAUAGGUGUUGUUGCUAUGGUGAAAAAUAAAAGAAUUCGAAUUUGAAUUUUUUUCGCCCAUUAGAGUUUUUAUAAAAAAUUUUAUAGUUUUGAAUAUUUUAAUUUUACAAAUUAGAAUUUUUAACAUUUUAACUAAUUUUAAAUAUUAUUAUCAAGUGACAGGAAAUAAAUUGUUUGAUAAAUAAUUUUUAAAAAAUAUUUUUCUUAAAGAAUAUAUUUCAAAUAUAAACUAUUUUUCUGAAGUAUUUUACUUCGCCCGCCUUGUAAUUUUUAUCUUGGUUUUACUUGUAGAUAGAUUAAAAGCAUUUAGUUAAUAUAGUUAAAUAAAAAUUUUUGCUUUAUUUUUUUCUUGAUAUAUCGUUAUAUUAGUAUCCCAUUAAAAAAUUAAAUGAUGCAUAUUAAAUUGUUACUAAAAUCAAUUAGAUUGCAAUUAUCAAUUCAAUAAUAAACAUAAUCAACCAAUGUACAAGUGGAAUACUAAGGGUCUGAUAUAUUAAUUUUGUUUCUAUCAAUAUUUAAUUAAUUGUAAUUUAGUAGUUUGGGUAAUAUAUAUAUUAUCAAAAAUAAACAUAUUAAAUAAAGGUAAGUAGUUUAAGAAAAAUACAUAUAGUUUGACUUUUACCUAGAUUAAAAAAAAUAUAUAUAGUUAAACUAUUUUUUUUAGCUUUUUCCUAAAAUAUCCUUCUAUAAUAUUAAAUGAUAUUUAUAUAAUUAAGAAUAUAAAUGUAUAUUAAGAAAUUAAAUAAUAAAUCAUUUUUUUGAAAAUAUAAAUAAGAUAUUUUGGGAAAAGAAAAAAUGGGAAACAAUACGACAAUUUGAGGCGAAUGGGAGAAAGAAAAAACAGGCAGGACAAAGAAUUACGAAGGGAGGGAGUAAACCUAAGGAACAAAAUAUCCCAACUUGGAUUUAUAAUAAGUAUUCUAUGCAUCUAUGAUUGGAAGUAUAAUAUGCAUCUGUAAUUGGAAGAUCUCAAUACAAGUCAAUUAAAAUAUCAAUGAUUGAGGGAGUGACUGGCGAAGCAACGAGCAACAGAUGGUAAGGCUAUUUGGUAAAAUUAAAUAUUUUGAUAGGAUUAGAAAUAUUUAGCUGUUAGAGUAGACUGUUGUAUUUUAAUAAAUAGAAAUUAUGGAUAGUUGGUGAUGUAACUGAAUAUGUAUUUAUAAAUAUUAAAUUUUAAAAAUUAUUCUCCAAUGCACGAAGAAGAAAUCAAUUCAACGCAAGAAAAAAUUUUGAGCACAAAAAAAUAAGAAGGCAUAAAGAAAAAUAAAAAAAUGAAUAAAUAGGAAAAUAGAAUAAACAACUGAGUCAGACAAUUAUCUAACAGAUUACAUGAAAACAGAGAGCAUGGUAGAUAAUGUCUUUUUUUUUUCUUUUUAAUACAUCAGACUCACAGACUAUACAGAUAAUAACGUUAGAAAAUGUUUUCCUUUUUUUAACGUUCAAUUUUUUAGACGUAGCAAAUAAAUAAACGCAAUCAACAGUUGCAUUAGAGAUACUCUUAACUGUUUGAAUAAUUUUUAUAAAAUAUUAAAAAUUAAACAUUAUAUAAAUUAAUUUUUUAUAAAAUAUUAAUUUAAUCUCUAAAAAUUAAUUUAAAUAUUAUGUACUCCGAUACCCAAAAAAUAAUUUUAAGGUUUUAGAUUCAAAAAACUGUUUUCGACUACCAUUUUAGAUGAUUGACAGGAAGGGAAGCCAUCAAUGGACCCACCAUCCAUCAAUGCGGACUUAUCCAAACAGCCAGCUGCAUGAACCAACUCAUUUAGCAUUUUCACGUGCCAGUUUCUCUUCUUUAAGCAUAGGCACUUAGUGAACUAAAAUAUCAAACCUCUGUCUUUCAUCACCUCUAAUAUUUGGAUUUUCUGCUCCAAAUGUCCCUUUUCAUGCCAACUUGUACAGGUAUCUAUCCGGUCCCCCAAACAAGUGGUAUCUGAAUUUUUUUUUUCUUAUCUAUUAUAUUUAUGAUAAAAUGAGGAUAUUUUUUAUUUAUUUUAAUAUAUAUGUCUCUACGCUCGAAUCAAUAAUAAUAUUUAGAUAAAGUCUUUCUAUCAGUUAUAAUUCUAAGUUUUGAAUAUAAUCUAUUUCUGCUUAUCUAAUUUAACCACCUAUUAAUACAAAUAAAGAUAUUUUUUUAUCAAAUGUAAUUAUAUUCCAACCAUCCCUAUUAAUUUUGGAUUUUGGUGUUAGCCUCCAUCUAAGUAAUUCAUCAAGGGAUAUAAGCAUGGUGUGACAUUUUCAAUAUAUUAUUUAUAGUAUCUGGUAUGAAAUUUAAUAGAAUUAAUGAUUAAGGGUAUAAUAAAUUAUUAAUCACAGAUUUAAUUAGCACAAAUUAUUUUUAAUUGAUUAGGUUAUAGUUAAUUGCUUGGUGAUUUAAAUUAAUUAAACCUACACUUGUUCAUGUUGGGUUCGGGCUAGGUUGGGUCGGGCUAAAAUUUUAAGGUUCUUCUGUCCAGGCCUGGCCCAUACCCGGUUAAGCCUACAGGUAUCCAUCACAAACUUCAACGCUUACGUGUAACAACUAUUAAUUUCAAAACCCUCUAACAAAAUCAAGAAUUGAUUAUUUAUCUAUUACAUUAAUUCCUAUUUAUAUUAUUUUGAACUCGAUCAACUUCAUACAAAUAUUUGCUAAUAAAAUUAUUUUUUUCAAGUUAGUUUUUUUUUAUGAUAAUUUUAUUUAUAGUUAUUUAAAAAUAAUUUUAAAAUUUUAAUUAAUAUUUUUAUUUAUAUAAUACAUUAAAGUAAAAAAAAUAUAUAUUCACAUUAAAUUAAAAAAUAUAUCAUAGACUUUAAUAAGACAAUUAAGGGGUACAUUUAAAAAAAGUGAAGUGCAUGUUUUUAUAUGAGAACAAGCUAUUUCACGGUUGAAUUAAAAUUUGAACGGAGAUAAUUAGUUGAAUGUUAGAUAAAUUAAACUUUAGAUAACAAGCUCUUUUUUUUAUAUAUAUUUAAAAGAUAUUUUAAAUUUUUUAUAAAAAUAUAUAUUUUUCCAUAGAAAUAAAAUAAUGCAACAAUUACAUAACAUUUUGUUAGCCAAUGAAAUUUUUCCAAAUAAAAACCCCUUCUUUUACAAAAUAAUCAUUACCAUUUAUAAAAUAUGGAAAAAUUUACAUGUUAUUUUGUAUUGCUGCUAUUGAAAAAAAAAUUCACAUUUUACAUACACACAUAUAUAAUUUCUACAAAAUAAUGACAAAAGUUUUCUAACCUCUUAACUUUUACAAAUAAUAAAAAAAAUUUUACCUUUUACAAAGAAAACAAACAUAGAAAAAAAAUUUUCCUUUUACCUUUUACCUUUUACUUUCUUAACUAUCGAACGACAAUGUUAUUUCUACGAUUAAGAAUUUUUUUACAAUAUUCUCUACAAUUAAAUCAAACAUAAAAUUAUCGAUAAAAGAGGAAUGUAACUCAUAAACUAGAUGUUGACAAUCUGUGAAUAUAAUUUCCGACCCUUGCAUAUCCAGUUUAUGCACAUUAAUAAUUAAACUUAUAUAAAAACUCAUUUUUCAUAUAUAUUCAAUAUGUAUAUGUAUUAAUUUGAAACUACCUAAACACAAUUUAAAUGUUCGCUAAAAAAACAAUUUAAUAAAUACAAAUAUCAUUAUUUGUAAUUGAAAAUAUUAUUUAUCCCUUUUUUUUAAAUAAUAGAGAAGACAAACUAAAUACACUAUUUCGAAUAUAAGCAAUACUUUUUUUUUUUUUUUUUUUUUUUGGAAAUUUAAAAGCAAUAAUUGUAAUGUCAUGAUUAAGCCAUAGCCAAAAUACAACGAGGAGACUUCUCUAGAUAUGAAAACUCAGAAGAAAAGGAUUCCUUGUUUUUUUAAAAUAAAAUAACGUUAUGUCCAACUAUCAAGUUUGUAUUAACACAAGGUUUCCCAUAAAUAACAUAUAUUAAUUAUUCAUGAUAUAUUGCUUGUAUAUUCAUAGACUUUCUAUUUCUUUAUUUGACUUAUUUGCGACUAGAGAGUACCUUGACCCUUGAAAAAAAAAAAAAGUUGGAUACAUUUUUUUUUUCUACACUACACUAAUAAGUUGUAUGGGUUCAUCAAACUUUUAGGCUUUUAUAUUGUGUAUUUCAAAACUAAAAUUUUAUUAAUAUUCAAAAAUAUUUAAAUGGAAUAAAAACAUGAGCUUUUUUUUUUUUUUUUUUAAAUUUUUCAUUCACUAUUCAACAGCAAAAAACGAAGAAAAAACAUAAAAAAAUGGCAGAAAUAUAGCCUUAAAACAUUUAAAUUUUUUUUUUAUAUUAAAUAUCCAUGUUUUGUGGACACUUAAAUGUGCUCCGAAUAUGGAUGGUACAUACACUCAACCAAUCAAAAAGUAAUUUUUUUUAAAUGUUAAUUUUUUUUCCACAAAAAUUCUCUCAUUUGGACAAAAAAUUGUUUUUGAUUGGUUUGAUAUAUAGGUAGACUCACACAUGGAGUAGGAUAGAAAUGAAUUGGAUAAGAGACAAAAAUCUCAUAAAAAUUGUAAGGUGGGCUUAUUUGAACUUCAGCCAACUAAUGCUAAAAUUUUAGUACUAACUAAUUAGUUAGCUUGUUUCUCUUAUAUGUCCUUUGUGGGAUAUUUAGUCACUAUGAUACAACCGGGAAUCAUGAACUUGCUUUAAUACCAUAUUAGAAGUUAAAAGUGACUUGCUUUAAUACCAUAUUAGAAGUUAAAAGUUGAAAAAACAGAGAUAAGCUUAGUAGGAUUUAGGAGUUUAGAAUCCAUAAAAUUUUGUGAAGUAGGUUUACUUAGAUUUAAACUAACUAAAGUUAAAAGAUUAAUAUUAACCAAUUAGUUAGCUAGCUUGUCACUUUCAUCCGGGAUAUAAAGAAUUGAUAUUUAGUCAAAACAAAUUCUUAAUGGUAGGUAAAUGUUUCUCGCGUCUCAUUAUCUUAUGAGGAACUCUCUAGAUGCCAAAAAAAGACAGGCGUUGCAUAUUUUCUUCAAAGCGAAGCGAGUUUGAACGUGGCAAAUACCAUACCAAGAAAACCAGCCAUCAGGCUGCGGUUGCAACUUGCAACGCUCUCCGUCCCAAAAGAUAGAAUUACAAAGAGAACAAAUAGAAACAGGAUAGUGCUUGGCUUUUCAGUUUUGAGAGGGGACUUACAUCGACAACAAUAUAAUAUAGAGCAUUAACAAGAAGAAUAAGAAAAGCCAUCUUGACCAAACUUCAAGAAAUUGCACUGGCCUUUGGAAUUGUAAGAGGAAAUCUCUAAUUAAAUGCCAAAAUGCCAUUAUUGAGACCACUAACAGGAAAGUAUGUAGUAAUUUUGAAAUUGCAUGCAUGGGGAAUGGCCUUGUGAAGGAAAUUCAAAAUUUCUUGAUGCUAAUAAAAAAUCACGUACGAUGGAUUGUGGACCUCAGAUGUUGGACACAAAUUAAGUCUGCUGCAAAACAAUGCUUCCCGACAUAUAUUCUGAAAAAAUUCUAGUCUCUUGACCUACUUUGAGGAGUAGCGUUUCUUCAAAGACUCCAUGCCCAGACAGUAGAUACACUUUUGAGUUUCACAAACAGAGUUGGAAAUUAUUAAGGGUGAAAUUUGUAUAUACUGUUUCAUGGUUUUUUUUACCACAUGGCAAAUCAGUGAAGGAAUAAACUCAAGUUUCAUUGGGCAAUUUAUCGGAACCAAAAUAGUGUUGAAAGAAAAUAUUUACGAUUAUGGUAUUAUCUUGACUUUUUAAAUUCAUUUGUUACACAAUGUAUUAUUAUACUAUGACUACAAUUUAUUUAAAUUUUUUAAUAUUGGAACCAGUUUUUUCUCAACACACUCUCUCUUACGUUUAUAAUAUAACAAUACUAUUACACAUUUUAAAGACAUCGACACAGACUUUAAGAGUAAAGAUACAUGUUUGAUAAAAAUUGACAUUGUUACACUCACAGUGUAACAAUUUAUGCAUGUUUUCUAUUUUUCAAUGUCUAUUUUUAUACAUUGUUAAACAAUAUUAAGGAAAUAUUAUUUCCUUAUGAUAGAUUGUUACACUUUGAGUGCAAUAAUAGCAUGAAAAAUAGUUUGGUAUGUGAAUCUCAAUAAAUUUGAAUGUAUUAAUCUCAAUAAAACUAUUUAUAGAUUUCUUAUACUCACAAUGUAACAAUCUCAAAAAAAUAGUUUGAAGAAUCUUCUUUGUCCUUAAAGUAUGUGUACUUACAUUGUUAUAUUAUAAGUGUAGUGGUUGCAAAACUUCUUGCAUCCCGAUUGAAAAAUGCUAUGGCGUCAAUUAUUGGAGAAACAUAAUCAACUUUUGUAAUGAAAUAGUUCAUGAAUUGAAGCAGAAAAGGGCUAAAUUAGGUUUAUUAUUCAAAUCAGAUUUCAAAAAAGCAAAUGAUUCAGUCAACCAGAAUUUCCUUCUGGACAUGACGCAUAAGAUGCGUUUUGAGCAGAGAUGGAGGAAAUGGAUAGUUUGAGUGCCUCUUAGUUCCAGGCUUUCUGUCCUAAUCAAUAGUUAAAAAUAGAGGAUUUUAAAUGACAUAGACUUGAAACAACGAGACCCAAUUUCUCAUUCUCCUUUUCUAAUCGUUGUUGAAGGCCUUAAUCUUUUGAUUUGAAAUUUUGUCUUACAAGGUUCUAUUUCUUUUCAUGUCUUACAAACUUGUAAUGAUUUGUGUUGUUUCCAAAUAUGACCCCAAUUGAUAGAUUUAGAAAAUCUUAUAGGAGAAUUUAGGAACGAAAUGAGUAGUGAAAUGAGUUAUUAGAUUUGAAAAAAUUAGUUCAUGUUCCAUUACCGACACAUCAAUUAUAGAUUCAGAAAAUUGAUUCGUAACACCCUUGCAUGUAUAAAUCUGCAUGACAUAGAUGAAGAAAUGAUGAUAAAUAAUUAUAAUUGGAUGAGAGAGUAAUUAUAAUUAAAUGAAAUAUAUUAAUCUUUUGUACCUAAGUAUGGAGUUUGAUCCCUUUAUAUAGAAUGAGAAAGACUAUUCAUUAGAGCUACAGUUAUAAUCCUUGUUAAAUACAUACAGAUUUGGAAUACUGAAUGAAUGCGUAUUUUUGGAGUGAUUGACAGUUCAUUAAGUGUCCUAUAAAGAAAUUUAAAAGAUUCUACAUAUAAAAGUAUUGGCUUGUUUAACAUGUCAGCGGAAGUAUAUUAGGAAUAAGAUUCUCUUAAUCUAAUGCAAAUAUAUUUUUUGUCCAUAAAAUAUAAUUAGAUCCUGAUUAACUUACUAUUAAAAUUCCAUCACUUACCAAGAUUAGAAAAAGAGGAAGAAAAAGGUCUCAAGCUUAUAUUCCAAAUGAUGCUGCUACAAGCAAAUUAGAAAAGAAAGGGAAAAAGAAAAGAGAAAAAGAAGAAGACACUCAUUUGGUUAUAACACAGUCAUAGAGUGAAAUCAAGGCGAAGGUGCUUGAGAAUAACUGGGAUUACAAUAUCAGGCGCGCUCAAGUGUGGCAAGUGACCGCUGGUAGGCAUGACCUCGACGAUUGAUGGGUCGCCGAGAUGUUGAUUCAGAUAUUCAGACACCGCCGCUGGCACAGCCAUAUCCAUUUCACUCUGCAAUAUAUGGCAAGGGAGAGUGACCAUAGGUAGAAUAUGUCUCAAUUCUGUUAGAAAUUUAAGAUGGACUAAACUAAAAGCUAUAUCAGGUCUCAUGUUGAAUAGAGUUUGAGAGAAUUCUUGCACAGCUACCGAGUCCAUGUCGCCACCUAGUACCAUUGGUGCAAACCCUGAACACCAUGCUUUGUAGUUGGAACGCAGUCCUUCAAAUCCUCCAUUAUAAUUCUUGUCAUUCAAUAACCUAGUUUGAAACACCAAAUAAAAAGUUUCUAUUACACAUAUUAUAUAUGAUUUUGAUCAGUAUAACAGCAACUAGCAAAGUUUACCUUGGAGUAGCAGAGAGCAUAAUGAUUUUAGAGAAGAGAUCUGGGCGAGCAAUGGAGGCAUAAGCACCUGCCAGACUCAAAACAGAAUGACCAACAAAAAUACAAGACUUAACCUGUCAUUCAUCUAAUAUGGCCAGCAAAUCAAAGGCAAACCUUCAAUACUGGAGUAUCUUUCAAAGUCAAAAUAAUCAGGAUUAGUAGUACCAGUACCCAUAUUAUCAUAUAAAAUAACACGAUAGUAGUCUUCAAGAAGGUAAGGAACCAAGUAUUUCCAGACAGAUUGAUCACUGCCAAAGCCAUGAGAAAGGAUAACAAGUUGCUCCCCUUUCCGCACAACCUUUACAUUAUGUGCUUCUACAAUUCCCAUUUUUUGGUUUAACACUCUAAUUGUUAGUGAAAAGUUAGUAUUUAUAUUGGUUUCAGGUGCAUGGGUGCAUAGAUAAACAUGAAGCAACUAGGGCUACGUAUUACAUUCCAGAAUCACACGUGGAGCGAAGAGGUAUGUUGGGAAGAUCUAAUCAACUAGGGCUACCACUAGCAGUGUUCUUGUUGCAUUGUGUUUGAGUUGUGUUAUAUGUAUAUGCGGUAUUUAAUAUAGUAUUUGCAUUGGCUGUGUCCAAAGUGAAGAGACAAGUUGGUAUUUCAAGCGGCUAAGAUGGCAUUUUCCGCAUGUAAUAAAAAUACGUGUGAAGCUAGUAAUUACUUCUCUUUUGUUUCGUCGUUGGCAUACUGGUCAAGAGUGGUCGGGUCAAUGUCCUUUGUGCUCUGCAGCUUUGCUAGGUGUCGCUGCAUACAUUUUUUAUUUGCAAGCUAGCUUUACUUGCAAUUGAAGGAUAUUUCAAACCUGAAGUCUCUAUUAUUGAAAAGUGUUUACCAUAAUUUUACAUUCAGUCUGACGUAGAAAUAUGUAUGUAAAAAAGAAAGUAUCUAUUUUAUAUUUUACUAAAUUUAUAUAUGAAACUGGCCUUUCUGACCAUUAUAUGUCUCACUCCAUUUAGUACAACCUAUACAUAUAUUUAAUAAAACAUCAUCUACUCAAUUACAAAGAUAUAAUUAAUAAAAUGUUUAGCGGUCUAAUUGUUUAUUCGGUAAAAUUAACUAUUUUGAUAGUUGUUGUUUUAGUAGCUAGUAACUGUUUAAAUAGCUUUUUAUAAAAGACUAAAAAGCUAAAUGUUAGAUGAGUUAAUUUUUUAUAAAACGCUACCUUUAACUUCUAAAAGUCAAUUCAAAUGCAAUGUUAAAACUACGUAAAAUAGCAAAACUACUUAAAGAGCUUUUUGCCGAGCAUUCCCUAAACAUCAAUUACAUUUUUGCUAUCCAAUUAUAUUUUAAUUUUAUACUUCUAACGAACAAAAUACACUUAUUGUGUAUGUUAUUGAGUUAUAUCAAGGCGAAGGUGCUUGACAAUUACUGCAACUACAACCUCCGGCGAACUCAAUUGCGGCAAGUGACCGUUGGUAGGCAUGAGCUCAACGAUUGAUGGGCCGCCGAGAGUUUGAUGUAGAUAUUCAGACACCUCCACCGGUACAACCUUGUCCAUUUUACCUUGCAGAAUAUGACAAGGGACCUUAACCAUAGUUAAAAGAUGUCUAAUGUCUGAAGAAAAUUUAACAUGAGCUAAACUUAGGCUUAUGUCAGGUCUCAUAUUGAAUAGAGUUCGACAGAAUUCUUGUACAUGUACAGAGUCCAUGUCGCCACCGACCACCAUUGGCGCGAAUCCUGAACACCAUGCUUUAUAAUUAGAACUCAUUGCUUCGAACAUUUGGUUCAUCUCUUCUUGCUCAAAUCCUCCGUUAUAAUUCUUGUCAUUCAAUAAUCUAGUUUAAAACAAACAAAAAGUUAUUAUUUCUGCAAAGAUACAUAAAAAAGAUGGAAAAUGUUUCUUGUAGAUGUUUAUAUUAACAAUGUUGUAAAUGGAAAUAUGAAAAUGGAAAAUUUUCGUACGUUUUUUUGGGUACACUAUCAGUAUUGAUUUCAUUUCAUUUUACACUACUUAUAUUUUAAAAGUGAAAAAAAUCCUAAUUGUAUUGAUUUUUUAUAUUGAUAAUAUAGUUAAAUCAUUAUAUAUGUAAUAAAAAAAAUAAACAAAUAAUUUCUAAUUAUUUUUUUAUCAGCAAAACUUAUAUUUUUUUUAAUUAAUAAUUUUAGGAAAACAAACUUAACAAAUCUUAGCAGCUAAAACCAAACCAACAGAGCUCCCAAUACACCCAACCUAGCCAAAUAGAGCUUCCAAUACACCCAACUUAGCUAAAAAAUGUUUAAGUUAAAAAUUCUAGCUAGACUGAAAUACAUGAAAUUGAAAGGAAUUAAACUGAUAGAAAGAAAAAUUCUUGAAUUAAAAAACUUAAGCUUUCCUAUCAAAUUAGAAAACCAGCUAACAUGAUUGUUCCAAGAAACAGAUAAGCAAAGAGAACCAACUGUCCUUAAACUAUUUUAACUGCUCAUGUAUCAAAUAUAAUAUUUCUAAAUCUAUAAAUGUAAAAUCCACUAAAUAUGAAUAUAAUUUGAUAUUUAAAGGACAUUUAAAUUUAAAUUUUUAUUAUUAAUUUUUUAAAAAAGAAUGAAAGAACUUUUUAUUUGCAGCUCCAUCCUUAUUAGCGAUUGAGGUGUUAUUGCUACAAAAUAUUGAAAUUGGAAAAACUGACAAAAAAAAGUCAAAGACCGUGUUCAACAACUGUUUUUUUAGUAGUUUUUUGCGUUUUGACUAAAUGCUAUAUUUUAUAAUAUUCGGUGACAUAUCGUUUAAAUUAAUUUUAAAAGUUAAGGUAGCUUUUUAUAAAAGAUUAAAGGUCUUUUCGACAAAAUUAGUUAUUUUAGUAGCUGUUAGCUGUUUAAAUAGCUUUUUAUAAAACACCAAAAAACUAAAUGGAAAUGUUACAUAGGUUAACUUUUUUAUAAAACGGUAUCUUAACCUUUAUAAACUAAUUCAAACGCUAUAUUAUCCAACACUAUAAAGAAUAGUGUUCAAUGGUUUGACCAGUCAAAACACUAAAAACUACUUGAAAAGCUAUUACUCAACAUAGCAUAACCCUUGCAAAAUUGGAAGUAUUUUAAUACACUAUGCUUAUAUAUAUAUAUAUAUAUAUAUAUAUAUAUAUAUAUAUAUAUAUAUAUAUAUAUAUAUAUAUAUAUAUAUAUAUAUAUAUAUAUAUAUAUAUAUAUAUCAAACCUUUAACUUGAACAUUUGUUAAACUGAAACAUAGGUCAUGGGUAAAAAGAAAAUAAAAAUUCUAUAAUAAAACUAUAUAAAAGUAGAUAUUUUACCUAGGAGUAGGCGAGAGCAUGAUGAGUUUAGAGAAGAGAUCUGGGUGAGAAAUGGACGCAAUGACGCCUACCAUGCUAAAAAAUGAGUGAGAAACAAAAAUACAAGAUCUAAUCUUUAGUUCAUCCAAUAUGGCAAGCAAAUCAUAAACAAAACCUUCGAUACUGGAAUAUCUUUCGAAGUCAAAAUAAUCAGGAUUAGUAGUACCAGAACCCAUAUUAUCAUAUAAAAUUACUCGAUAAUCUUCAACAAGGUGAGGCACUAAAUAUUUCCAGAUAGAUUGAUCAGUUCCACAACAGUGACUUAGGACAACAACUUGCUCUCCUUUCCCCACAAUCCUUACAUUAUGUGCUUCUAUAAUUCCCAUUUUUGGUUCAAUACUCUAGUUGUAAGAAUUUAAUAUUUAUAUUGGUUUCAGGUGGAUGGAUAAACAUGAAGCAAACUGCAGCUACGUAUUACAUUUCAGAAUCACACGUGGAGCCGAGAGGUACGUUGGGAAGAAACGCAAGUCAUCAGUUUCGGAUCUAAUCUAUAUGUAUAUGCAAUGCAAACCAGGUUGAUAAGCAAUGUUGUUGUUGCAUGGAUUAUACUCCCUUCUCAUUUAAAUAUGAAUCGUUUUAAAAUGGUUUUUUUUUUUUUAAUUAAAAUGAUUGUUUUGUUUAAAAAUAUACGUCACUUUGAGCAUUUUAAAUAGUGACUCGUGAUCUUUUUCCUAUUUUAUCAUUAUUAUUAUAUAAUUAUUUUCAUAAAUUAAUUUUUAUUUGAGAUAAAGAGUAAUUUGGUCAAAUUAUCUUUAAUUUUGUUAUAAUUUAAAAAAAAUUAGUUUUUUCUUUAUCUCCCGUGCAAAAACCUCAAACGAUUUAUAUUUUAUGAGCUAGUGAAUAUUUAUCUAAAUUAGCUCAAAUCAAUAUUAAAAUUUUUUUAGAAAUACAUAAUAAAAAUUUACUUUUAUAUUAAUUUGAUCUAUGAUAGGUCCACUCUAAAUAAAUCAAUCCAUUGCCUCAUUGUUUUUGAUAUAUAUAUAUAGGUAUUUAAUAGAGUAUUUGCAUUUGCUUUGUCCGUAGUGCAGAGACGAGUUGGUACGGCUAAGAUGGCAGUUUCUGCAUGUAAUAAAAAUACGUGUCCGGUAAUUACAAAAUGUGGCUCAGUUGUCAAUGCAAGUUGGGUAUGUGAGAAAAACUCUCUCAAAUUCUAUUUUUACUGAACGUAUCUGCAAAGAAAAAUAAAAAAUUAACUGUGAUUAAAUCUCGAGCCGAAUUUAAUAAGUCUCUAAUCCGGAUGCUAGUUAUUAAAAAAAAAAAAAACGUGUGCGGUGCUAAUUAUUUCACUUUUGUUUCGUCGUAGGUAUACUGGUCAAGCGUGGUCGCGGUCAGGGUGCUCUGCAGCUCUGCAGGUGUCCUUUGGACGCACGCUUUUUUUUUUUUUUUUUUUUUUUUUUUUUUUUUUUUUUGCGUCGUUAACAUUCCCAAACCCACUGGUUGAGAAGCAAAGCACACUUUAAUAUUGUUUUAGUGUAUGUAGUUUAGAGUGCAUGCUUUAGAAGUUAGCUAUAAUUUUGAUAAUCACGAAUAAUUAUAUUUAUUUUUAUCAGAAAUUAUGAAUUUAAAAUUAUGAAUUUAAAAAGUGUAUAAUAAAAUUUAUAUCAAUAGUUUGCAUAAUUUAUAAAUAUAAAUAAAAAAAAAUUAAUAUCCUUCGAUUCUAUAUAAAUAAACUUCCCAUUUUGAAUAUUCCAUUUAAAUUAAUAAAAUUAUUCAAUUUAGACUAUAGCUAAAGUGUAAAGUUUAAAUUGUUUUGUUAAUAGCAUUAAAUUUUUAGAAAAAUAAGAAAGUGAAUGGAGACGAACUUACUUAGCUUAUUUGAGCUUCACCAACCAAUAUUAGAUGAUUAGCUUUAACCAAUUAGUUAGCUUAUAUAUUCUUUGAAGAUCUGAUAUUCAGUGAAAUAAGGAUUAUUAAUGGUAGUUAAAACGUUCCCUCAUCUCAUUAUCUUACGAGGAACUCUCUAGAAGCCAAAAAACGACAGGCAUCGCAUAUUUCUUCUAAGCGAAGCGAGUUUGAAUGUGGCAAUACCGAGAAAUUCAGCCAGCAGGCUGCGCGCUGUUGCAACUUCCAAUGCUUUUCGUCCCACAAAAUAGAUUUACAAAGAGAAUAAAUACAAAAUGAAUAGUGCUUGGCUUUUCAGUUUUGAGAGGGGACUUACAAGUUACAACGACAGCAAUAUAAUAUAGCAUUAAAAAGAAGAAUGAAAAAAGUCAUCUUGACCAAGCUUCAAGAACUUGCAUCUGAAGGCAAAAUGCCAAAAUGCCAUCGCUGAAUUGUACGAGGAAAUCUCUAAAUGCCAAAAUGCUAUCGCUGAAUUGAACCUGAAGGCAGAGAUAAGUUUCCUAUCAGAUUGUUAAAUCGCUGACAUGAAACUAUUAAUUCUGAAAUUGUAUGCUGAUAAAAAUUAAUCCAAUGGCUUUGUGAAGGUUGAUAAAAGAUUUCUUGAUGCUGAUAAAAAUUCACAUAUGAGGCCUAAAGGUUGAUGGGUUAUAGAUCUCAGAUUAAGUCUGCUGCAAAACAAUGUUUCUCAGACAUAUAUUCUGAAAAUUCUAGUCCUUGACCUACUUUGAGGAGUACUAAAUCAAAGCUGCUGUAUGGAGCUGCGUUUCUCAAAAGGAUCUAUGCCCAGACAGCAGGUAUACUUUUGAGUUUCACAAACAGAGUUGGAAACUUUAAGGGUGAUCUUUGUAUAUACUGUGUCUGAUUUUUCCCACUGCCAAAUCAGCAAAGGAAUAAACUCAAGUUAUAUUGGGCAAUUUCUCAUAAUCAAAACAGUGUUGAAAGUGUUAUCUUGACUUUUUAAAUGCAUUUGUUAUCCGAUGUAUUGUUAUACUAUCAAUAUCAUUGAUUUAAAUUCUUUUUAAAUCUAGAAAUAGUUUUUUCUUGACACACUCUCUCUACGCACAUUUUAAGAACACAAAUAACGAUGUAUCGUUAUACUAUCACUAUCAUUGAUUUAAAUUCUUUUUAAAUCUAGAAAUAGUUUUUUCUUAACACACUCUCUCAACACACAUUUUAAGGACACAAAUACCAACUUUAAGUACAAAGACACGCGUUUCACAUAAAUUGAUACUCUUACAUUUGGUUUAAUGCAUUAUAUGAGUUUGAACUUUGUAUGGUAUUGUGAUAUGACUCUAUUUUAACUUUUAUGUUAAUUUUACCCUGAACUUUAAUGUUAUGUUGUAAUAGCACUCUAAAUUGCAUUUAAUAUUUAAUUUGCAAAUAAAAGCACAUUAAUGUGGAGCCUACUCUUAACCUUGACUUAACUUAAUUCAAGCUUCUUUACGCACACAAAUUUAUCAAGUUUAAUUGUUGUCUUGAAUAAAUAUUUUUUUUUUCUUUCUACAAGCUAAAUUAUAAUUGAUUAUGAUAUCUUAUACUUUAUUUUUAACAAGAAAAUUAUUAAAAUUUCCAAUAGUCAAAUAAUCUUAUAGUAGUUCAAUUUUUUUCAAGCUUUGUUUUUUAAAUUUUAUAAUAUUUCAAAAUUUACAUUAAAAGCCAAACGAUAAUAAUAAUAAUAAUAAUAAUAAUAAUAAUAAAUUUUUUAUUUACAAAGUACUCUAAAUUUUUAAAAAUAAUAUCCAUAUAUCAAAUAAUGCAUUUCUAUUUAUUACUUAUUAUAAAUUAAAGAAAUAAUUUAAAAAAUAUUAAAAAUAAUAAUAGAGAUUUUCCUUACUAUUAACUCAUUCUUCUCACUUACACAAAUGUAUUAAGUUAAUCCAAGCCGAGAGUCAUGAGUGAAGCCAUAAUAAUUUAUUUUUUAUUUGUUAUUUAAGUCCUAAUUGUAAUUUAUGGUGCUAUUGCAACAAAAGGUAAAAGUUCAGAAUUGGUGAAAUUGAUAAGAAAUUCAAAUAUUGCAUUAAAUUUGAUUGAAUUAUCAACACAAUAAUAUUAACUCUCUCUUUUCAUUUUCAGUCAAAUUGCAGGCAAUUUUCAAGUUUUUGUGUGUUGUUUAUUAUUGCCCCAUCUGCAUUUAAAUCUUCUAACUGUGCCACAUUUUUAUUAUAUGACUACAUAUUUCUCGUGAUCAUAUCAUCGUGUUUAAGUAAAAUAAAAAAAUUACGUGCAUAUUAUAAUGUAUAUCCCAUUCGUUAAGAAUGGAAAAGUCAUUAUGAAUCCGGUUUCACAUUAUAUAAGAAUUUUUUAACACAAACUCCUCGUCUACAAAAAAAAAAAUGAGCAAGUGUUAUAAAAGUCGAACAUUAAAAAUUUUUUUAACAAAUUUUUCUGAAUACUAUUUUCCAAUGGCAUCGCUUUGCCGUAAACAAAAAAAAAAAAACUGCAGCCAUAAAAUUCCUCCAUUUUUAGAAUUAGAGAUUUCAGUUUCAAAACUCUUGAGUGACCGUGCCUCCCCAAAAUUCAUUUUCUCCACCAUUUCAUUCAAUACAAACCUAACUAUAUAUUUAAUACAAUAUCAGCAAACACAUUUUACCAUCUAAUAUUUCAAUUUAUACUUCUAAAAAACAAAACAGACUUAUUAUGUGUCUUAUUGGGUUAUAUCAAGGUAAAGGUGCCUGAGAAUAACUGGAAUCACAACCUCUAACGAAAUGCGGCAAGUGACCAUCAAUAGGCAUGACCUCAAUGAUUGAUGGACCGCCAAAACUUUGAUGUAGAUGUUCCGACGCCUCCAGUGGUGCAGCAUUUUCCAUUUUACUUUUGUAUUAUAUGAAAAGGGACAUAGACCAUAGGUUAAAUAUGUCUAGAGUCUGAUAAAAAUUUAACAGAGGCUUACAGUGAACAGAGUUCGACAGAAUUCUUGUACACCUACAAAGUUCAUGCCGCCAACUACCACCAUUGGCGUGAACACCCAGCACCAUGCUUUAUGAUUAGAACUCAUUCCUUCGAACAUUUGGUUUAUCUCUUUUUAGUCAAUUCCUCCCUUAUAAUUUUUAUCAUUCAAUGGCCUAGUUUGAAACAACAAAAAGAAAUUAUUUCUGUAAGGGUACACAUAUUAAAACAAAAAAAAAAAAAAAAAAGAGGACGGCAUAUGUUUUCUAUAAAUGUUUAUAUUAACAAACAAUGUUGUAGUAAAUAGAAAUAGUGGAAAUCUACACUUAUUUUUUUAACUAUUUAGCAUCUAAAAACUUACUAGUUGGACUAAUCGGAGUAUGUGCCAGACAAGCUCAUGAAGAAGGUAAAGCACUCCGUCCGAGUGUUUAAAGGAACACCAUAUUUAGAACUUGAACAGAGAAUGAAUUUCUAUCAUCUUAUCUCAUCCAUAGAGGAUUAGUUUUCCACUCUUUUUCGAUAUACUACUAGUAUUAACUUAAUUUUGAGAUUUAUAAAGCGACUUCGAUAAGUGGUUUGUAUAUAUAUUGAACUUUAACUUUACAGAAGUGACUGCCCAAACCGACACUAUUCAAUUUGGUUGGUCUGCUCACAACAAGUUUAGUUGUUGAUUUAUUUCAGUUCAAACUAAAAUUUCAAGGCAGUUUUGUUCGAUAAUGUCGAAUCUAAUCGAUUAAGCUGAACACUGAAUUGACUUUAUCAAAAUUUGAAGAAAUCAACUGAAUUCAUCCGAUUUGAUUCGAUUUUAAAAUAGGAAGUUCAGUUUACCCUUCCUAAUCUCGGUUCAGUUAGGUUUUAAACUGAAAUGGUGGUUUGAUUACCCCUAUAUAUGCUUGUGGACAAUUAAACAAGUAAGGCUAUUCUUUUUUUAUUUCACGAGAAUUUUUCUAUAUUUUCUUAUAUAUCGGACCAAUAUCAUUUCAGAAUUUAUAGUAGUUCAUCCAUAUAAUUAUUUUUUCCAGGGACUGAAUCUUUAAAUAAGUAAAUUAAGAUAUUGAGGGAUGCUAAUCUCAAUAAUUAUAAAUUACAUUAAAGCAUACUAUUAGGAAAAGGGAUUGGAAAGGUCAUGAAACCUCAGCCUUAGCCACUAAGGGUUCAUUGGACAUUCUCGACCUGGUUCAAAACUUGUUCCUGACGAUGACACAUGCUCAUAACUAAAAACUAGUAAGCAAAAUUAAAAUCUUAAAAAGAAGAUAUAUACCUGUUUUACGAGACUAGUUGUAUGUAUGCAGAAGCUUUUGAGAAAGUAUUUUAAAUUUUUGUCGUAGGAGCAUGCACGUUGGCAUUUCGCAGGCGGUAGGGGCAACGCAAAAGAGUUGUGUUUGCCGCAACCAUAAAAUGGCAUUUCACAUCAUAAACGGCUUUUGCUAUCAUAUCGUUUUACGUACAAAAAAAAAAAAAAAAAACUAUUUUGGUCCAUUACACACUAUUACUUAUACAUUAUUAAAACUAUUAUCUUCCUUCCAUAAUAUUUGUCAUAUUUUUUAGAAAAUAAUUUAUUCCAAAAUAUUUAUUACAUUUGUGAUUUGAAAAAAUGAUAAAUAUUUUUUUUACACGUUUACUCUUUAUAAAUAACCAAUAAUUAUUAUUUCAAUUUAAUAGUUUUCUUAAAAAACAUGAAAUACCAAAUAUGAUAAGUAUUAUUGGAACAAAAAUAUCAGAAUUUAUUAUAUAUAUAUAUAUAUAUAUAUAAUUUACGAUAUCUAUUGUUAUGUUGUAAAUACAAUGUAAUUACCAUUAAACUAUGUUUUUGUGUGCAAUUUGACCACAAACUUAAUUAUAAAAAUUAGUAAAUUAAAUUAUAUUAUUAUCGAGAACUACUGAAAAAUAAAAUAAUUUUACGAAAUACAGCCUAAAAAUAACUCCACGAUGAUAUUAUUCAUUAGCUUCAUCUUCUCCACGAUCAUAUAAUUUUUAUAUUUAUAAUUCUGUUUGCAAUGCAUCUGUUUUCCCAAAUUAAGAUUUUUCAGUAAUUUAAUUCUCUCCUCGAUAACCUCAUACAUUAUUUGAAUUUGAAACAAUUAAGCACUCGAAGAUCACUAUAGACUGUAUGAGGAGUGCUAGUUGCAGCGGCUCUUUAGAGUAACUGUUUAACUCUUUGGAAAAAGCCAUUCACACCACACAUCAACCCGAAACAUUUGGCAUUUUUGAUAUUGAAGCAGUAUGUUUGAUAUUGAAGUUAAAAAAAGAAGAAGCAAUGCAACAAUUUUUAAACCAACAUCACUUGUUAAUCAGAUAACGUAGCUAAUGUGCUUGACAAUGACCGGAAUUACAAUAUCCGGCGAGCUCAGUUGCGGCAAGUGACCACAGGUAGAUAUCAAUUCAACAAUAGAUGGGCCACCGAAAUUUUGAUGCAGAUAUUCAGAUACCGCUAUUGGCACUGCCAUGUCUUUCGUACUUUGCAGAAUAUGACAUGGGACAGUGACAGAAGGCAAAACAUGUCUCAUAUCUGUCAAGAAUAUAACUUGGGCUAAACUCAAAGCUAUAUCGGGUCUCAUGUUGAAUAGAGUUCUUGAAAAUUCUUGCACGGCCACAGAUUCCAUGUCGCCACCUACCACCAUUGGUGCAAAUCCUGAACACCAUGCUUUGUAAUUGGACUUCACUCCUUCAAAGAUUUGUUCUAUGUCUUCUUGCUCAAACCCUCCGUAGUAAUCCUCAUCAUUCAGUAGCCUAAUUUUAAUCAACAAAAUUGAAAGUUAAAUGACCAGAUUAUUAGAAUGAUAAUAAAAAAUCGCAUCAUAUAUACAAUUAAGUUAACGAAAGAUCAUACCUUGGAGUGGCGGAGAGGAGGAUGAGUUUAGAGAAAAGAUCAGGGCGAGAAACAGAGGCAAUGGCGCCAACCAUACCAGAAAAGGAGUGGCCAACAAAAAUACAUGAUUUGAUUUGUAAUUCUUCUAAUAUAGCAAGCAAAUCAUAAACGAAACCUUCAAUAAUUGAGUAUCUUUCAAAAUCAAAAUAGUCGGGAUUAGUAGUACCAGCACCCAUAUUAUCGUAUAAAACCACUACAUAAUCAUCAAGAAGAUGUGGCACUAAGAACUUCCAGACAGAUUGAUCGGUGCCAAAGCCAUGAGCUAGGACUAUAACUUCCUCGCCUGAACCAAGCACCUUGACGUUAUGUGCUUCUUCCACUAUUCCCAUAUUUCCUUACCUUGGUGCUCGUGUAUGUGUAGCGUAUGGGUUUUGGAGUUAUCCAUUUAAAGAUUAACGUCGGGGGACUUCGUUCAAGAAUCACGAGAUAGAUACCGCAUUUCCAUAUUAAAGAGUAAAGUCGAGUCAAAGUUGCAUUGGAUUUCGUCAAUAUAUAGCAAUAAGGCCCUGUUUGGUUUACUAUAGUUUGCCCCAUAUUUUAGGAAUAAGGGACAACGGGUCAAAUGUGUAUUUAUAUCCGCAUACUUAACGGGGAAAACUUUCUUUACGUCUCAAAUUUAAAUUUUACAUUUUACGGGUGACCUAUUACGACCCAGUUACAAACUUUGCUAAUAUUGUAUCCAUUUAUACUAGCGAUAACAUUUUUUUAGUGUUUUGACAUUUACGUGCAAAAUAUUCACUUAACGUAUAGUUAAUAUAAUCUUUGAAAUAAUAAUUUUUACAUUUUUCAACUAUUUAAUAAAUGUUUAAUUAACCUAAUUUUAGAAAUUUAAGUGUCCAAUAAAAUAAUUUUUACAAAUUGAAGUAAUUAAUUAGUAUAAUUUUAUAAAUUAAAAUGUUUAUUAAAUUAAAGUAAAAAAAUUGAAGGUGUCACAAUAUUUUUACGUAAACUAAAUGGAUAAAUUUAUGCAUUGAAUCGGACACAAUGGUAUAUUAUUUUAAAUUGAAAUAAAUGAAAUCAUACAGAUUUUAUAUGAGAUGAACUCUUUUCAAUUGGCAACAACUUUUUUUACAGCAUCACUGAAAAAGCUGUGUAGUUUGGAGUUUGAGAGCAAAUUAUCAAAAAGUUACUCUGUUUCACAACUAAGUCAAUGUUUUUGGAUCUUUUGGUUCAUUUAAUACACAUAUUAUACAUACAGGUAUACAGGUGCAUGUACAUGCGUGUAUGUGCCUAUUCAGGUUGAGAGGAUCUAGAGAGAGAAAAUGCCGCUUUAGCAUAUAACAUUUCACAAUUUUUUCAAUUCAAGUGCGAUCAGUCUUAAAAAUUUCCUAUAUAUAUAUAUUUACUGUAUAUAUAUAUAUAUAUGAUAAACAAAGAGCCAAAAAAUAGUUUACAAUGACUCUUCAAAACAAAACUGAGAAGUAAGCAACAACUUCAAUCUAGCUUCUAUUGUAAGCAAUCUAUCUAGUAUCUAUAUACAAACCCCUUGUAUGGUUAUUACUUCAAGCCAAUCCUGCUCUUCAAAGAGAGGUAUUAUAUAUGCAUUCGUAAUUUAUUAUCUCUAUUCACAAGAUAGCAGCACACAUAACAAUUACCUGCAGUCUUGUGCAGAGAAAAGCGGAUGCUAACAUUGCACUUCAUCAGCAUCUAGCGAGAAGAUAUCGACAGGGGUUCUUGUGCAGUCGACAGCAUUUUGAUCUUUGAAUCUACAAUUGGAAGAACCUAUCGGAUGAUCUAGGUAUAUUACAAUGACUGUAAUAUCAUCAUGGAAAUGACGCCUCACUCCUUUUUCAACUUUUCUUAUGUCGUCGUAUCUCAUUUCCCUUUUCCUUGCAGCUUCCUGCAGGGCUGCCCUCACUAAUCGCCUUGCAACUCCCUACAAAAGCAAAUACUUGUUCAUUUCUUGUCUGAAACGGCAAAUUAUCAGUUUGUUAUGGAAAUAAAUUAUGAUGAUCGAGUUCUUACAGCUCGAGGACUCUUCAAAACUAUAUCUACAGCUGUUUCAUCAGUCAAUUGCUCCCAAAGACCAUCUGAAGCAAAUAUCAAGAAUAGGUCUUGCGGCCUUAAAGGACGAACCAAUAUUGAAGGUUCUGCUGUUACCACUGGCCUUUUUAAUGGAAAAGGCAAUCCAAAUUGCUGAAAAAGAGCACCUCUAUUGAACUCCGGUUUCUUUAGAUAGACAUCUCCUAUUGAUCUUGAAACCUACAAGAAUAAGAAAAUUUCAAAAAUAAAUUCCAAGCAUCACAUGCUUUAGAUUACGACCACAAAAGUAGUGAAGUCAUAGACUUUAGGCAACAAGAAUAAGAGCAUUUUGGCAGUUCUGAAUUUAUUUUAGAUAACAGAUACCAGGUGACUAGUAAAUGUUCGUAGAAAGUUACAGAAGCAGAAAUCUCCAGUCAUGUAGAUAACAUACACAAGUUGCGGUCUACAAGUAUCCUGUUUACUUAUGUCUAUCUGUUGCAAAACAGAACUUCUUAUGUCAUAGCAGAAUGAGUGCCGAUAAAGGAUUAAGCUUUCUAAUACUAAAUUUUAGUUUCUUGAAGUUUCUAAAGCAAAAUAAAUUCCAAAGAAAAACAAAUCAUAAUGUUGCAGGAGUGGAAACUGAAGAAAGGAUCAAGAAUAGCAAAGCUGCAAAUGGACAGAGCAAAAAUAAAGUUAAAAUCUCCGGUGGUUCAAGAACUCAAUAUUUCUGUGUAAUUUUCUCAGUUAUGUACCUUGCUUCUAAAUGCGAACUUGAGAGAUUAAAAGAGUACAAUUGAGAAAAGAAGAAAAAGCAGAGGAGAGAGCAAGGAUUGGACGAAUAUUAGCCAGACAACAAACACAUACUGAAUUGCUGAAAAAAGAAGGUAAUACUCAUUAAAUAUUGAACACUAAUAUACAGUCACAGAAGUAAAAGAAGCAACAAAACAAUAACAGUAUAAAUAUUACCUGAAUUAUGCCCUUUAUACGCCAAACUCCACGGGUAUAAACCACAAUGUGGGAAUCAUCAGGAUGAAGUGCAGCCACCUCAUUCCUCACCUCCUCAACACAAACGUUGUGAUCGGUAGAUAAACGUUCGGCCACCACUGAACUAGUCUUGCCUUGAGAUACUCUCUUGCCAAGCACUGCUCUUGAGUCUCCAAGAUUUGCCACAUAUAAAACGCCAUUAGAUAUUGCCCCAACAAGACAACAAGAACCUACUGAAGCAAUCUGUGGCUGAACUGUCCAUGAUUGCUUUACCAAAUGCAAGAAUUCCUCUUCUAUUGCAUCAAAUGCCUUCCUUAUCACUUCCGCUGAUGCUCCACCCUGCUCUGCUGCAAGGUCUGAUACCGAAAGCCAUCCAUCAUGUUAGACAGGAAAAAAGAAGUGCCCCAGAAUUUCUCAGUAAUUAUACAAAACAUGCCAAUGCUAUAUUACUAAACCUAGUUUUACAUUUUACUCUAUUUCUUUUAUUUUCCUACACUUCCUCAGCUAGCAAAUAUUCCUAUUCAAAAACUUCGCCAGUUAAUUACUGAGCUAAGCUUAAAAAAAGAGAUUAAAACAAACUAGAAGUUUUUCGUUAAUUAAUGAUCUUGAAUUCGCUAAAUUUAAUUCAACAGUCAAAACAAUCUGAAGAAAAACAGAACAAUAAACCCAAGAUCACAAAACCCCCCGUUCUUUUCUUUCUUUUUUUUUCCCCAUUUUCCCAUCAACCAAACAAACUUCUUAAAAAAUGAUUAAAAAAACUCACCGUGUAUAAAAGGGAACAAAUUGUCAGCGAUGAACCUGGAAGCCUCAGGACCACCAUGGCCGUCAUAUACACCAACAUAAGUGGCAGAAGGAGAAGUAAAGACUUGUCCUUGGUCUUCCAACGAAGAAUUAGCUUGUACAACAGCAAUCGAGUAAUCCCCUAGAGCAUAAGGCUUUAAGUCUAUAUGCCAUAGCCCACCCCCACCAUCUCCACCUCCAAAACACCUCUCUAGAGGCCUUGUAAACAUUUCCAACACCAUACCCACUAACUAAAACUUGCCAAAAGAAAAACAAGAAAAAGAAAGAGAAAAUCUUUUGGGUUGUGGGUUUGAUGGAGUUUAGUGAAAAAGAAAGAGAAAUGGCGAGACGAUUUUCUUGGAAAAGAAAAGUUUGGGAGUUAGGGGGCAGUUGGGUGGAGGUUUGGACUCGUUCAAAGUAAACGUUUAAGAAGAAAGUGGGUAAAUUAAAAAUUUAAAGAGAAUAAUUUUCUUUUGGAGUUGACGCAGACGGAGAAAAAUUAAAAUUUUAUAGAUUGCUUCAUCAGAUGAUUAGAAUCCAAAAUCCUUGACGUGAAAAAAAUAUUAAGACAGAAAGAAAAUAAUAAAAAAAUUUUAAUUAUUUUUUAUUUAUUAUUUUUCUUCAUAUUUUCCUUCUAUCCAAAUAUAGGAUACGUGUUUGUUUGUUCUUUUUUUCCAAUGGGUUUGGGCAGGAGAAGUAGGAGACACUUUGACCGUCGUUUGUUAGGCUUGUUUUGUCAUUUGAGUAUCAGAGGGGAAAGAGACUCCCCAAUUUCUGUAUAUACACUUAUAUUAUAUCUUGAUAAAUUUUAUUAGGUUUGUUUUUGUUUGGCAUGUAUAGCAGACACCUUUUUCUCUUAUUUUUCGUUUUAAUUAAAUUUUAGUCAGAUAAUCAUAAUUAAAGCCCAUUAUUUCACCUGUUUAAGUUUUAGUAAUAUAUUUUUUAUUAAAAAGUUAUGGAUUUUUUUAGUAGCUUGGAUAUAAUAUAUUGAAAUAAUGUUUUAAAUUCAUUUAAGGAUAAUAGACUUUGAUUUCAAAAAUUAAAUCUAAAUUAAUAAUUGACAUAUGUAUAAUGUAUCUUUUUAAUUAUCAUUCUAAAUUUAGAUCAGAUAAAUUUAAAAACUCGGAUAAAUCAAAUUGGAUUAAUUUUCAUCUUCUAUACUUCUAUGAUUUUAUUGAAGCCCGAUCAGAGAGAUCAAGUCAAUAUUAAUAAGUUUAAAAUUAAAAUUAAAAUUACUACUACUUUGAAAAUUAAAUGCCUAAAAAUUAAAAAUAUGUGGUGUGUACCUAUUAAUUAGUUGCUAAUUGAGUCAAAUUAUAUAUACGUUCCUUAUUAUAAUAGUUUUAGGUUUUAUUUAUUUAUUCAAUAGUUUAAAAGUAAAAGAAUAUUAGAGAAUAUAUUAAUUUUUUUUAAACCAUUCAGUGUUCGAAAAUCCACUAGCUCAAUUUAUCAGAAUUUGCACUAAAUAGACUCAUAAAAGAGAAAAAAGUGCUCAAUUUUAAAUAUUUAAAGAGACUCUAUAUUCAAAUCUCCAUAGAUAAAAGUAUAUGGAAAUAGUAUUUUUUUUUCUUUCUUUAUGUUUUUUUUUCUCUGUGGUCAAGAAUGUGAAAGAUCUGCCUACUGUCUUGGUUGGUGCCCAUAAAUUAUGUCACAAGCUUGACUCUUCUUCCUCGUUCUAAUUCCACACGGUGAUGACCAUGUCUUAAUGUAAACUGAAAUUUGAAAAUAAAGAAAUGUCCAACUUUUGGCUUCGAGAGUCGUGAACCUCACUUUUGAAUAUUACAUUUUGCUUGACAAAUUAUCAGUUUUGAAAAUGGACUUAGAUUUUGGACCUUAAAUUGAUAAUGUCUUGGAAUAAUUUACAAUUAUGUGUUUUAUUUUAUUAAUUAGAGAAUUUUCUAUAUUCUCGGAAAUUUUCUAAUUUUUAUUUUAAAAAUAUUAUAACAUUAUAUAUUGUGUUUAAUAACAUUAAAACAUCUAAGCCCGUCUAGCUCAGUCGGUAGAGUGCAAGGCUCUUAACCUUGUGGUCGUGGGUUCGAGCCCCACGGCGGGCGGAAUUUUUAUUUUAAAAAUAUUAUAACAUUAUAUAUUGUGUGUAAUAACAUUAAAACAUCUAAGCUCGUCUAGCUCAGUCGGUAGAGUGCAAGGCUCUUAACCUUGUGGUCGUGGGUUCGAGCCCCACGGUGGGCGUAAUUUUUAUUUUAAAAUAUUUGUUUUCCAUUUGUAGUCUAUUCUGGAAAAUCCUUGCAUAAAUCUCAAACCAACAUUUUUUUUCUGUGUAAGCAUAUUCAGACUUUAUUAUUAGAAAUCGUCUAAUUUAGCUUGAGAUUUAGUUAUAGUUAAAGUUUUUUAUGUCUCUCUGCAUGUGUGUUUAGUGUGAAAUGAACUCGAAAGCUCAUUUCAGCUUUCACAACUCAUAGGUUAAGUGACAAUUAUUUUUAAUUGAAUAACGUGAUAAUUUUAACUAUAUCGAUUAAAUUUUUUUAAUCUAUGUAUAAAUGAAUCCAGGACACAAAGUAUGUAGCAGAGGAAAUAUUAACCAAUUAGCUAAUAUUCUUAAAUACACAUAAUAUACAUCUCAAAUAAAAUACAAAUAGUAAAUUAAUUAAUUCCGCACUUUACGCGGGUCGAUAGACUGGACUGGAUUUGCUUGACCAUUUGAAUGUGCAAGUCAAUCUUUUACAUUAAAGGAGUGAUAAUUACUUCAAAAAAAAAAAAAAGAGUUAUGAUACUUCAAUAGCGAUCCAAUUCAAAGAUGCAAUAGUUAUUUUACUGCCUCUCUGUUCCAUUAAUUUUAAUAUUUUAAUAUUUUUAUUUUCCUCUUAUAAAAUAUUUUUACAAAUUACCGUCGUAUAGAACCGUUUCAUUCUGAUUUUACUUUUAUUUAAAUUUAAAUAUCUUCACCAAAUUUUCUCUUUUAAUUAUAAUAAAUUAAAUAAUUUAGUCAUUUACUCUUAAUUUCUAGAUUGAGAUGAUGAAAUAUUUUUUAUAAUUAUUGUAAAAAGUCAAAAAAAAAAUAUCAAAAUUAACUGAAUGGAUGUAAUAUUGUCUAUAAGAAAUAUUUCAGUGAUAAAGAUUUGAAAUAUUUUAAAAGGUGUGGAUUAAAAUUAAAUUUAAUAUCUAAAGCUCAAUAUGUUUUUCAUAUGUACGAAUACCAUUUUCUUGGUAAUAUCAGAAGUUAAAUAGUAAAUUUGAAAGAGAAAUUUGUGAAAUAGGCAGUGAUUAAGACAAAGUUGAAUUUGUAAAUAUAGCUAACGUGAUUCCGAGUAUUUUUUUUUUGAGAAUUUGAGAGGGGGAUUCAAAUCCGAAUCUAUGUUUAAGGGAAGAAAAAUUUUUUUCUUUUUGGGAAAAAAAAAAGUAUUAUCCCCUAAUUUUUUUUUUUGCUGAAUUGGCCAUUGAUUUUAUGUUUUAGAGAUGACUUACAGCUUACAAGUAAUUAAAAUAUGUUUUCUUAUAAAUUUUGUCGUUUACAUAUUCCAUGCUCCUUAGAGAUCUCAAAAAAACUAAAAAGAAAAAAUUGGAUGUUGUUGAUCAAUUUGUACUAUGAACGUCUCCCACAUUGUAUUUCUCAAUAUUUUAGCAUGAACUUCCCCUACAUUGUAAUUUCCAAGAUACUUGGUUAGAGUUAGAGAUCCUAAAAAUUCCUUAAACAUGUAAAUAAUUAAUUACUACUUCCUAAAAUUCUAUAUAAAUUGACAAUUCUUUUACAACUUGCAAUAUGUAUUUGCAAGAAUAGAACAAAAAAAAAAAAAAAAGAAAAUUCAAAAAACAAUAUGCAAACUCCUAUCUUUUCUUCACUAAAAUAUUUAGUUGCUCACUUUUCUUUUCCUAUAACUUGUUUUAUUUAACAAAUCAGUCCAAAAUAACCUGAAUAAAUGGCAAACUAGUACAUGAAUGAAAUGGACAAAUAAAAAUUCAUUGUAAUGUAAAAGGUUCUGCCAAAAAAAAAAAAGAAAAAAGAAAAAGAAAAAGAAAAAGAGAACAAGAAGAAGAAGAAUAUUCUUAACUUGACUUAAACUAAAUAGACAAGUAAACAGUACAAGAAAGGGAUCACUGUUAUUAUUGGAUUCUUAAUAAGCAAUCUAACCUUUUUUUUUUUUUUUUUUUUCUUUUGAUCAGCAGAUAAAGAAAGAGUCAUGAGAAACGAACACAAAAGUUCAUCAUUAAUAUUUAAUAACACACGUUAAAUUGCUAAUAAUAGAUUAAUCAAAAGAAAAGAAAAGAUUUACAUAAUUCCUUUUCCUUUCCUUUUCUUUUUUGGGGUUCAAUCCAUUUUUAUCCAACUUCUUCUGUCUUGGAAGUCAGUCACGAAUUGCCAUUUUCACUCCCCACAUUAUCAUAAAGCAGCAAUCGUCAGUCGUGGGAAGUUUUCGCUAAGAGCUCUUCUCUUUACUCAAGGGUCUUCCCUUUAUCUUGGGUUUUGUCCCUUUACUUUAGAUCCCUUUUUACCCUGCUAUUUCAACUUUCCACCUCCAUGUUUACUCUUUCAAAUUCCGUUAUUUUCUUUGUCCUUUAACCUCUUCGUCCUUUUCCUUACUUGUGUGCCCCUCUUUCCUUCCUUUUGUCUUCUUUCUUUAUGGACAAAGCUGCACUAAUAGUUAAUGCCUCUCACUAACCAAACCUGGCACCACAUGAUUCCAGUCCAGUGCUAACAUUAAUUGAAGAAGAUAAUAGAAGCAUUAAUAGUAAGAAUGUGCUUGCUGGGAAAAUUAUUACAUCUGGGAAAUACAGUGCGGAGGUUGUUAAAGAAAUCAUGACUAAAUCCUGGCACUGCAAGGAGAAUUUCUCUGUAUACUUAAGAGAGAUAAACACCUUUGUUUUUACUUUCCAUAAUGCAUGUGAUGUUCAAAGAAUUCUUGUAGGAAGAGCUUGGAUACUUCAAAACCAACAUAUGGUUCUAAAAGAAUGGCCACCAGAUAUUGCUUUUAAUGAUAUUGAUUAUAAUUUAUCCACUUUCUGGAUUCAAGCUCAUGGUUUGUCCCCAAGCCAAAUGAACCACUCUAAUGCAAGUCUAAUUGGUAACUAAUUUGGGGGAUUAUUAAAAGUUUAUCUUAGGCAAGAUGAAGCCCAUGGAUGGUAAUGAUAUCUGAGAUUCAAGGCCAAUGUUAAUGUCACCCGACCUUCGUUAUUGGGGUUUAGCUACUACCAUUCAAGAGCGUCCACGUGGUACCCUAAGACAUCAAAUCUGCUCAAACCUAAACCAAAUCAGCCAUGAUAACCUGUUCAAUCUAUCACAUCAGGGCCUACCUUCAUUCAAUGCUAGUCCUAAUCAACCUGCACACCGUAACCAAGACCGUGAUUCUCAGCCUGACCAAGCCCAUUCUAUAGUUAUGGCCCAUUCUGUAUCAAGCCCAACUAGCAACCCUAAUUUAGAAAAGAUGGUCCAAAUACCCAAUUCUCCAAAUCAACGCCCAAACCCAAAGACAGAUUCUAAUUCCUCACUCUUUUCUCUUGAGCCGAAUAAGAUCACCUGGAAAACUAGGAAAAAAACAUUCCUUGAGAACAUCCAACCCAUCAAUACAGGUCUCUAAGACCUAUUCUCGCCAGGCCAACACCCUCUAGACCAAUUGUCUUUGGACAAACUUGUGCUGAUUACAAAAGAUAUUUUGUUUCCACAAUUCAGCACUAAUAAUCAGCAAACGCUAUUAGAGGAGGCUUCGAAGGCGGCUGACCUGAUUAUUAAUCAAGCCAGUGUUUUACACUAAAAUACUCCUUCAGACCCUGUUCCUAAGAAGAAGCAAUGGAAAAGACUAGCAAGUAGCAAAAGGGUUGUUAUAGAAGAACUGAUUGAGGAAAAUAAUGCAGCUUUGCAAAGCCAGCUUGAGUUGCAAAAUAGAAGCCCCAAGAAGAGGCCUUUCACAGAACAAUUAGUGUUGGAAAACAAGAAAAUCUGCCCUGAUGAUACAAUGGUGGAGGAAGCCAGCCAUAAAUGGCUACAAGGGGAUCAAUGAAACUUUUGAGUUGGAAUUGUCAGGGUUUGGGGAACCCCCUGACAAUUCAUAACCUCAAAGGUAGUUUCAAAUCCCAUUCCGCUGAUAUUAUUUUUCUUGCUGAAACUAAAAAUAGUGAUGCUUUUGUGACUAAGAGACUUUGUACAUAUGGAUACCAGGUGCUAGAUACAGUACAACCAAAAGGGAAAGCAGGUGGUUUAGCGUUAAUCUGGCGGGAGAUAGUAAAUGUCAAAGGUCAUUAAAAAAGAAUAGUUCUUUAUGCAUGCCAGGGUGAAAGAUGAUAGUUUGCAUCUAUGUUGUGAUCUUAUGUGUGUUUAUGCUAAUAGUGAUGAUAUGCACUGGAAGGAACAAUUUGAUUUUCUUAUACAAUAUCAGCAAGUCCUAUCUUAUUAUACUCUUUUUGCUGGGGAUUUCAACUCUAUUUUGAGUUUAAGAGAAAAACAAGGUGGAGGUUCUUAUGGAAUGUGGAAACUGAAUAUGUUUCGAGAUUUUGUUAAUAGUAUGACGCUGGCUGAUUUAGGCAUUUAAGGACAUCCAAUGACAUGGAAUAAUUGAAGAGACGGAUCUUCGAAUGUUCAGGAAAGACUAGAUCAUUUUCUUGCUACUAGUUCUUAGUUUAUCAAGUUUCCCAAAGCAAAAGUUUAUCAUCUUGAUUAUUUGGGAUCAGACCAUCAUCCUAUACUCCUUGAUGUCCAUCCAAAUGUGUGGAAGAGUCCUAAAUAUUUCCAUUUCGAUGACCAUUGGACCUUAAAUCCUGAUGUUGGUCAUGUGGUGGAAGAGGCUUGGCAAUAUGAGACACAUAGCUCAGAUUUGUUUAAGGUUUUCUCCAAACUCAAGAAAUGUAAGCGAGCAUUAUAGGUGUGGGCAAAAAACAAUUCUGUGAACUCACAGAAAUGGCUACAGGAACGUAAAAUUUGUUGGCGUGAGCAAAUCAAGGAGAAAGAAAUGUCAAAGUUUGACAGAUUGUGAAGAAAAUCUACUGUCAAACUUUGACAUGAGCAAAAAAUAGGAUUUGUCAAAGUUUGACAGAUUAUGAAGAAAAUCUGCUGUCAAACUUUGACAAAUCUUAAAUCUUUGCCUUUAAUUUAGGCUGUAAAUUAGGAUCUAAAUUGUACAAAACUAGUAUAAAUAUUUGUAAUUGCUGGAAAAGUAAUUAGAGAGGUGAAACAAAAUUGUUCUUAAUUAUCUUUUCUACAUGGUAUCAGAGCGAAUUAGGUAGAAACUGAUUUUUUUUCUGCAAUCAUGACAGAAGAAAAUCCUUUUGCUGUCAUCCCUCAUGAAUCUCGAAUCAUUGUUCAAGACAAUGCCCCUCUCCCCUCUGGAAUCAUCUUAGAUGAUACAAAUUAUCCAUUAUGGUCGCAACUUAUGGAGAUGCGUAUUGGAGCUCGAAAUAAAUCCGGAUUUCUUACCGGUGCAACACCAAAACCAGCUGCAAAUGACAAGCAAUUGGAAACCUGGCUUCUUGAUAAUAACCGGGUUAAGAGUUGGCUCAUUGAUUCUAUGAGUCCACUCUUGAUGCAACGAUUCAUCCGUCUUCAAACAGCCAAAGAAAUAUGGGAAGCUGUUGCAAAGACCUUCACAAUCUAUCAAACUUUGACAUUUCUUUCUCCUUGAUUUGCUCACGCCAACAAUUUCCACUAAUUUCAUAACCUUUGACAUUUCUUUCUCCUUGAUUUGCUCACGCCAACACUCCCCCUCAAGUUGGUGAAUAUAUGUCCAUCAUUCCCAACUUGUUAAGUGAGCUUUGAAAAUCUUUUACGGAUAUAGCCUUUGUUAGGAUAUCUGCUAGUUGAUCUUUUGAAGUGACAUAUCUUCUUGGCUGGGCUUGACCCAGAAUUCAACCAAGCUCGAAGUGAAAUAUUGAGGAAAGAUCCACCUCUUGAUCUUGAGUCAUGUUAUGCAUAUGUUCGCAAAGAUCAAAACCAGAGACAAACUAUGGAGGAAUAAAAAGUUCAGCCAGAUGGAAUGGUUCAUUUGACAGUCCGAACACGCCCUACAAAUUCCCAACAGGCUAAAGGAAAAAAAUUUGGCUCCAAGGGAAAUAAUUAUGUGUGCACUCACUGUGGUGAAGAAGGACAUUCAAAACAACGUUGCUAUGAGAUUAUUGGGUAUCCAGAAUGGUGGGAUUUUACAAAGAAACCUAGGAAGAAAAUUGUACAGGCUGCUGCCACAACCACAAAAGAUGAAGAAGUAAUUGCAUCAACUUCAAAUCCAGUUGCAGCACACGUUACAAAAGCUGAAAAUCCAGGUCUAUCUAAUACUUAUUGUAACAUCCCUUCCCGGUCCACCCGUUAACCCGAAUGAACCGAGCCGAGACGCUACAAUCUGGUUGAACUUAUAUCCUGUCAUGCUGAUAUCACCCUGUAUGCGAGAUAUGAAUAUAAGACACUCCCAAUUAACAUAUCAGACUUCCAAUAUCUCCAACUAAUCAUCAUAACACAACAACACUUUAUAUAUAUAGUCAUAACUGUAUAAAUCCUCAAUAGCAUUUAAUAUCCAGCAAAAUAUUUGCAUUCAUGAUCUCUAUCAAGUCUUCAUGACCUAAUCAUACCAACUAUAGUAAAAUAUUUCAUAUUCAAUCAUUUCCUCCAAAUACUUACACCACAAUAAUUACAUGCUUCAAUUAUAUUUCCAAUCACAUAAGCUCUAACAAAUGUAAUAAUUAUACAUGCCAUAAAUCUUAAUACAUGCCAUAAUUCUUAAUAUUACAACUCUCAAUCUACUAUGACCAAAUUAAGCACUUCUGCUUUGAUAGUACUCCUCAAGUCUUCAAGUAGCAACCACGAUCUUCAACCUACGCAUGAUAAAAAUCGACGCGCUGAGUAUAAAACUCAGUAGUGCUCAUAAUUCACAUANNNNNNNNNNNNNNNNNNNNNNNNNNNNNNNNNNNNNNNNNNNNNNNNNNNNNNNNNNNNNNNNNNNNNNNNNNNNNNNNNNNNNNNNNNNNNNNNNNNNNNNNNNNNNNNNNNNNNNNNNNNNNNNNNNNNNNNNNNNNNNNNNNNNNNNNNNNNNNNNNNNNNNNNNNNNNNNNNNNNNNNNNNNNNNNNNNNNNNNNNNNNNNNNNNNNNNNNNNNNNNNNNNNNNNNNNNNNNNNNNNNNNNNNNNNNNNNNNNNNNNNNNNNNNNNNNNNNNNNNNNNNNNNNNNNNNNNNNNNNNNNNNNNNNNNNNNNNNNNNNNNNNNNNNNNNNNNNNNNNNNNNNNNNNNNNNNNNNNNNNNNNNNNNNNNNNNNNNNNNNNNNNNNNNNNNNNNNNNNNNNNNNNNNNNNNNNNNNNNNNNNNNNNNNNNNNNNNNNNNNNNNNNNNNNNNNNNNNNNNNNNNNNNNNNNNNNNNNNNNNNNNNNNNNNNNNNNNNNNNNNNNNNNNNNNNNNNNNNNNNNNNNNNNNNNNNNNNNNNNNNNNNNNNNNNNNNNNNNNNNNNNNNNNNNNNNNNNNNNNNNNNNNNNNNNNNNNNNNNNNNNNNNNNNNNNNNNNNNNNNNNNNNNNNNNNNNNNNNNNNNNNNNNNNNNNNNNNNNNNNNNNNNNNNNNNNNNNNNNNNNNNNNNNNNNNNNNNNNNNNNNNNNNNNNNNNNNNNNNNNNNNNNNNNNNNNNNNNNNNNNNNNNNNNNNNNNNNNNNNNNNNNNNNNNNNNNNNNNNNNNNNNNNNNNNNNNNNNNNNNNNNNNNNNNNNNNNNNNNNNNNNNNNNNNNNNNNNNNNNNNNNNNNNNNNNNNNNNNNNNNNNNNNNNNNNNNNNNNNNNNNNNNNNNNNNNNNNNNNNNNNNNNNNNNNNNNNNNNNNNNNNNNNNNNNNNNNNNNNNNNNNNNNNNNNNNNNNNNNNNNNNNNNNNNNNNNNNNNNNNNNNNNNNNNNNNNNNNNNNNNNNNNNNNNNNNNNNNNNNNNNNNNNNNNNNNNNNNNNNNNNNNNNNNNNNNNNNNNNNNNNNNNNNNNNNNNNNNNNNNNNNNNNNNNNNNNNNNNNNNNNNNNNNNNNNNNNNNNNNNNNNNNNNNNNNNNNNNNNNNNNNNNNNNNNNNNNNNNNNNNNNNNNNNNNNNNNNNNNNNNNNNNNNNNNNNNNNNNNNNNNNNNNNNNNNNNNNNNNNNNNNNNNNNNNNNNNNNNNNNNNNNNNNNNNNNNNNNNNNNNNNNNNNNNNNNNNNNNNNNNNNNNNNNNNNNNNNNNNNNNNNNNNNNNNNNNNNNNNNNNNNNNNNNNNNNNNNNNNNNNNNNNNNNNNNNNNNNNNNNNNNNNNNNNNNNNNNNNNNNNNNNNNNNNNNNNNNNNNNNNNNNNNNNNNNNNNNNNNNNNNNNNNNNNNNNNNNNNNNNNNNNNNNNNNNNNNNNNNNNGAGCGCGUAUGUGUUAUCGGCACAAGUCGCGAGCGCGUAAAUGCAAGUCGCGAGCGCGUACAGUGCAAAAUGAGAGACAGUGAGUUCCCAGGCCAAAUUCGCGAGCGCGCGAUGAAGGUCGCGAGUGUUUACAGGCCAAGGGCCAAGUCGCGAGUGUGCACUUGCAAGUCGUGAGCGCGAGAAGUGCCAAAUGAGAGGUAGUGAGGUUGCGAGCACAAGUCGCGAGAGCGUAAAUGCAAGUCGCGAGCGCGUACAGUACAAAAUGAGAGUCAGUCGCGAGCUCUUCAUGCAAUUCGCGCGCGCGUCGCGUUUUCCAGCCUGCACUGUCUGUACUCUUUUGGUCAUAUCUCUCAAUAUACAACUCCGAUUUGAAUGAUUCAAAAACCCAUGUAAAGCUAACACAUAGAGGAACAAAUAACUCUUCUAUGACACUUCCUAAUUCCAUCAUUUAANNNNNNNNNNNNNNNNNNNNNNNNNNNNNNNNNNNNNNNNNNNNNNNNNNNNNNNNNNNNNNNNNNNNNNNNNNNNNNNNNNNNNNNNNNNNNNNNNNNNNNNNNNNNNNNNNNNNNNNNNNNNNNNNNNNNNNNNNNNNNNNNNNNNNNNNNNNNNNNNNNNNNNNNNNNNNNNNNNNNNNNNNNNNNNNNNNNNGAGUAGCUACCCUGAAGAACGAGUCUUCUAGAUGAACUGCAGCAGUUGUAAGCUGACUCUCUACGGUCCAAUCUCAAAACCUGCGAGUUAAACAGGUAACUCGCUGAGCAAAUAAAGCUCAGUGGAUAUCUCAACAUAUAAAGAAACAAUUAAGCACAUACAUAGAUAGAAAUAAGCAUGUAAAUGCAUAAGGAUAACCAAACAUAUAAGCAUAUAUAGCAUGAUCCUUUCCUUAUACCUUGAUUUUCUUUCGUACUGUUUAUCAUACUGUAUGAUUUAUGAAUUGUUAUGUCACAAUAUCUGUAUGGCUCCAUAAGGUUAUAGUGAAACCGAGGUGAUAAGGGAAGCUGUAUGAAACUGGAUGAAUACUGUAUGCUUGGCUGCUAUGGCCGAUAUAUAAUCAUAUCCACUCAACGGCCUGUAGCCGGAGUACUAAACUGUAUGGGGCACAGAUCUGCUAUCCUAUGUUGCGACAUAGCCUUAUCUACAUGGUUUCUACCUAACCUCAAUGGAGCAAAGUGUUGGUAUGUCAAUAAGAUAACACAAUAGCAUAAUAAUAGUUCAUAAUUUCAUAAUUCAUAAUGUUCACUUGAUUUCACAUCAUUUGCAUGCUUGCAUGUUGUUUUGAUACAUGUUCUAAUGUUGUAUUUGAUGUUAAAAUGAUUGGAGGCAUAUAAGUGAAGCAAAGGAAUACAAUUGCAUUGAAAAUGAAGUCCAAAAAUGCAUGAAAACACAAGUCGCGAGCGCGCCUUGCAAGGUCGCGAGCGCGUAAUGCACCAGAUGAGAGACAGUGAGUUAUCGGGCACAAGUCGCGAGCGCGUACUUGAAAGUCACGAGCGCGAGAAGUGCCAAAUGAGAGACAGAGAGUUUGCGAGCACAAGUCGCGAGCGCGNNNNNNNNNNNNNNNNNNNNNNNNNNNNNNNNNNNNNNNNNNNNNNNNNNNNNNNNNNNNNNNNNNNNNNNNNNNNNNNNNNNNNNNNNNNNNNNNNNNNNNNNNNNNNNNNNNNNNNNNNNNNNNNNNNNNNNNNNNNNNNNNNNNNNNNNNNNNNNNNNNNNNNNNNNNNNNNNNNNNNNNNNNNNNNNNNNNNNNNNNNNNNNNNNNNNNNNNNNNNNNNNNNNNNNNNNNNNNNNNNNNNNNNNNNNNNNNNNNNNNNNNNNNNNNNNNNNNNNNNNNNNNNNNNNNNNNNNNNNNNNNNNNNNNNNNNNNNNNNNNNNNNNNNNNNNNNNNNNNNNNNNNNNNNNNNNNNNNNNNNNNNNNNNNNNNNNNNNNNNNNNNNNNNNNNNNNNNNNNNNNNNNNNNNNNNNNNNNNNNNNNNNNNNNNNNNNNNNNNNNNNNNNNNNNNNNNNNNNNNNNNNNNNNNNNNNNNNNNNNNNNNNNNNNNNNNNNNNNNNNNNNNNNNNNNNNNNNNNNNNNNNNNNNNNNNNNNNNNNNNNNNNNNNNNNNNNNNNNNNNNNNNNNNNNNNNNNNNNNNNNNNNNNNNNNNNNNNNNNNNNNNNNNNNNNNNNNNNNNNNNNNNNNNNNNNNNNNNNNNNNNNNNNNNNNNNNNNNNNNNNNNNNNNNNNNNNNNNNNNNNNNNNNNNNNNNNNNNNNNNNNNNNNNNNNNNNNNNNNNNNNNNNNNNNNNNNNNNNNNNNNNNNNNNNNNNNNNNNNNNNNNNNNNNNNNNNNNNNNNNNNNNNNNNNNNNNNNNNNNNNNNNNNNNNNNNNNNNNNNNNNNNNNNNNNNNNNNNNNNNNNNNNNNNNNNNNNNNNNNNNNNNNNNNNNNNNNNNNNNNNNNNNNNNNNNNNNNNNNNNNNNNNNNNNNNNNNNNNNNNNNNNNNNNNNNNNNNNNNNNNNNNNNNNNNNNNNNNNNNNNNNNNNNNNNNNNNNNNNNNNNNNNNNNNNNNNNNNNNNNNNNNNNNNNNNNNNNNNNNNNNNNNNNNNNNNNNNNNNNNNNNNNNNNNNNNNNNNNNNNNNNNNNNNNNNNNNNNNNNNNNNNNNNNNNNNNNNNNNNNNNNNNNNNNNNNNNNNNNNNNNNNNNNNNNNNNNNNNNNNNNNNNNNNNNNNNNNNNNNNNNNACUUAUCUUGUUAGGAAUAAUACAUGGAUAAUUGAUACAGCUGCUACUGACCAUAUGACAAAUGAUUCUACCCUUCUUUCACAUAUUCAUCCUUCACCUCAACCUCAUGUACUCACUGCUAAUGGAGGAGUUGCUCCCGUUAUUGGCGAAGGAUCAACACAUGUGUCGCAUUCCAUUAAUCUUGAUACUGUGCUUGUAGUUCCUUCUCUUUCUUCCAACCUUUUAUCUGUUGGUAAAAUCACAGAAACUCUAAAUUGUACUGCAACUUUUUGGCCUAAUAAAUGUAUUUUUCAGGACAUUAUAACACAACGGAUUCUUGGCUAUGGUAUUAGGCGUGGAAACUUGUACUAUCUUGAUUUGGCCACUUCAAGAAAACAAAGAAUUGAUCAAGCAAAUAACACUGAGGCCAGUCAAGGAAAUGAGGAUAUGGUUUGGUUAUGGCAUCGUCGCCUUGGUCAUCUGUCAUUUAAUUAUCUUCGAAAAUUAAAACCAAGUUUGUUUUUACAUACAAAUGCUAAGUUUGAUUGUGACGUUUGUGAAAUGGCUAAGAGUCAUAGAAUUUCAUAUCUUCCUAGUUAUAAUAAGAGUACUUCACCUUUUAUGAUUAUCCACUCUGAUGUUUGGGGACCUGCUCAAAUCCCUACAUUAUCUGGUGCUCGUUAUUUUGUGACAUUUAUUGAUAAGUGUACUCGCAUGAUUUGGGUCUAUCUCCUAAGAAACAAGGGAGAGGUAUGUUCUGUUUUGCAGAAUCUGUAUCGAAUGGUACAUUCACAGUAUCAAUGCAGAAUUAAAGUUCUUCAAUCUGAUAAUGGUGGGGAGUAUAUAAAUUCUGAAUUGAAAAUUUUUUGUCAAAAAAAUGGUAUUCGACACCAAACUUCAUGUGCUGGUACACCACAACAAAAUGGUUUGGCAGAACGAAAAAAUCGCCAAAUACUAGAGGUUGUCCGAGCUUCUUUAUUUGGCAUGAAAGUACCUCGAGAAUACUGGGGCGAAGCUAUUUGCUCUGCUGCAUAUCUUAUUAAUCGGACGCCGUCACGAGUCAUUGAGUUUAAAACACCACAUCAAAAACUCCAUGAAUUAGUUUCUGCUCCAAUCAGUCCGAACCUUGAACCUCGUGUCUUUGGCUGUACUGCAUAUGUACACCGGGUUGCAGGUAAACUUGAUCCACGAGCUGUCCGUUGCAUGUUUAUUGGGUAUGCAAACCUCCAAAAGGGAUAUCGAUGUUAUGAUCCUACAGAAAAUAAAAUGUAUGUAACCCGCGAUGUCACAUUCCAUGAAAAUACUCCUUAUUUUGGUGGUCAUGAGUGCUCUCUUCAGGGGGAGACUACACUUAAUUUGGGUGAAGACAACACUCAUGAAUACUUUGAAGAACAAGAAACGGCUGAUAAACAACUUUCAGAUCCUGUUGUCACACAACCUGAGAAUGAUGAUGGCGCCCAAGAAAAUCAAGAUAGUACAAUUUCCCAAGUCACCCCACCAGCCAUAGAAAUUCCAGAUGUGUCGGUGUCUCCUCAGGGAACAACACUACCAUCCUCUCCUUUAAUUCACGAUCCAAUUCCUCUAGCUGAACCAAGAUAUCCAAUUAGGAAGAAUAGAGGAAUUCCAAAAGCACAAUAUGAACCUGAUUUUAAUGCUAAGACUAAGUACCCCAUUAACAAUUAUACCUCGUCUCAUCAUUUGUCAAAAUCACAUGCACUUGUUGUAAAUCAAUUAUCUCCUGUAUCUAUUCCAAGUAAUGUGCAGGAAGCAUUGAUGGAUUCAAAAUGGAAGAAAGCUAUGAAUGAUGAAAUGGAAGCCUUACAAAAGAAUCAUACAUGGGAACUUGUAUCGCUGCCCCCAAAGAAGAAAACUGUAAGGUGCAGAUGGAUCUUCACAGUUAAGCUUAAUCCAAAUGGAAUCAUAGAUCGUUACAAGGCAAGGCUUGUUGCUAAAGGGUAUACACAAAAGUACGGAAUUGAUUAUGGAGAUACAUUUGCUCCUGUAGCAAAAAUAAAUACCAUACGAAUUCUUAUUUCCAUACCAGCGAAUCAAGAUUGGCCGUUGCAACAGUUCGACGUUAAAAAUGCAUUUCUGAAUGGAAAUUUGGAAGAAGAAGUAUACAUGGAUCCUCCUCCAGGCAUAAAUUGUGGUGGCAAGGUAUGCAAACUAAAAAGGGCCUUAUACGGAUUAAAGCAAUCCCCCCGAGCAUGGUUUGGAAGGCUAUCAAAUUUCAUGAAGAAAAUUGGAUACAAACAAAGUGAUGCUGAUCAUACUCUCUUCGUCAAACAAGAGUUUGAGAAGGUAACUGCUCUUAUUGUAUAUGUGGAUGACCUGGUUGUUACUGGAAAUGACUCAAAUGAAAUAGUUGUCCUCCAAGAAAGCCUUGAAACUGAAUUUGAACUUAAAGAUCUUGGACACUUGAAAUAUUUCUUAGGCAUUGAAGUUGCAAGAUCAAGUAAUGGAAUUUAUCUAUGUCAGCGAAAAUAUGUAUUAGAUUUGCUAGCAGAAACUGGGAUGCUUAACUGUAAGCCCGUUGAAACUCCCAUUGAAGUGAAUCACAAGUUAGCCAUUCAACAAAACCAAAUUCCAGCUAACAAGGAGAGGUAUCAAAGAUUAGUUGGGAGGCUAAUAUACUUGUCGCAUACGCGUCCUGACAUNNNNNNNNNNNNNNNNNNNNNNNNNNNNNNNNNNNNNNNNNNNNNNNNNNNNNNNNNNNNNNNNNNNNNNNNNNNNNNNNNNNNNNNNNNNNNNNNNNNNNNNNNNNNNNNNNNNNNNNNNNNNNNNNNNNNNNNNAGGAUAUACAGAUGCAGAUUGGGCUGGAAGUCUGACCGAUCGAAAAUCCACAUCAGGGUAUUUCACUUUUGUUGAAGGCAACUUAGUUACAUGGCGAAGUAAGAAGCAAAAAGUGGUAGCAAGAUCAAGCGCAGAAGCAGAAUUUCGCGGAAUGGCACAAGGCAUCUGUGAAUUGCUAUGGAUAAAGCGUAUUUUACAUGAUCUGGGUAUACAUCUGUCAACACCUAUGAAGUUAUUAUGUGAUAAUAAGGCAGCCAUAGCAAUUGCAAAUAAUCCAGUUCAACAUGACAGAACCAAACACGUGGAAGUCGAUCGGCACUUCAUCAAAGACCAUCUUGACAAAAAUACAAUUAGUCUUCCGUUUGUCACUUCAAAAGAUCAACUAGCAGAUAUCCUAACAAAGGCUGUGUCCGUAAAAGAUUUUCAAAGCUCACUUAACAAGUUGGGAAUGAUGGACAUAUAUUCACCAACUUGAGGGGGAGAGUUGGCGUGAGCAAAUCAAGGAGAAAGAAAUGUCAAAGUUUGACAGAUUGUGAAGAAAAUCUACUGUCAAACUUUGACAUGAGCAAAAAAUAGGAUUUGUCAAAGUUUGACAGAUUAUGAAGAAAAUCUGCUAUCAAACUUUGACAAAUCUUAAAUCUUUGCCUUUAAUUUAGGCUGUAAAUUAGGAUCUAAAUUGUACAAAACUAGUAUAAAUAUUUGUAAUUGCUGGAAAAGUAAUUAGAGAGGUGAAACAAAAUUGUUCUUAAUUAUCUUUUCUACAAAAUUCUUCUCAAAGAAGCUAAGCAUAGUGGGGAUGGUUGGAGUAGCAAUAGAGUGCGAAACUUAGAAGCCCAAAUAAAGGCUGAAGUUGUUAAAGAGGAAAUCUAUUGGGCUCAAAAAUCCAGACAAGUGUGGUUGAAAAAAGGGAGAUAAUAAUACUGCUUUUUUUCAUGCUAAGCUCAGCGGUAUAAAAGAAAUUUCAUUAAUGGUAUUGAAGAUGCUCAGGGAGUAUGGCAUAUUGAACAAAAAGAGAUUGUAGCUGUUGCUUUGGAUUAUUUUGAAGCGAUAUUCACAUCUUCCAAUCCCUGUAACUUUCAGAGGGUCUCUUAAGGUAUCCGAUGUCGAGUUACUUCUGUUAUGAAUGACUUUUUAAUUCGGGAGGUCUCUGAUGAUGAGAUUCAACAAGCAGUAUUCAGCAUCCAUCCCUUAAAAGCUCCUGGAGAUGAUGGUAUGACAGCUCAAUUUUUUCAUGUGUAUUGGGAUGUCAUUAAAGAAGACAUAUUCAAGGCUAUUAGAAGUUUCUUUAGUUCAGGAAGGAUGCUUAAAAAUAUCAACCACACUAUUAUCUCUUCGAUUCCUAAAACUAAAUAAGUUAAAACCAUGCAGCAUUUGAGGCCUAUUAGUUUGUGCACAGUGUAUUAUAAAAUCAUUGCUAAGGUUCUCACUAACAGACUGCAAGGAACCAUGCACCACGUAGUUGGAGAUCAUCAAAGUGCUUUCACAAAAGGCAGACUUAUUUCAGACAAUAUUCUCUUAGCUCAUGAACUGAUGCACUCCUUAAAAACUAGAAGAAACAGUGGUAGGUAUGACAUGGCUAUUAAACUUGCUGUCAGCAAAGCCUAUGAUUGAUUGAAUGGGAUUUUCUUAGUCAUAUGAUGAACCAACCUGGUUUUCAUUCUAAAUGAUAAACUGGAUUAUGGCAUGCGUUACCUCUGUUUCUUAUUGUGUCAAAAUCAAUGGACAGAAGUAUGGUUUUAUCACUCUUUCUAGAGGACUCAAGCAAGGAGAACCCCUCUCCCUAUAUCUAUUUCUUCUAUGUGUUGAAGGAUUCUCUGACAUGAUUACUAGAGCUGAGAGAAUGAACCAAAUUUCAAAUGUUAAAAUUGCUAGAAGGUCUCCUCCAAUAUCUCAUUUAUUAUUUGCUGAUGACUCCAUUUUGUUUUGUAGAGCAUCUGAGCAGCAAGCCAUUCACAUUAAAAGCAUCCUUACUUAAUAUAGCCAAGCCAGCAGCCAACAGGUUAAUUUUCGCAAAUCUUUUAUCUUCUUCAACCGCAACACACCUUAUGCUUGUAGAGAUUCAAUUGCUCAAUAUCUGGGAAUCAAUCAUAUAGGAGGGUAAGAUAAAUAUUUGGGUCUCCAAUCAGUUAUCUCUCGCUCAAAAAGGAUCACUUUUGCCGAAAUUCAAGAAAAAAUAAGGCAAUGACUCAUGAAUUGUAAAGAAAAAUUGCUUUCAACUGCAGGUAAAGAAGUCCUAAUCAAAGCAAUUGCUUCAGCCAUUCCUAUUUCCUCUAUGUCGUGUUUCAAGCUUCCUAUUAGUUUAUGCCGUAAAAUUAAUUCCACCAUAGCUCAGUUUUGGUAGGGCCAGAAAGAAGAUGAAAAAAAAAAAAACACUGGUUAUCAUGGAAUUCAUUAUGCAAAUGAAAAGUAGAGGGAGGUUUGGGCUUUCGAGAUUUAGAAUAUCUCAGUUUGGCUUUGCUUGGAAGCAAUGUUGGAGCAUCCUUAAAUUUUCAGAAUCGUUGCUCUCUCGAGUUUUAAAAGGAAAAUAUUUUCCUUUUUCAUCUUUUCUUGAAGUUGGGCAUAAGCGUAAUCAAUCUUGGGGAUGGUAAGAGUAUUUUAAAAGGAAAAGAAUUUCUUAAGCAAGGUCUUCAAUUGAAAAUCAGAAAUGGAAAAUCUGUUUUUUAUGAUGAUCCACGGCUACCACCAAAAUUUCCCUUCAAGCCAUGCCUUCUCAAUGGUGAUCAUAGCAGAAUAUAUUGGGUUUCGCAACUUAUUAAUUCCACCACUGGUAUUUGGAACUAUAAUCUUGUGCGGACUAAUUUUGUUGAUGCAGAUGCCAAAGUAAUCUUAUCUCUUACUUUUAGCAUCACUACAGCUCAAGACACCUUAGUGUGGCACUAUACCAAAAAUGGAGAGUACUCAGUUUGUUCAGGCUAUCAUAAAGCUUGCAAGCAAAAAGAGUUAUGUUCUUCUCAACAUCAAAUGAAUUCGAGCUAUGGAGCAGGUCAACAAUAAUUAUGGAAGAAUGUAUGGUCUUUGAAUGUUCCAAAUAAAAUCCGCAUCUUUUAAUGGAGAGCUUUACACAAUAGUCUUCCUGUAGGGAUCUCUUAGCUAAAAGGUUCCCUACAAAAACGAAUCUUCAUAAGUUGUGCUCUGAUGUAGAAACCUCAUCGCAUCUAUUUUUUUUGCGCCACAAGGCUGCUGCUGUUUGGAUCCAUUCUCCCCUGCAAUUACGAACCGCGAAUUUCAAUGGAAUGGAUUUCAAGGAAUUCUGGCAAAUUAUUUAUCAAAACCUUUCCAAUUCUGGAAAUCAUGAUAUGGUAGCUCUUGCUGUUUUUUUUUGUGGCAGAUUUGGAAGGCAAGGAAUGCUCUCAUUUUUCACGAUCAAGAUUGGAACUGGAAAGAAAUCUUAGAGAAAGCUUUUUUUCACAGUCAAGAGUUCAAAGAUGCUUGCAAGCUUUUGAAUCAUCCAAAUGAUCAACCAUCUUCAUCUCUUGAAGAAUCUACAACACCUCCAAAUGUUGUGAAGGUCAAUUUUGAUGCAGCUGUGAAAAACAAGAUGAAUUAUGGUUGCAUUGCCAUUAUAGCACGUUCUCAUUUGAACAGGAUUAUAACAUGGUCAGUGAAGCAAAUCCUUUUUCAAACCAAUCCCAUUAUUUUGGAAGCAAUGGCUCUUAGACAAGCUGUGGAAAUGGCUUUACAGCAUCAUUUUCACAAUGUUAUUUUUGAGGGAGACCCAAAAAUAGUCAUGGAUGCAGCUUCAAAGACGUCUUCUCCUUUUGUUUGUAUUCAAGGCUUAAUACAUGAUGUUUCCUAUCUAGCUACUCAGUUUUCUUUAGUUUCUUUGAAGUUUAUUAGAAGGCAUUUUAACAGUGAUGCCCACAAUCUAGCUAGAAAAGGUUUGAAUCUUUCUUUUGUAUUAAUAUCUCAUCCCAAGUUUCAUGGAUCAGGGAGUGAUACUAAUCGUAGAAUUUUAUUUCCACUUUUUCAAUGAAUUUCUAUUUGGUAAAAAUAUAUAUAUAUAUAUAUAAAGCAGCAAUCGUCAUGGUUUAAUCAUGAUAAGCACGUCCACCUCCACCUCCACCUCCACCUCCACCUCCACCGCCCUUUCCAUCAUUGCCACCCAUCACGGUUGCCUUUCUCAAUUCUUUUUUUUUUUUUGACAUGUCCUUUCUCAAUAAUCAAAUGAUACAUGAAAUUAUGAUUUUAUGACUUCAAAUUUUAGUCAAAAUAAAAAAAAAAUAUGUGUAAUAAGAUCUGUUGGUUGGUGAGAUGAUCAAUAUUUCAAAGAAAGAGAAAGAAAUACUUCUAGAAAUUAGAGCCAAUUACAAUAAUAAAUUAUGUAAUUCAAAUUAAAGAUGAGGGAAAAAAAAAAAAAAAGAAAAGAAAAGAAAAGAGGGAAACCCAUAAACUAAAAAGACGAUGAUAAAAAAAAUAGAGUACAAAGCAUGCGUGAGGAAAGAUUGUUCAUUAUCACGAAUCUAGGCCCUCUUUCUCUUCUUCAUGAUCAAGAAAGCUAUCAUGUGAAAGCUCCUUUAUCCACUCAAAUGUUCGAUGACGUGACAUUACUUGCUUUCCCUGCUGUUGCUGCUUUUCCGUCAUUUUCUUCUUCUUCUUCUUCUUCUUUAUCUUCAUUUCUUGUAGUUUUUGCUCCGCUUUUGUCGACCCUCUUUCUUUGCUUUUCUCAUUUUUGCUAUCAUUAAUACUUCCCGUGCUGUUGUUACCGCUUUUAAUAUUGAGUACAUUUAAUGGAACUGGUUUAACUGCACUAACUGUACAACUGCAACCACUUAAUAGCCCUGAUUUUUUGUCCAAGAAACGCUGUUUACACCGUUUCUUCUGUUUCUCCAUCUUUUCUUGAUUGCCCUUGCUACUAAUCUUGAUACUUGAAUUGCUGUUACUGCUAUUAGAACUGCUGUUUCUACUAACAGAGGCUCGAACUUUAAGAUCUUGCAAUUCAAUCUCCGGGGUACGGACUACACCGAGUCUAAAAAUGUCCCAUACAGUUGAUUUUCUUGAAUUUCUGUUAUUGCCAGUAUUUCCUUUAGUGGAAAGUCUGAUUUGAGGCUUGGGACUCGGAUGGGUGUGAAAUUGAUUUUGAAUUAUUGAUCUUGGCUGCUUUGAAAUUGAAAUUCUUGGACUUUUUUUAACAGAGCUAGUCGUGCUAGUCGAUGAAAAUUGGCUUCUACUGCUACUGCUUCUGCUACUAAAACUUGUAAACCCAUGGUCCAAUGACUCUGAUCUUGAGAAACAUUUAAUAGGAUUUUUUAAGCUGUCUUGGCUCGACUUAUAAGUACCACUUUCAGAACUUAUUGAAAGACGAAAUGGAAGAAUUUGACCUUGAAAGAAAAUAUCAUCAGCUGCACACAUUUCUGAUUUUGUAGAAACAGACCUACCAAAUUGGCUAAAAUCAAAAUCUUCUUGAUUUGCUUCAGUUUCUUCUCUUCUCAAUUGAUGAUUCUCUUCUUUGAUCAAAUUGAUUGGUAAAUCACAAAGUGAUAAUGCUUCUACUUCUUCUUCUUCUUCAGAAUUUUCCCAUUUCCCUUCUUCGUUUCUUGCCAUUUCAAGAAACAGAGCUUUUAGUACCCAAAAAUAGUGUUGGGGUCCCUCCUAAGAAGAAAAACAAAGGAGAUGAAGAUUCUUAAGACUUAUAUCCAAGAAAGACGGCAUUUAAAUAAGAAAAAGGGAAAUAGAGGGAGAGAGAUUUGAAUUUGUUAUUCUAAGAGAGAAGCAGGGACAUGUGGAACUUAAAGAAAUAAAGCUACUGCAAGAAAAACAGAGGAUUAAAGAAAGAAAAUAAUAGCAGAAAUGGAGAAGUCAGUGGCUGUGCAGGCUCUCUUCUCUACUCAAAUAGUCCUUUUCUUUGGCUGGGACCAACACCUAAUUGGCCGGCCAUUACCUGAUUCUUUUACUGUCUACAAAUACCCUCUUUAAUGUAUUUGAAUUGGAGGCAAGAGGGUAUUCUCAAGUGGGGCUAUAUAUAAGAUAGUGUUAUAGGGACAUUUUUAUAUCAUGAACAUGCAAAUUUUUUUAUAUUUAUGCAUAUAGUUUAUAGAUAGAAGCAACCUUUUUUGGGUUUCUCUUCCAAGUAUAGAAUGUAAUCUAUAAAAUAAAAUGUCACACCAUCAUAGACAGCUUUUGUUGAGCUCUAUACACUUAAUAAUAGAUUCAAUUUAUGGAAUCAAAGUUUAUAUGGGAAUACAAAAAUCAAGACACCCACAAAUUCUUUGAGACAGGGACUAGAAGAGAAUUAAUAAAUCAAUAGGGAAUUGGUGAGGAUUUUAUUUGUGAAUUUUUAAUUAAUUUGAUUUUGGGUCGGUGUGGGUUGAUAAGAAUACUGAAAUGAUGUAUUUUAAUUUUGUAGGUGACUUGUGUGGUGGAAUUGGGCGAUUUGAAUGUUAUGUCAUGGAGAGCUUGUGAUAAUUGAGAAAGAAUGUGACUAAUCAAUCUCUUUCUCUUUCUCUUCCCAUGUCUUUAAUUUUGCUUUUCUUGUGGAAUGGACGUUUUUUGCCCUGUUGGAUCGGGUAGGAAAGGAAUGGCUUGUAUUUCAUUGUUUUAUACACGACAAAAAUUGUCUGUGAGAUUUUUUUUUUUUUUUUUAAAGGGAAAUAAUUAUUUUUAAGGAUAAAUAUCUCGUGAUGUUAUUUCAAUUUCUUUUCUUUUUUAUUUUAAAAAGUGAUUUAGAUAGUAAUUUAUAUUUAAAUUGAAUAAACGAGAUUUGUAAAAUCAAUAAUUCGAACUAUUAUAAAAAGUUCAACUCGUGAAAUAACAUUAUAAAAAGAAUAAUUCGAACUAUUGCGAAAUAACAUUAUAAAAGGAAACAACUACAAACCCAAAUCAAAUUCUUCUUCUUGUACCCAAAUAAUAUCUUAGUGAGAGUACCAAAAAGGAAAAUUCUUAUUUUCUUUUUUCUUUUAAGGAGUCUUGAGUUGACUUUAGUUGUCAACUACAACCAUUUUAUUAUAGUUUUGAAAAAACAAUGUUAAUUAUUUGUCAUAGCAUCUUAAGAAGGUUUUAAAUGAUUUUAAGAAAAAUAAGUAUUUUUGGAAAGUUAUUUACCAAUAAAAACAGGUAAAAAAGACUAUUCAUUCGAUAAUACAUAAAUAUAUACGUAUAUAGUGUUGGCUUAUCAUACGUCCAAAAUCAUUCAUAUAUCCACAUACAAUGUAUCAUUUUUGGUAUUCAACAAUCUUCUUUUUAAUGUUUUUUUUAAUUAAUAAUAAAUUCUUUUUUAAAAAAAAGGAAGAAAUCAAUCCGUAAUUAGAAAUUAUUAAUGGUAAAAUCUAUUUUUUGUAAUUUUAUGGAAAAAUGAAAUAGAAAUAUGAACCUUUCUUAAAAAAAAAAAAAAAAACAUAAAUAGAAAUAUGAAUCAUAUUUGAACUGAAAGAGACAAUAUUAGUUUUGUUUAAUGUUCUUGAACACGAAAGACAAGCAGCAGACCCACAAACCAGGUUCACGACCUGCUUUUCUUAUCCGUUUUACAAGGUAGAGCUGACGCUUGACAGCAAGUAAGAAAUUGCAAUUUUGUGAAUUAUUUUCAUGUCACUUCUCAUGCAUCAAAUUUAAGUGACAUAACUGAAUGUGGCAGUAGCAGCCCUUUAAGACUUUCAAAAGGAACAAAAAUAUAUUGAACAUGUAUUAAAAGAGGCCGAGGAUUUCAUCUUCAUGAACAGAAGAUAUAUAAUUAAACACAUCAAUUAUAGAAAGAACAUACAAAUAUACACAGGUCACAUUUUCCUUAAUCACUGUUAUUUAUUAUCUUUUUUUAAUUUGAAAAAAGAAAGCUGAAAGUUUAAUUACCCAACUUUAUUUAAUCCCCAUCUAUAUAUUCAUCCAAAAAAAAAAAAAAAACUAAAAAAAACUAAGGUGGUUUUCUUUUUUAAUUUUGAGGAAUAAAAUUUAAGGCUUCUUGGGACGACUAGUUAUAGCAUCAAUGGUACUAACAUCAGCAUCUCGAGGGACAGAGCCACCAGAAAGAGUGGGUGCAUCGGUGGCGCCGGCUCCGCGGCCAGGCUUUGGCUGGAGAUGGCCUUGAGUUCCAUAGCCCUUUAGCUUGUAAUCUUCCAAGUCCUUGUAUUGCAGAUAAGGGCUGUCCUCAACUGGAAGACCCUCUAAUUUCUCUUUCUUUUCCUGCUCUUCACGACUUUCUGUAGCUUGUUUUUCCAUCUUUAGAACUUCUGAUUUCUAUUCAGUUUCUCUCCAUCCACCACCUUCUUCCUUAUUCCAUAAUAUAUAACGGCGUUUUCUUAAUAGCUGUGGCUUUGCUAAAUGUCAGGCUACGUGUCUAAUUUGCAUGUGAAAGUGUUGUUAGUCAUAGAACUACGUGUCAAUAUGUCAAGGGCACUACAGGCAUGCAAAUUGUAAAUCCUCUUCGGACAAUAAUUGGAUUGAAAAAUACUUGUCUAAAUUGAAUUUAUCGCUACGAAUCAAAUCAGCCAAAAUAAAAAUUUAUAAAUUUUUUUUUUUUUCAAUAUAUAGUUAAAAAUGCCAUCCUUUCAAAUUCUAUUUCAACGGUUUGGUACAGUAAAUAUAUCAGAGAAUUUGAUGCUUUAAUUUCAAAGAUGAUAAGACGUAUUCUUAUUAAAUUAAAAACUUCAUUAAAAAAAACCAUAAACCUUAAAUAAAUGAAAUUGAUUUCAUAAGGAUACUCCCAAAAAGGUCAAUUUCAUAAAAGUAGUAGUUUUUAUCUUUUCUUUUAAUUAUUAAUUUCAUCCCUGCAUUUUGAAGGCUACUUUUCUAGAGCGAUUCAUUGUUUUAGAGAUUAACAUUAAUCGUAUUUGGAAACUAGUCAAAUGAAAAAGAAAGAAUCAACUUUUCCUUUUUAUGAAAAAGAAAUCGAAAUCAACCCCAAAUCUGUUUUUAAUCAGUACCAUCGGUUGCUUAAUAAUUUGACCGUAUUCUCAGAUUGGCUGUAUACCAAAAAUGUAAAGAACAGUCAUAAAGUGCACAACAGAAUAUAAAAAUUUUGAAUUUGUACUUAAAAAAAAUUAUGACAUUUUUAAGUAUUGUAUACUUAAAUUUAUAAAUUACACAUUAAGUACUCCGGUUUAAAAAAACUAUUAUAUUUACUCUUCAAUUUAUAAAAUGAUAUCAAUGAAUAUUUCUUGAACAAUUAAAAAAAAAUAAAACUUGCAUUGACCACGUCAAAUCAACAUUUUCAUGUAAAAUUUAAUUAUACAUGAGAUUUUUUUUUUUUUUUUCAUUGAGGGAAAUUUUAUCAUUUUACUUAUCCAACGUAUAAAAUGUAUUUUACUAUUCAUAUAAUUUGAUUGGAUCUGGCUUAAAAAGAAAUUAGGGCCGACUUUAAAAUUGGGCUUGCCAAAUGCCCAAAAACUGGUUUUGUCCCCCUGCAUUGUUAGGCCUGCCCAUUAAACAUGUGCAUCCGCUACUCGAUCAUUUACUUUCUAUUUUUACUCUUUUAAAUUUUUUCUUCCGAAAAAAAAAAAAAAAAAAAAAAAUAACUAUUAACUAUUACAAAUACAAGGAUAAUUUACAUCUCCGACAUCAUAAGCAAGCUAAGAAAUGAUACAAGACGGUGGGUUUUCGGAAGAUGAAAUCUUAAAGGUAAAGUAGUUACAAAAAUUUGCUAACCAAUCAGCACAUUAACUGACUUGCGAUGAAUAUGAGAUAAAUGAAACCGAACACCAUUAUAAGGGAGAGGCUUGGAUAUGUUUAACUGAAGGCCUCUCUCCACCUGGCAGAUCAACCAGGUCAAGAACCAAAUGAACUACCAGCGAAUUGUCACACGCCACCAUCCUAUUGACGACCAAUGAUAAUAGCUCAAAGCUCAGCCACUAAAAUGGAAAUCCUACCGAUAUGAAGAGAUGGUAAAGAACCAUCUUUUUUUCAGUUUCAGAAAUUCACAGAAUGGUGGAGACCAGCUAAUUUGAUUCAGCUGACAACCUGAGAAUGUAUUAACAGAAAAUAUCCAGCAAAGAGAAAUGAAAAUUUUGCGGUUGGUUUUCAUUGAUCGAUGUUGUUUAUAUAUAUACAAGUUGUUACAGAGCUUCUUCAAGCUAUUAUUCAUAACUGUUUGCUAACAACUAGUGCCAGCUAGGACUGACAGCAUAGCUAACAUUCUUCUAGAAUAAAUUAAUUGAUCCGCACCGUUUUACUUAUUUUCUUCUCUUGUUGCUGUGUUGCGUUUUGUUUAAAACUCCCCGUUUUGUCUCUUUGAGUUAAGUCUCCUAAUAUGUAUUAAAAUAUUGAAUUUCAAUUACUGGAAUCGUGAAGCUUUGUCAGCUAUGCAGAUGCGACUAACAAAUACACAUGGCAAUAACGUUAUUCUACAAACAAUUAGAUGGGUAAGACGCAUCUAAAAGUAGCUUAAUAUUAAAUUAAACUUGUCUCAGAGAAAUCUUUAACACAAAAAAAGUGAAAUCUUGAGAAAUCUACUAAUCAAGCAUAGCAAUACAAAUACUAAAAUGUAAAUAAAACUGUACACUAAGAAAGAAAACAUCUCCACACAUUGCCUUUUCUUUUUCAUGGUCUUUUCUUGUUUUCUUUCUCAGAGAACAACAUCAAACACUAAUCCAGCCUUCCAUUAUUUCCUGGAUAUAAACAAAUUAAUAUGACAUUCAUAGAAUUUUAAAACUAACAACUUAUCUAAUCCACUCCUCUCUUCGAGAAGGAGCAAAUUAAAAACCCAACUUCUCCUAUUUCAUAUGCUUCUUCUUCUUGGGCUAAGUCCAGCUAACUGCUAUUGGACUACCAACAACAUGUUUCCCAUCACUCCACUCUAAACGAGCAAACGCGUUAGUAUUAAUUGGCAAUGAACUUCCAGUUACAGUAACAGUAAAAGUUUUCUUCUCCUUUGCUUGGCUAAAGUUCAACACUUGAGGAUUAACUGAAAUUUUAACUCCCGUAAGCUGACCUGAAAUUGAAGCCUUAUAAGUCCCCGCACCAACCACAUUGGUAAGUGUUCGUGUGUAUUUAGCAACACUAGAACCACCAUUGAUCAUUUGUGUAGUAUCAAAGUUAACAGCAAAAGAAGGAUAGUUAAAAUCAUUCAAACUAUACUUCUUAUUCGAAUCGCAACUGAAUCUUCUUCUUGCAAGGCUAGUGAUUUGUGAUGCUGUGUAAUUUAACGCGCAGAGGAAACUUAAGUAGUCCUCGGAUGUUAGAUCGUAAACGAGCCCCGGAUCAAGGGCUGAUACUGGAUCAACAUGUCCUGCACCAUGGUCAAACGGAGUAGAGUCUUUCCCACUAGCAGUAUCUUUCAGUUUCUGUCCAUUUUUAUAAGCUACAUAAGCUGUAGUCAUUAAAGCUGAUCUAAUAGCUGCUGGACUCCAAUCUGGAUGUGCAGCCUUAAGCAGAGCAGCUAGACCACUAACAUGAGGACAAGACAUUGAAGUUCCUGAAAUAAUGUUGAACUCCACACGCCUUGGAUCUGUUGAUAGCCCAGUAGGACCAACUGAACCAGACCAUCCUGCUAAAAUGUUAACACCUGGGGCUAUUAGGUCUGGCUUGAGAAUAUCUGGUGUAAUUGAAUUAGGCCCUCUUGAGCUAAAAGCUGCAACAACUGGAGAUGGCUGAAUUCCAACUUUGGUGCCUUCAAAAAGAAUUGUAGCAGUUGGGUUUGAAUCU
Molecule: long non-coding RNA, 129557 nt
Filed under: Jatropha curcas
Lineage: Eukaryota; Viridiplantae; Streptophyta; Magnoliopsida; Malpighiales; Euphorbiaceae
Description: long non-coding RNA (JCUR_LNC002098)
Rfam family: tRNA (bases 104231-104303)
Source: RNAcentral